GCUCGUGAUUGUGUAAAUAAAUGUUUGGUAACUAAAUUAAGUUGAUUGAUUAACGCAUGGGGAAGAUGCAGAAAAAAGGUGUGGUGGGACUGGAAAACGGGUUAGACGAAAAAUAUAUAUCAGUGAAGGGACAUGGUGGGAGGGGCAAGAACCGGUUAACGAAGCAUUUGAAAAUUGUUAAUUGUCUAUAUACAUCUCAGAAAAUGUUAAUCUUGUAUAUCGGUUGAUGUAGCCAGGGUAUAGACAUCUCGCCGUAAUAAAUGUUGACCAUGUAUUCAGAAAAUAUUAAUCCUGUAUUUAAAAAAUGAUAAUCCAGCAUUUGAAAAAUGUUAAAUGUUUAUAGAAAACAACUUGACCAUGUAUUCAAGAAAUAUUGAUCUUGUCUAUCAAAAAUAUUAAACAUGUAUUGGAAAAUGUAUCACAUAUAUACCAAAAAUGUGUAUAGCAAUACAGUAAAACCAAAAGAAAACAAAAAUGAUGAAAAAGCAAGAAACAAACAAACAAAGCCGAAGAAAUGGAAGAAAGAAACAAAAAAACCAAUUCAGAAAUGAAGAAAAAAAGAAAAACAUAAAAAACCAUGAAAAUCCACGAGGAAAUGAAGAACAAUAGGAAACAGAAUUAAAAAAAGCGACGAAAACCAGUGCAAAAAAAGAAAAGAAAAGAAACAAGAAACACCAAAGGAAAACAAUAAAUUGAAAAAAGAAAAAAGAACCAGUAAAAAUAGAUAAAUAAAUGAAGACAAUGGGUGAAAAAUAAAGAAAAAAAUCAAACAAACCCAUGAAAAAGCAAAGAACACCGGUAACAACCAUUUAAAAAUGAAAAAAAACGAUGAAAAAAAAGAAGAAAGGAAAAUCGAAAAAGAAGAGAAAAGUGGAAUAAAACCAUAACGAAUCAGUGCAGGAACGAGCGAGUCUAGCGAUAGAUCGAUGGGCGCCCCUAUGGCUGGCAUCGAGCGUGACAGAGUGUCUGCUCGCUGAAGGGAUGUAGGAAUGAGGCAGCCCAGUUGCACUGUUGGUUUGUUUUGGAUUUAGUUCGUUCCUUUCCUUAUUAGUCCGUUCCUCGAUUUUGCUUUUUCUUUCUAUUUUUGGAUUUAGUUUGUUUGUUUCAUAAUUAGUCCAUUCCUCGCUGAAGGGAUGUAGGAAUUAGUCUAUCAACAUUUUGUUAAAGUUGCACAUAUAUAUUAGAAAUAUCAUUUAUACAUGUUUAACAUUUUUCUAAACACAUGGUUUUGAACAUUUGUUGUUAGAAUAUGUGUUGAUUGUUUUCUAAAUUUUGAAACAUAGUUACCAAAUGCUAUCAACAUUUUGUUAAAGUUGCACAUUGAACUAAAAAGUAAAUUUUAUUAAAUAUUGAUCAUGUAUUGAAAAAUACUAAUCAUAUAUUUCAAAAAUGAUAACAUGAUUAAAGUUAUUCCUGAUAUAUACCAAAAAUGUAUAAUGUGUAGGAACAAAGUAGUCAGCAAACAAAUUAUUUAAAAAAUAUUAAUCAUAUAUUUGAAAUAUGUUAAACAUAUAUACAAAAAAUGUUCCUAAUGUACAUGAAAAAUAUAAGAAUAUGUAUAAAAAUAUAUAGACAUGUGUUAAAGAAUAAAAGAGAAAAAUGAAAAAAUCACAAAUGAAAACCAGAAAGGAAACAAAGAAAGAGAAAAAAGGAAAGAAAAGCAAAUAAAACCUGUGAAAACCCAAAGAGAAACAAAGAAAAAUAAGAAAGAAAAGAAAAAUCAGUGAAAAGCAUAAACAAAAUCAAAGGAAAUUGGCGGAAAUAAAAUAAAACUGAAAACAUAAGAAACCAAGAAAACUAGAGAAGAAACAAAGAACCAAAACUAAAAAACCAAAGAGAAAAAAAUCACAACAAAAGCUCUAAAUGCGCACUAAACAACUGGGCCAUCUAGUACUGUAUGCACACUGGAAAGUCCUCAACAAGACGAAACAUAUCCUCGCUAUAGGCGAGUUAUAGAUCUCCCGUAGAUCGAUCAAUCGGAGUGAGCCGGGUGGAGAAGUUAAUGGGCCACAGCCUGAUUCGUAGGCAAGAGGGAAAUCCUUCCAGUCGAGAGCAGCUAUCGUCUCGCUAUAAGCGAGACCUAGCCCUCGUGGCAUGGGGCGAGGCAUAGGCCUCUGUGUGUGGCAACCUAUCGGCCUACUAACUGGGCCGGCGCAUUGCGCGCCUUCCAGGCAAGAGUUAAAUAGUGCUCUAUAUUUUUUAAAUUUUCCAGCUAUUGGUGACUUAAAAUUUCGCUUGCAUGUUAAUUUUAGGAAUUUCUGAGUUGUUUUGAUGCAUGGUAUAGUUUAUUAGAGUUUUUUUCCUUGGUUUAUUUGAUCAAAUUUUACUUUUCUUUGACUUGUCCAAAAUUUCAUAAUAUAAGCACUAUGUUGAAGAGCUUAGUGAAGAAGUUCAUCCUCCUCUUAUUCAAGGGAGACAAGGUCUUCUUCAAGUACGCAUUCUGGGAGAGUUGAUUAUGAAUAAUUUACUGCCAAUCUUCCGUGUAAUGCGGAAGUGAAAUCAGCUAAGUGGCCAUGUGAAAGUUUCAAGAGAGAUACCAAAAUUAAAAUAGAGUUUAGGCUUUCGUGAACUAUGCAAGUUGAACAGACUUCCUCGCACAUCUUCGUCCCGCAUAUGAAGUUUUAUCGAUAAUAAUUUAAUAUAGCACUUUUACUUUAAUUCUAGUCGAGUAAAUCGAAGUGUGUCCUUUAAAACUAUAGCUGUCGAGAAGAAGGCAAAGCAAGAAGCCGAGAGGAAAGCUACAACUGAGAAGAAGGGGGCACAGAAGAAAGCAGAUGUUGAAAAAAGAGAAGAAGAGAAGAGAUGUGUUGCUACUAAAAGGGAAGAGGCUUGUUGCUGCUAAAAGAGAAGAGAGGAGGCUUAUUGUUGCACAGAUAGAAGAACAACAAAGGUUGAACAAUGCACAAAGAGAUGAGCAGCAAAGAUGGUUGCUGCAUAGAGACCAAAGAGACCAGUAGUAAUCCACGAUCAAGCAGACUGGAAAAGGAGAGCCGAAAGAUCAUCAAUGUUUGGUGUCUUUAGAGACUAGGUACAACUAGUAGUGUUUGGUACCUUCAUGAUCAUGUAAUCUUCUAUGUUGGUAUGAUCAUGUAUGGUACCUUGUUGCUCAUGUAGACUACAUUAAGCUGGGAUGGUUUGGUCAUUUUGCUACCUCUUUUGUUCAUUUUGUUACUAGUUAUGUUCAUGGAUGGUGUCUAGGUAUGAAACAAGGCUACUUAUUUGGUUAUUUUGCUACCAGUUUUCAUCAUGUUCACUUCUACCCAAUUGCAUCAAUUUUAAUCGUGUUUAGUGUUGUUCAUCGAUACUACCAUUUUGGUCAUUCUGUAGUUUCGACAAGUGUUGUUCAAUGCAACAACAUCCUACUCUACAUUCUAGAAACUUUGGUCAUUUUAGUUUUGGUCAGUUGUGGCAAAACCAUCUAGGUUUUAUCACUCUUGUUUAGUCAUGGCAAAGUGUGAUUUGCAUUACACAACCACAUCUCUUACAAAUUACAUGUAUAAUUGAUGCAAAUUGCACAUACAUAAAAUAUAGCAUAAACAGGUUCAGCGGAGCAUUACUUUCUUAUCAUACACACCAAUACAUCAUAUAUUAAACCAAAAUAUACCACAUGACAUGGGACAAACUAAGACUGACUAAACCUACUAACUGACACCAUUUAAACAUGACAUGCAUCAACAUCCCAAAAUGAACCUACCGACUAACAACAUCUCUUCUAACAUAGCAUCACUUUUUCAUCAUGAAGACCACACUAGCCACAUGCAUCAGCACCACAAUAGCAACCAGUAACUUCAUGAGCAUCACCAGCUCUCUCCCUAGCCUCAUCAGUGCACAAGCUUGCUGCCUGUUCAUGCCAUUUGCAGUUUCAUUCUUCAUACCUUGCUUAGACCUACUGGUAGCUGCAUUCAUAAUGCUAUGCUCCUGUGCAUUCAAAAGUUCUUCCCUCCGGUUCUCCGCAGCGGCAUCACCAACGAGAUAAUGCUUGUAAACAAGAUACUCGAACUCAACAUAUUACAAUCCCGUGUUACAAAUAGCAAUUAACCUAUCCCAAAAUACAUGCCAAGGUAAAAAAACUCCAAACUUUUCAGCCAAAAUUGAAGAGAAACCCCAUGGAAAUCAAAAGACUAACCCCAUGGUUUCAGCAUUUGUAGAAGAUCCAACCGGCAUGCUUCUCCGGCAUCAGGACGUACAUGUGCACCUUCUUCUUGCAGGAUGGUCGGCAGAUCAGGGGCAACGUCAAUGCCUUAUGGCGAACAGCUGAGGAGCUAGCGGAAGGCAUGAGCACCACAGGGGAAAGAACUGUCACGAGAUGGGAUCUGGUGGUGACCGGCGGACUCGACGAUUGCCGACGAGAAAGGUGGUGGCGGAGCAGUCACAUGCGAGAGGGGGAGAAAGCUAGGGAUUAAAGAGGAUGCGACAUGACUUAGGGAUUUGACGAGGUUGGGAUUUUUGGCUCUGUACAAAAAACACAUCCAUGCAAAAUUGGCCUAAUAUAGCAGCGUACGUGGCGGUCAACAAAUGGUCAAACCAGUCUCUUACGUGACGCAUACGUGUGAAAGUGAUCGUAUUUUCACGUCAAAUCUAUAAUACCUAAAUAGUUCAUCCCCACUAUGCUAUUUAUCUUAACAUGUAGCCUAUCCACAUCAGCAGCCCUGCCAUGUCAGCAUUUAUACAGAGGAUUACAAGCGGGACCCACCACAGUAAACAACAGACACGUUGGCUUCAGUUACCAUGAGAAAGGCUACCCACCGACGAAAUUCAGCCCAACCCAUUACCCUCGCUUUCCUUCCUCCCCUGCUUUCCCCUGUUGGGCCGGCUCUCCCAUGUGUACACAACACCCAGCCUCGCCGCCCCGCCCAGGAUCUGUUGGUCGUUCCCCUCGCCACUCCCUCCAUCUCCGCUUCGACUCACUCCCGCCGGCAUCCACCCUUCGUCCCGCCGCACACUACUCCUGCGGCAGCGGCCACCUCCUUCCCUCCUCUCCCUUUCACCAUCCUUCUCCAUACUUGCGGCACCUGCCACAACUACUUCCCAAGGUAGCAGCGCCUGGUGGUGUCGGGGUUGGGGAUCUUGCUGUGCUCGAAGGAGUCCUGCCACACCGAUCCAGAGGUAAUGUCGUCGGUGGAAUGUCAGGCGGAGGUGCUGCAACAUCAGGCGGCGGCUGGGUGUAGCUGAAUCUGUCCAAGACAGCCAUAUAUGGAGGCCUCCUUUCCAACUGCUCAGUCAUGGACUCGUGUCACAACUGCCCAUCUCAACUUGGCGGCAGCGUCAGCAUGAGUCCACCUCCGCCCUCGGGUGCCGCCUCGGAUGAUUCAAUAGAAAGCAAUGCUCUUUCCUGUUGGUUAUUGAUUUGCUGCCAAGGACGGCCAACUCGCUACUAUGACGAUGGUAUUUGUCGAUUCGAAGGUACUGUACUGUGUUCUUCACAAGAGUAUUUCCUCUUUCCUUCUAAUCAUGUAUAUACAUUCUCACUAAAAAAGGUCAUAGCUACCGUGCACAGCCUACUUCGGCAUCCUCUUUGUAGCUCAUUGCUUCCACCGGUCCAGCCUCUCCUAAUUGAUAUCCAUCUUUAAAAGACUAUUUUAUAUAUGACACUCCCUCUACUAAUAAUGUUCCAGAUGGCCUUCCACUUCCUCUCCCCACUAUCUCCACAAGAAACUGAUGCAUUGUGCUUUAAAGUCUGUUCGGCCUCAUCUCAUUUUGUUCCCAUCAUCCUCGAGUAUGGAUGGGUCUCUACCACAACUCACACUGCCUCCGGUGAGCAACUCCCUCCCAUUUCCUCCAUGUUCUCUAUGUAUGAUAUAUCGAAGAUUGCAUCACAAAUUUGCACUUUCUCAGGCACUACGUGUUAGACAAUGCCAAAGUAGUCAUCUUUUGGUUUUGGAGGGCAUGGGUUUGGUUAUCUACGAGAAGUUUCACAUGUACGUGGACGGCCACGCCGUAUGCCAUUACCUGAUCCUUCUCCUCAAUCAAGCCCAUAUGUUGCUGCCGAUAACUGUUGCACACAUAUGAAUAGAAACAUGAAUAGAGGUUUAUUCCGCACAUAUUUUCUUUCAAAUAUGUUUUUCUCUGCAUAAUAUGUCUUGAGAUUCAUUUCAUCAUCUACUUCUUGGCAUCCAUCAAGCAAUAGCAUCUCGAGAGCAACAUUCUUCAAACCAACUUGCAACAGAAGAAUCGUCCACAUCGACAUCUCAAACACAGAAUAUGAUAUUUGCAAUUUUACCGACGGGACAAUUGGUCUGGACUCAAUCUAGAAACCAUUAUUAUUGUUUAUGUGUUUGACUCAUAAAAAAGGUUUUGGAGAGAUAUCAUGCACAUAGUACCUGUUAGAUACAGACAGAAAAUACAAGAAUUACUCAUGCCUUACUAAGAAGGUAUGACUUGCUGAUUUUUCUUUAUGUAUAUACACUAGAUUAACCAUUCAUUUAACAAAGCUAGACUAAAAUUUAAUCCUAAAAUCUUAAAAGUGCACGCGCGCUCGUUGGAGAGAACGAGCGGCCGCUUUGUCACUCGCAUGCAUACAUGCAUGUAUUGUCUGCUAGUGCAUGUGACUACUAGCAUUAAAUGCGGUCAUACUAGUCACAUGUGACGAAAAACAGAUCUACGUCUAUUUAUUUCGGGUUUUUCAAAUUUUUAAAAAGUCAUAUUUUUUAAACCAUGCGUCGGAAUUUAGAUCCAUCUUCAUUGUUGGAUUUCUCGUGACGAGAUCUUUGAAACUAGAUCCCACAUGGGUAUGUUUCGACGAAAUUUUUUUGAUACCAACUUUCGUGCUAUAUGGUGCAACUAGUCUACUGUCCCGACCAACUACCUAGUAGUCGUUGUGCAACCCUCCUCCCUACUCGUGGAUGCGUAGUUUUUCACUGUUGGCACACCCUACCCCCACCUCCCCUGCAAGGGAUAUGUGCAACUUAGUCUAUUGUUCAAGCCAACUGCCUAUUAGUCAAUGUGCAACUCCCUACGCUCUCUAUUUGUGGACCUAUAUUUUCAGUUGGCGGGAUCAACAAACAGAGUUGCACAUAGUCUGCUAGGUAGUUGGCCAGGGGCAAUAUACGAAGUUGCACAUCUCACAGACAAGGACAGUUGAAUGGUAAAAAAUUGCAUAUAAACAGAGUACUAAAGUUGCAAAACUCACUAGGGGGUGGUUUGGGCCAUGUGCUAGCAGGAAAACUACACAUCCAUGGGGUACGAGAGAAAGUUGCAAAUCACAGUUAGACAGUUGGCCGUGGCAGUAUACAAAGUUGCACAUCCACUGUUAGGUUGUUGGCCGAUGCACCAAAUAGUGAAGCACAUCCACGGGCAGGGAAAAGUUUCAAAUCAACUACUAUGCAGUUGGCCUGGGUAACAGACGAAGUUGCACAUCUCAUUGGAAGGAGUUAGUUUUGCACCAUCGUUGAAAUCUGCAUGUUUACGGUAUUGGAGAAAAGUUGCACAUCCCUGUCAGGUAGUUGCACACCGACGGCUAGGCAGUUGCACAAAACAAGAAGAAAAUUGCACAAAUUUUUUUUCAUCAAAACAUAGCCAUGCGGGAUCUAGUUUCGAAGAGCACGCCAUGAGGGUUCCAAAAGUGAAAACGGAUCUUAAUUUCGACGCGCGGUUUGAAAGUUAUGAUUUUUUAAAAAACUGGAAACACAAAUUAAAUACGUUCACAUCUGUUCACAUGGAUACUUUACAAUUAUUUAUCCUCUUCACAUAUGUCCACACAUGUUUACUUUUUCUAAUAUGAGUCAGGGAGACAAAAACUUACCUUUUUCGGCUGGCCACCACGGGGUGCUAGUGGGCAGCCGGCCGCCGGCUAGACGCGUCCAAAUUUAAUAUUACUCCAUGUGGAGGAGACAAUCAAAUAGGAAGGGUGUUAUAUGGUGGAUUGUAUAUGCUUGAAUGCAUCGUGUUUCUCUUUGCCUUUUUCCCUUCGUUUUCCCCCAAAAACCACCCGAGUGCCCAUUGCUCAACAUGUAUGAAGGUACUUUUUUUCAUAAAUCUGUAUAUUCCAAACUGUGUUUGUCCUACAUUUCAAAUGUCAUCAUCAAGAUCUCUAUUAUAAUGACAUCUCUGUUUUUUCACUAUUCAGUAGUAUAACCAUUUGCUUCAUUUAAACUUUGUGGUUUAAUCUAUAUGUGCUAUUCAUAACAAGGGAUUUCAUCUUCUGCUAUUAUCCACUGUGUAAAUUGUCUCGGCAAUGAUCUCUACUAAAUUUGUCCAUAGUUGAUUCAGUUAUUGUCACAGCCCUAGCUUAGCUUUGCUUACUCUUGCAUGAUCAUCAUGGCAUCAUGUUUAUUUUUUUAUGAAACUGAAAGGGGGAUGACAGAACCCUCAACACCCCCCUUAAACCAACUAGGGUUUACUAAAAUCUUUUUCAAUAAUUUCAAAAUGCCCUUUAAAAAUGUUCAUCAUUUCUGGAUCAAGGUGGAAGCAUCUACCGAAAAUGGUUGAAAUUUUUGCAGGACAUAUUUGGACUUUGAAUUAAUUCAACCAUAUUUGAAUUGGAGCUAUUUAAAUGCUAUAUAUAUUUUAGAUGCUCCAAAAAUGUUGGAAAUUGUUAAGGGUCACUGGAAUAACUCAGAAAGCACCCAUAAUUAUUUCCAGGAUUUUAUGAAUGGUUUACUAUUUAUUUUAAACCAGAACAGAAAAACAGAAAUUAGAAAAGGUAACAGAAAUAAAAGAGAGAGACAGAGGAGCUACCUGGGCUUACCUGGCCACUUACCUCGGCCCAGCACUGUAGCUGGCCCAGCCCAGCCGUCGCACCGUCUUCAACCUCCUGCCAAUAGGCAGGAGGGCGUGUGCUCGCUGCGCGCCGGCACGUGUUGGCCACCUCCUGCAUCCCUGCCUAUCUCCCCAUCGCCCUGAGGAUGCCACACACUCCCUCUCAACCCUGGCACUCUCUCCCGCGCCUUCUCCCCCUCCUCUGGCUCCCCCUCUUCCCCACCGAGCGGAGCUCGUCGCCGCCGCUCGCUGCUGCCGCAACCACCGCCUCCCCCUCGCUUCUCCGACAUGUCCACGAGCUUCACCUCGACUUCCUCAUCCUCUCCACCAAGCCAUGGAGCUACGGACGCGCCACAACGUCGCCAGCAUCGCUGUUUCCAUCGCCGGCCACCGUGGAUUCUCGCUGUCGAUUCAAGAGCUACCGGACGUCCCCGAGCCCGCUGAGACCGCCGUCCGACUCCUUGUGAGCUCCGCCGUCGUUACCCACUCUUCCCCGCAUCGUUUCCUUGCUGUAGCGUCGUUCCCCGCCGUCACCGAAGCUCACCGCCGCCCGGCCUUGUCGCUGCCGUGGCUUGAGCUCGAACGAGUCGCGCCCGUGCACCUCACCGAGCUCCUGGCGACCCCAGGAGGCUACACAAUGUUUUACUUCGCUCGCCCGUGCUCCGCAAUGCCGUUUUCGCCGAGGUCCAAACUCCGGCCGCCGCAGCCGAGCUCGCCGGCGUCAGCUCCGGCCAUCCCAGCUACUGCUGCUUGCUGGAAUGGAUGCGCGCGUGUGCCAGCAAUCCGUAGCCGCAAAUGGCGCGCCAAACCGUCGACCGUGGGCAAAUCCCGAGCCCUUCGCUGUCUCGGGCUUCGCCGGCGACAAGCCGCGGGUCAACUCCGGCGAGUUGACCUGGGGGUUUGACCCCGUCUGACCAGGGUUUGACCAUCCUAGGUCACUGACGCAUGGGGCCAGCCCUGCUAAUUAACCCAGGUUAGUGUUAAUUAUUUAGUUAGUUAAUUAGCCUCUGACGUGUGGGCCCAUGCCUUAACUAAACUAGAUUAGGUUUAGUUUAAUUUUAAUUAACCUUGUUAGUUAAAUGUGUCACUGACGUGUGGACCCCACUGUCAGGUUUGACUUGGACCAGCCCCUUUGACCCGCUGAUGUCAUGCUUACGCAUUGCUGAUGCAGUUAAUCAUUUUCUGGAUUAAAAAUAAUUCAGAAAACUCCAGAAAUUAGUAUAAACUUCUAAAAUUCAUAGAAAUUCAACCGUAACUCCAAAUGAAAUAAAUUAUAUAUGAAAAAUUAUCAGAAAAAUCCAAGGAAUCUGAAUAUGGCAUUUUCAUGCAUGUUUGAACAACUUAACCUCACUGUUUAGUCCAAAACAUGAUAAUGCACUAUUUGAAUUCAUAGUUUGAAUUUGAAUUUGAACCUAGUGUUCAAACCAACUCCAUUUAACUUGUUGCUAGUUGCAUUAGCUCAAUCAACAGCAUAUUGCCAUGUCAUGAUCAUGCAUCAUAUUGUUGCAUCGCAUUGAUUGUGUUCUUCCUUAUUUGCCGGUAAUUGUCCCCUCUCGGUAGACGCUGCUCCGACGCUGUGAUCGUUGACACUAAUGAAGACUCAAUGUUGUCUUCAGAAGUGCCAGGCAAGCACAACCCCCUUGUUCAUUCCGAUACAAGCCCGCUCUCUCGCUCCUGCUCUCUUUUACUGCAUUAGGACAACAACGAUUCAUAUGUUACUUGUUGCGGUAGUUAAACCCCUUAUUCUCUGCAUGACCUGUCAUUGCCACAGUAAAUAGAUGAAACCCACUAGCAUGAGUAGGAGUUGUUUGAGCCCUGAUGUGCCUACUCAUUCAUGCUUGUUUGUCAUGCCUGCUAUUGCAUAGAGUUGUGUCAGGUCUGAUUCAUCGGGAAUGAAUCGGAGGUGUGUGAACAUGUCCUACUUUGUGUGAACACGUUUUGGUAAAGGUAGCGGUGAGAGGCCAUGUAGGAGUACAUGGUGGUUUGUCUCAUUGAAACCGUCCUUAGGAACUGAGUUCUGUGUAUGUGAUCCAUGAACAGCUACUACCACUCAUUGGGAUCCUUAAUUGACCCUCUCGGCUUCUUAAUCACCCUAGUACUCUGUCUAGGAGUUGCAACUAGUUUCUGGUGUUUGUAGGCUAUGUGUUGGCGGCCGUGCGUAGCGCUGACCUUAGGGGUGGGCUAUGAUGCGGUAGAUACACCGUGGCACGGUGUACUGGGCGCCCGUUUGGUGUCUGGGGAACCCUGUUCACAUCGUUCGGGGCCGUAUGUGGAAACCUCGGCCGGACUCCCUGCGGAUGGAACCUGGAUAGGCGAUAAACCUGGACUAGAGACUUGAGUGUUUAGGUAGGCCGUGGCCGACACCCUCAUUGGGCUUCCGCUUGAAGGUUGCCGAGUACAUCUCAUGUAAACGACGAUAAGUGGUGGGAGCGUGUGUGGAGUACACCCCUGCAGGGUUAUCAUUAUCUAUUCGAAUAGCUGGAUUCCUCGGAUAUGGAAACUUGGACCCCUUGCAUAGUUCAUAGACAAGCGAAAGUGGAUACUCUAAAACCCGCAAGAUAAGCGUGAGUGCUAUGGAUGGCGUUCUCGUAGGGAGACGGGAGCGGAUCCAUAGUGGUGUAUUGAUAUGGUGAAUAUGUGGACUCAUGUGCGCCACCUCAAAAGAGUUACUUGCGGUCAUAGUUUAGGUUAGCCACUGAGUGAAAGCUGGCUUGCUGCAGUUAAACUCCACCACCCUCGUCGUUGAUACUGAUGCAUAUGUAGCUAGUUCUGAUGUAAGUCUUGCUGGGUACAUUUGUACUCACGUUUGCCUAUUUUAUGUUUUGUAGAGAGACGUCAGUCUCGCUAGUAGUUCCGUGUGGGCUUCGACGUUUAGCUUGAUACCUCAGCUACGAUCUUUUGCCCUCGGCAGGAUCUGGUAGAUAGUCAGGCUCCUCAGCCUUCUUCAUUUUUAGUUGUCUGUACUCAGACAAGUUAAGCUUCUGCAUGUGCUUUGACUUGUAUGCUCUGAAUGUUGGGUCAUGAGACCCAUGUUUGUAAUAUCUCGCUCCUCGAAGCCUAAUAAAUAAAUACUUGAGUCGUAGAGUUAUGUUGUGAUGCCAUGUUGUAUUUACACAUGUCGAGCAUAUUGUGUGUAUGAUUGAAAUGCUUGGUAUGUGUGGGAUCCGACAACCUAGUUGUUUAUCCUUGGUAGCCUCUUUUAUGGGGAAAUGUAGUCUUGUGCUUCCAUGAGCCAUAGUAGUCCGCUACAGCCCGGAUCACUGGAGUCCUGCUAGCCCAGCACUACUGCUCCGAAACACUUGACUGGCCGGCAUGUGAUUCACUUCAUUCAUGUGUCUGUCCCUUCGGGGAAAUGUCACGCGGUGACAUCCAGAGUCCUGCCUAGCCUGCUACAGCCCGGUUCACCGGAGUCCUGUUAGCCCAGUGCUACAGCCCGGAUUCACACGCUGCUGACCUACAUGCUCGAUGUUGAUUCAUGUAUGCUUGUCCCCAUAAGUUAGUGCCACUUUGGGUUCACGACUAGUCAUGUCGGCCCGGGUUCUCUGUCAUAUGGAUGCUAGCGACACUAUCAUAUACGUGAGCCAAAAGGCGCAAACGGUACCGGGCCAUGGUAAGGCGACACCCGUGGGAAUACCGUGCGUGAGGCCGCAGAGUGAUAUGAGGUGUUACCGGCUAGAUCGAUGUCACUUGGAAUCGGGAUCCUGACAGUGUUGGUAUCAGAGCCUGAUUGCCUGUAGGAUUACCAAGCCAAACUGGUCAAAGUUGAGUCUAGAAAUGCUUUAGUUAUAUAAGGGAAUUGAUUGUGGAAGGAAACGUAAGGCUCUUUUUACUCCUUAUACCUCAUGGCCUUCUGAUCCGAGUCAACCUCUUCUCUUCUACGGGGAUUUAGAACUAGGCCUUCUCAUCUAUCUAUCAGGAUGACGAGUUACUAUGUUAGAGACUUAUAGGAUUGAUGUAUUCAAGCCUCUGUUCAGUUCCUACUACUUCCAUGUGUUCUUAGUUGAUCUCAGAACCUUGAUAUGGUGAUGUUGAGCGGUCAUGCCACUAUUUUAUAGGAUGUCUCAAAUAUUUUUGAGCAUUUACAGCCGUUAUGUUGUCCGAGUCAUCCCAGGUUUCUAAACAGUCUGAUGCAUUUGCAAAUCUCUUCAUCCCGUUUCCGAUGUCCUUUUGGGCCAGAUUAAGCACACUAAUCAGUCUGUUGAGGUACUCCAUUGCCUUGAUAUUUAUGUUGGAGCUAGUAUUAUGAUCCUAGGCAUUCUAGCGAACCACCCACUAAUCUAGCAAUGCUUUAUAUCCCCAGUGUGAAAAUUCUGGCUACCUUUCUUGAAAGCAUCCCGUGAUGUUAUUUAGUUAAUAGGUAUUCUACUACUGGGUUUUGAACCCGAGAUUCACCCUACCUCAUGUUGUUAGUAUUUGCUAGUUCCCUUAAGAUAUUAGUAACCAUGUGAUAGUCCUCGAGGUCUGUGGUAUAUCGUUCUUCCAAUACCAUGAGCCAAUAUGGCAGAAGUUAUUUGAACCAAAAGAUCACAAUUAGAGUACUCUUGAGGAGUUCUCCAUUCAUAAUUGUGACCCUGCCAGUCCUACCUCUCGGCAUGGGUUAUCCGGAAGAAAUAUGUUGAGCUUUGUUCAACAUACUAAUCUGUGCAUCCACAACUCAGAAAGAUAUAUGUUCCUUGAGUUGAUCCUCCUCAGCUGUAUUCCGACCCUAGUCUAUCAAUUGAUAGUCAGGAAUAGUUGUGCAUUCGUGUUCAUCGAUGCCUAUUAUUCUUGUGGUCCGUCAAGCCAUUCUAUUCUAGAAUACUAGGAGAAACAAGCUCCAGUACCUCAUCCAUUUCUAGGAUUGGGUCAAAGCAGUUGUAUUCCGCAGAUCAAAUGCCAAUCCAGCUUUUGCUCUGUUCUACCUUGGAGUGUUACCAUCUUUAUGUCAAGAAUGUCAUGAGAAUUGUACCACCUCUUAUGAAUUCUUGACGCAGUGAUACUUCUCGCUAUCAUUAUUCAUUCCUCGGUCCCGUGUUGUUGCAACCGGAAUGCCGACAAGUGAACCAUGAUGUGUGAAAUUUAUACUCCUAGCAACCGUGUUGCUUGGUAGUUAAUGGACAAUAUUCUCAUUCUUAGUGUGAUGGUUAUUAAAUCAUCAUCCUAAAAUUGAUCGUGCUACCUAGUCUUUAUUUCUGGUGCACUCUUCGAUCAAUGAGUGAGGAUUAUUCAACCCCUUGCUUAUUUGAUCAGAUAGUCUUGCCUUGAACAGCAAGAUUGUUCUCGAGCUUAGUAACAUAUUGGUGGUUCGUGAUUUUCCGAAGAUCUUCUCGGAAGUAUUACUUGGUUGUUACCUGACCGCUAUGUUGAGUUCGUGAUCAAGUUGGUUUUCUUGUAAACCACCCCUUCUCCAAGAAUCCGUGUUGGAUAUCCCUGAGCUAGUUGGUUAAGCUAAACAACAACUUGGAGAGUUGGAAGAUAAAAGCUUGUCUGACUUAGUUCAUGUUAAGGGAUAUCUUUGUGUGUGUGUGUGUGUGUUGAAGGAAGAUGAUAUCUCCAUCAAUUGGUCCUCGUGAUCAGUUGUUGGAUCUAUUGCCUUGUCAAAACUUUGACUUGAGUAUGGGCUAUCGUCAAGUCAAAUUAGAACCAACGAUGUUCGUAAUGUUGUCUUACUCGUGGUUGAUCCCUCGAGCAUACACCAUUACAUCUUUUGGUCUGUCCAAUGCUAUCACCGUGUUCACAUGAUGGUGGAGGUCCAGUGAUAUGGAAAUUCCGAUGAGUUGUUGUUGAGCCCAUCCGCAGCAUUUUGUCUCCCCCAUGGGUCAUGUUGAACAUCAACCUAGUGUUGGAAACUUUGUAAGCAAUGUCUUCGUGUUCCGUUCAUGAAGCUUAUGCUUGGAUGGAAGAAGUGACUUCCUCGAAUUCAUGUGCUUUAGGUGCAAGUUUCCGCCGUGAAUUUGAGAAAGUUUGUUUUUGUUUCCUCUGGUACCAUCCCAAGUCAGUCAUGCAUGUGCGAAGUGUGCUAUGGUUUGACAGGCUCGCUACCUCCAUUCCAUUUGUAUUCUCUAUCACACCAAGCCACUGGCUGAUUUGUUCAGGGAAAAGAAGUUUCUUCAUAAGAGCUAAUCAUAUGACUUAUACAAGGACUUCGAUAUCCUUGAUGAUGGUUCCCAACUAGGACUCGGUAGUGUUUCAUUGUAAGACUACUAUGUGGUCAUGCUUGUCUGGGACAACAUGUUCACAUGUGUUUAGCAGAACCAGCUCAUAUUUUGGAGCUUACUACCAUAGUCCAUUUCCUGAGAAUCUCGCAAUGACAUCUCGUCGAUUUGUGUUGCAAACUUUCAUUUUCUUUCUAGACUCGAUGAGUCUGGAAUAUCCUAACACCAACCAGAUCUGAAUCUCAGGCAGAUAUGAUGGUUGGAACGUACUCCAAGAACUAUACUGUUGGUCCCUCUAUAACCGGUAAUGUGGAUGUCGUGGCCAAUACACCUAACCGGAAGGCCUAUUAUUGUAGUAUCCUGGUUGAAGAAGUUGGUCAUCUCCCCAUAAAGAUCUCGCAGGAUCUGCCUCCGUAGUUAUUCCCUAUGGAUUCUUGAGCUUCCGAAGUCUGACCUUUUACUUGAUGUUCUAGAUAUCAAACCAUAUCUAUGAAUGGAUUACGCUAGCACAUCAAGGAGAACAUUAGAGGCGGAGUGCUAAAUGUCUCUCGGUCGAUCGUCCAGAUUCUGUUCCCUUAGCCUCGCUAAGGGAAGAUCUGAGAAGGUGUUAUCUUCCUUUGUAUCCGCAUCAUCCAUCACUAGUCAUCAUGGUAGUAUGUCGUGUUGCCAGGAUCCUUGCCACGAAUGUUGGUAGAACCUUGAUGAAUAUGGAAAUGCUCAAGUUCUUGAGAGCACGCGUAAGCAAAAUCAUCCCUUGUGUUGUCUUCAACAAGGUAGUCCACAUCAUCCAUCCUAGUCUGAGUAUGCCAUCUCUUUGAGCUAUCUCAAACAAUCAAUUGUAAAUUGCCUUAAGCUGGUAUAAAGAGUUUCAAUGAUCUCUGAAUCAAAAGUAAUUCUUUUUGCCACUUAAGGGAAUAUUUUCGCGAGUCACCUUCCUUAAGAUGUCUCGUUAUGGUAUCAUGGCAAUUAUCUCCUCGCUACUUUGAAACCAUGCACCAUCCUACUUAAGCGUGGAAUUGUUGCCUACCAAAUUUGAACCUUUAUCAUCCGCUUCUUUCCAUCACCCCUGAUGUGUGUUUCGUGUCUCGGCUCAAGAGAUGUUUUAUAUCUCACUCCAUGAGUUGAUCUUGAGUGCUCGAUCUCCGAGGAGAUCGAUUCCUGUAGAAUUUCUUUCUGACGUCGUCAUGCUGGAUGAAGAUCCCGAAAGCAAAGACGUUAAGAUCAAGAUGACGCAAUGAGUCAACAUCCUCGGGAGGGGCAGUUGGAUCGAGAAGACUGCAAUAGUUUUGUAACCCCCCUUCCUUCUUACCUCACGUCUUGAAUCUUGGGCCGAGAUUCUUGUUUAGUGGGGGUGAGUUGUCACGGCCCUAGCUUAGCUUUGCUUACUCUUGCAUGAUCAUCAUGGCAUCAUGUUUAUUUUUUUAUGAAACUGAAAUGGGGAUGACAAAACCCCCAGCACCCCCUUAAACCAACUAGGGUUUACUAAAAUCCUUUUCAAUAAUUUCAAAAUGCCCUUUAAAAAUGUUCAUCAUUUCUGGAUCAAGGUGGAAGCAUCUACCGAAAAUGAUUGACAUUUUUGCAGGACAUAUUUAGACUUUGAAUUAAUUCAACCUUAUUUGAAUUGGAGCUAUUUAAAUGCUAUAUAUAUUUUAGAUGCUCCAAAAAUGUUGGAAAUUGUUAAGGGUCACUGGAAUAACUCAAAAAGCACCCAUAAUUAUUUCCAGGAUUUUAUGAAUGGUUUACUAUUUAUUUUAAACCAGAACAGAAAAACAGAAAUUAGAAAAGGUAACGGAAAUAAAAGAGAGGGACAGAGGAGCUACCUGGGCUUACCUGGCCACUUACCUCGGCCCAGCACUGUAGCUGGCCCAGCCCAGCCGUCGCACCAUCUUCAACCUCCUGCCAGUAGGCAGGAGGGCGUGUGCUCGCCGCUCGCCGGCCACCUCCUGCCUCCCUGCCUGUCUCCCCAUCGCCCUGAGGAUGCCACACACUCCCUCUUGACCCUGUCACUCUCUCCCGCGCCUUCUCCCCCUCCUCUGGCUCCCCCUCUUCCCCACCGAGCGGAGCUCGUCGCCGCCGCUCGCUGCUGUCGCAACCACCGCCUCCCCCUCGCUUCUCCGACGUGCCCACAAGUUUCGCCUCGACUUCCUCAUCCUCUCCACCAAGCCAUGGAGCUACGGACGCGCCACAACGUCGCCAGCAUCGCUGUUUCCAUCGCCGGCCACCGUGGAUUCUCGUCGUCGAUUCGAGAGCUACCGGACGUCCCCGAGCCCGCUGAGACCGCCGUCCGACUCCCUGUGAGCUCCGCCGUCGUUACCCACUCUUACCCGCGUCGUUUCCUUGCCGUACCGCCGUUCCCCGCCAUCACCGAAGCUCACCGCCGCCCGGCCUUGUCGCCGCCGUGGCUUGAGCUCGAACGAGUUGCGCCCGUGCACCUCACCGAGAUCCUGGCGACCCCAGGAGGCUACGCAAUGUUUUACUUCACUCGCCUGUGCUCUGCAACGCCGUUUCCGCCGAGGUCCGAACUUCGGCCGCCGCAGCCGAGCUCGCCGGCGUCAGCUUCGGCCAUCCCAGCUACUGCUGCUUGCUGGAAUGGAUGCGCGCGUGUGCCAGCAAUCCGUAGCCGCAAACGGCGCGCCAAACCGUCGACCGUGGGCAAAUCCCGAGCCCUUCGCCGUCUCGGGCUUCGCCGGCGACAAGCCGCGGGUCAACUCCGGCGAGUUGACCCGGGGGUUUGACCCCGUCUGACCAGGGUUUGACCACCCUGGGUCACUGACGCAUGGGGCCAGCCCUGCUAAUUAACCCAGGUUAGUGUUAAUUAUUUAGUUAGUUAAUUAGCCUCUGACAUGUGGGCCCAUGCCUUAACUAAACUAGAUUAGGUUUAGUUUAAUUUUAAUUAACCUUGUUAGUUAACUGUGUCACUGACGUGUGGACCCCACUGUCAGGUUUGACUUGGACCAGCCCCUUUGACCUGCUGAUGUCAUGCUUACGCAUGGCUGGCGCAGUUAAUCGUUUUCUGGAUUAAAAAUAAUUCAGAAAACUCCAGAAAUUAGUAUAAACUUCUAAAAUUCAUAGAAAUUCAACCGUAACUCCAAAUGAAAUAAAUUAUAUAUGAAAAAUGAUCAGAAAAAUCCAAGGAAUCUGAAUAUAGCAUUUUCAUGCAUGUUUGAACAACUUAACCUCACUGUUUAGUCCAAAACAUGAUAAUGCACUAUUUGAAUUCAUAGUUUGAAUUUGAAUUUGAACCUAGUGUUCAAACCAACUCCAUUUAACUUGUUGCUAGUUGCAUUAGCUCAAUCAACAGCAUAUUUACAUGCCAUGAUCAUGCAUCAUAUUGUUGCAUCGCAUUGAUUGUGUUCUUCCUUGUUCGUCGGUAAUUGUCCCCUCUCGGUAGACGCUGCUCCGACGCUGUGAUCGUUGACACUGAUGAAGACUCAAUGUUGUCUUCAGAAGUGCCAGGCAAGCACAACCCCCUUGUUCAUUCCGAUACAAGCCCACUCUCUCGCUCCUGCUCUCUUUUACUGCAUUAGGACAACAACGAUUCAUAUGUUACUUGUUGCGGUAGUUAAACCCCUUAUCCUCUUCAUGACCUGUCAUUGCCACAGUAAAUAGAUGAAACCCACUAGCAUGAGUAGGAGUUGUUUGAGCCCUGAUGUGCCUACUCAUUCAUGCUUGUUUGUCAUGCCUGCUAUUGCAUAGAGUUGUGUCAGGUCUGAUUCAUCGGGAAUGAAUCGGAGGUGUGUGAAUAUGUCCUACUGUGUGUGAGCUAAGUGUGUGAGCACGUUUUGGUAAAGGUAGCGGUGAGAGGCCAUGUAGGAGUACAUGGUGGGUUGUCUCAUUGAAACCGUCCUUAGGAACUAAGUUCUGUGUCUGUGAUCCAUGAACAGCUACUACCACUCAUUGGGAUCCUUAAUUGACCCUCUCGGCUUCUUAAUUACCCUAGUACUCUGUCCAGGAGUUGCAACUAGUUUCUGGUGUUUGUAGGCUAUGUGUUGGCGGCCGUGUGUAGCGCUGACCCUAGGGGUGGGCUAUGAUGCGGUAGAUACACCGUGGCAUGGUGUACCGGGCGCCUGUUUGGUGUCUCGGGAACCCUGUUCACAUCGUUCGGGGCCGUAUGUGGAAACCUCGGUCGGACUCCCUAUGGAUAGAACCUGGAUAGACGAUAAACCUGGACUAGAGACUUGAGUGUUUAGGUAGGCCGUGGCCGACACCCUCGUUGGGCUUCCGCUUGAAGGUUGCCGAGUACAUGUCGUGUAAACGACGGUAAGUGGUGAGAGCGUGUGUGAAGAAGUACACCCCUGCAAGGUUAUCAUUAUCUAUUCGAAUAGCCGGAUUCCUCGGAUAUGGAAACUUGGACCCCUUGCAUAGUUCAUAGACAAGCGAAAGUGGAUACUCUAAAACCCGCAAGAUAAGCGUGAGUGCUAUGGAUGGCGUUCUCGUAGGGAGACGGAAGCGGAUCCAUAGUGGUGUAUUGAUAUGGUGAAUAUGUGGACUCAUGUGCGCCACCUCAAAAGAGUUACUUGCAGUCAUAGUUUAGGUUAGCCACUGAGUCAAAGCUGGCUUGCUGCAGUUAAACUCCAUCAACCCCGUCGUUGAUACUGAUGCAUAUGUAGCUAGUUCUGAUGUAAGUCUUGCUGGGUACAUCUGUACUCACGUUUGCCUAUUUUAUGUUUUGCAGAGAGACGUCAGUCUCGCUAAUAGUUCCGUGUGGGCUUCGACGUUUAGCUUGAUAGCUCAACUACGAUCUUAUGCCCUCGGCAGGAUUUGGUAGAUAGUCAGGCUCCUCAACCUUCUUCAUUUUUAGUUGUCUGUACUCAGACAAGUUAAGCUUGCGCAUGUGCUUUGACUUGUAUGCUUUGAAUGUUGGGUCAUGAGACCCAUGUUUGUAAUAUCUCGCUCCUCGGAGCCUAAUGAAUAAAUACUUGAGUCGUAGAGUUAUGUUGUGAUGCCAUGUUGUAUUUACACAUGUUGAGCAUAUUAUGUGUAUGAUUAAAAUGCUUGGUAUGUAUGGGAUCCGACAACCUAGUCGUUUAUCCUUGAUAGCCUCUUUUAUGGGGAAAUGUAGUCUUGUGCUUCCAUGAGCCAUAGUAGUCCGCUACAGCCCGGAUCACCGGAGUCCUGCUAGCCCAGCACUACUGCUCCGGAACACUUGACUGGCCGGCAUGUGAUUCACUUCGUUCCUGUGUCUGUCCCUUCGGGGAAAUGUCACGCGGUGACAUCCGGAGUCCUGCCUAGCCUGCUACAGCCCGGUUCACUGGAGUCCUGUUAGCCCAGUGCUACAGCCCGGAUUCACACGCUGCUGACCGACAUGCUCGAUGUUGAUUCAUGUAUGCCUGUCCCCGUAAGUUAGUGCCACUUUGGGUUUACGACUAGUCAUGUCGGUCCGGGUUCUCUGUCAUAUGAAUGCUAGCGACACUAUCAUAUACGUGAGCCAGAAGGCGCAAACUGUCCCGGGCCAUGGUAAGACGACACCCAUGAAAAUACCGUGCGUGAGGCCGCAAAGUGAUAUGAGGUGUUACCGGCUAGAUUGAUGUGACUUGGAAUCGGGGUCCUGACAGUUAUACUAUAAAUUAGUGAAGUGAGUGGCAGCUAAACCUCCAUCCAGGUUAAAAUGCUCAAGUAUUUUGGAAUGUAUGCACAGAUGGGUUAGUAAAAUUUGGGACGUAGAAUUAUGUUUAUCUAAAAAAAUCUAGAGUAUUGUUUCAUAGUAUUUGGCCAUGCUGCAUGUAUGUGGUACAAACAAUACGAUAUAGAUGUGCAAUUUCUGGUCUUUAACAAGUACAAAGUGAGCAACACUCUUCAAAACUAUCAUAAAAUGCAGAAAGUGCUGCCCAGGCUAGCCUUCUAGGUGAGUUUCGUUCAUGUCCUUCCUUGCUGCUAUGUCGAUCACUGCUUAUAAUUUUUAAAAUGCCAAGCAUUUGCACCUACUGGCUCAGAUUACUUUCAGUACAUCAAGAAAGGAAUCCCACACGUACAAUUUGGUCACAAGAAAAAGGCACAAGCGUCGACAACUCUAGCGAAAAUUAGCCACAUAUUUUGAUUAUUUGAUAUGUUAACAGAGGGAGUAUCUAUCAAAUAAUCAAGUAAAAUAUAUUUUUUACUUUUUGCUCAAUAGAAUUUUCGCAAAAUUAUUGCAACAAAGUUCCGCAACAACGCGCCGGGAAAUUAUCUUGUUAUAUAUAAUGACCAUAACAAGCGUAUUCAGAAGUCUGGUGACCAUAUCAUGCUUUUGCGCAUGUGCGCGGGAGAUGCGAGAGCUUGAGCUGAGCACAUCGGUCCUCUCUUGUGUGUGUGUGGUCUAUCUGAUCCAACGAUUGUGGGUGCAUCAAUCUAUGGCUUUAAAGCGAACGACUUGGGCCUUUGGCCGGCCGACUGGCAUAGAGUAGUGCCCGCUUAUGGCUGGGAUUGUAAUUCAAUCAAGAUAAUAUUGUUGCGCGCAAAAAAAAACAGACCUUUCUUGAAUAUAAACCAAAAUUAAACAUCAUACUAAACAUUAAACAUACUAGCAAUAACGCAUCUACUCGCCGUCCUUGUCGCUGGAGUCGUCCUCGCAGGGCAAGGGCUCGUUGCCGUGGAGGGUGUGGUAGAUGAGCGUGCUGGAGAGGGUAUAUAUGAAUUGGCACUCCUUGAAGAGCGUNNNNNNNNNNNNNNNNNNNNNNNNNNNNNNNNNNNNNNNNNNNNNNNNNNNNNNNNNNNNNNNNNNNNNNNNNNNNNNNNNNNNNNNNNNNNNNNNNNNNNNNNNNNNNNNNNNNNNNNNNNNNNNNNNNNNNNNNNNNNNNNNNNNNNNNNNNNNNNNNNNNNNNNNNNNNNNNNNNNNNNNNNNNNNNNNNNNNNNNNNGCGCUCGGCCGCAGCUGCAUCUCCGGGAGGGGGGGGGGGAGGGGGGGCUCCUUCGCCUCCCACCAGGCGCGCUCGGCCGCCCGAAGGCGCUGGACUGAUGGAUCGAAGAUCCGCCCGAGGCGACGAAAGAUCGCCCACGCUGGCGCUCCGGCGAUGCGGGACAACGUGUCUGCUCCAUGCGCAUUUCCGACACCGGAGGGCGGAGGGAGGAGCUUCCGGCCUCGUCCUCGUUGCAUCGUUUGCGGCCGCCGAACCCCCCGCCACCGCCACGCCCGGCACCCACUGACGCCAUCUCCGGCAACUUCCGGCGGUUCAAUGCGGCGCAAAAUCACAGCAGGAGGUCUAGGGAUUUCUCGCUGGAGGAAGAAUUUCACGGCGGAGGUGGAUGUGGGAAAACGGGACGGGAACCCUAAAAGCCCCGGAGCCCACAUAUAUGGAGGAAUGGAGGGCGGUUUAUGGGCCGCGUGUAAAAGGCCGGGUCCUUUUUAGUGGACUUGUUCAGGCCGUAUUUUUGGUCCAUCCUGUAAAAGCGAUAAAAAAAAGGCAUUUCACCGGAUUUAUACAGGAUCUGCUAGACAUACUGUAAGUAUAUACAACAAAAACAGACGAAACCAUCCAUACAAAUGUCGUCGGAAAAAAAUUGGGUGGAGACCGUCUCCACGGAUCCUUCCCUGCGUACCUGACGUGAGAUUGUGCCACCUGUCCCAUGUUUGCAUCCCACGGCAUCCGCUAUAGCACUCCUUUUUUCGGCUUGUUCCUUCACUCCCGGCGCUUCCGCUCGGCUCAUCGGUACUUGUUAUAUCGGUUCACGAAACUGAAGACGAUCCCCCAUCUGGUUCCACGCUCAGCGGACAGCCAAGGCCGAGCGACGCCGUCGGAGCAGAGUGGCGGCGACGGUAUCGUGGCCCGUGUGUGUCCGUGGGAUAGCUGCUUGAUUUGUCGGCGUCAGAAGAUCCAGAUCAGACUGGCAGCCGCCGUGGCGGCCGUAGUUGGACAUGGAGGGGGCCCUGCUGGCUGAUGGCGUGCAGCGCCAACUCGGCGAGUAUCGUGCGUGCAUGGCGCCGGAGUGCUCUCGUGGCCAUGAGCUCGCCGGAUUUGAUAUCCGUGUGCACCCACUCGUUUGUAAACCAACAACUGAAUGAAUUCGUUUCCCGAUUCAGAAAAAGAGCAGCUUUUCACCGAUGAACCAGCACCUUGCAUAAUAGUUUGAUUUUCUAGCCUUUCGGUGUAGCAAUUUUUUUGUCAAUGGGCAUCACAAUUGUAAUACCCUCUCUCCCUAGAGCAUGACUGUAUAAUAGUCCAACGAGUAUAGUUUUCAGAUUUCAACUAUGUUUGAUAUCACACUGUAUUUCUAUUAUCAGUAAGCAAAAAUAUGUUCCCUUUUUUGCAGCAGUUGUUCAUGUAAGUUUCUUGGAUAGCAUUGUUAUAUGCUCUAUGCUGCCGGCACCAUCGCACGCAACUUGUUUGUGUUCCACAAAGCCUCCUGCAGUUUAGAUGUCAGAGUUUUCUGAACUUCUCUGAAUUAUAAUUGAUGCACUAAUAGUUGAGGCUUGCAAAUAGGUUUAGAGUGGCCGAUUCAUAGAUAGUUGGGGUAGGAAGAGGGAACAAGUAAAGGUUAAACGGAGAAGGUGAUGACCGAGAACAUGAAGUAGACCGUGUUAAGUAGACUGUAUUAUUUGUGCAAUUUCAUGGCCUGCUACGAGGUCGGGAAAGAUGUCAAAUGCCUGCUGAAGUUCUGCUCAAUGGAUUGCAAGGAACUAUGUUAUUUUGGUUACAACGUACUUUCUUCAGUGAAUUUCAAGAUUCAGAAUCUUAUGAUGAAAAUAAUGAUUAAUCUUUAUUGUAAAUUGUUCAGAAUUAUUGAUUGUAAAUUUUCGGAUCUGUAAAAGGAUAGAUACUUGCGAUCAUCUAUAAAUUGAAAGAAAAACUGAUGUUCUUUUACAUGCUCAUAUCUUUGAUUUUGUUGCAUAAUAAAAUGUUGGAUCCUCUCAUUGUUCAAGUAUUCUAACAGUGUCAUGGCUAUGUCAUACUCCUGGACUUCCAUUACAUGCCGCAGCAGCAAGUCUAUGUCGCAAUUUGCUGCGUCCAGGGUCACUGUCGGCAGCGGGCUGUACGAGAUGGAGCAGGAACCGUCCUCAUCCGCGUGAUUUACAUGAUCCAAGACGACAAUAGUGCCGAACGCCGGCGUGGCAUCUCCCGUCCUUCUCGAUGGAGGCAGCACUUCAGGCAGCGGGGCACGACCUGCGGAGGCCAUUGGUGUAUUUCCGGCCCGAUGCGGCCAUGGGAGAGAGAUGGCGGCGAGUCGUUCUGGCGUGCUGCGGCCAUCGCCGAAUCAAGGAACCCACGCGCACCAAUCCAAUCAUGUGGAGAAGACGGCGCCAGUCGCUCGCCAUGGAAACCCUGAUCGCAGCGGAAGUGAUUGAUACGAGCUGAAUAGUUCUUUCUUCGAGCCGAUGCGAAGUACUCGAGCCGAGAAACGUACGUACAGGAGCGGAUGAGAGGAUAGCGUCAGAUGAAGAGCAGGGACAGAUGGCGACAGAUUAGAGCGGGUACGCACAGUCGGGGGUUUGGAGCCCGUCUCCACCCAAUUUCUCCCUUGCACCGUGACCGUCCAUGGCGCCCUCCUUCCUCGGACCUCCUCUCCGCCACCCGCUUCCACGCGCUCGCAUUUCCCAUGCAUCACCAUCCGCGCUUCGCCUCAGACACCACCGUCUCGCCCUCCUCCCCAUCGCCGCGACGCACCACACGCGAAAGAAUCCACCAAUUGCUCUCCCCGGCCGGACGUACGAACAAUGGCACCGAGCAAGCUCCGCAAGGCGCUGGGAGCGGUCAAGGACAAGACCAGCAUCGGUCUGGCCAAGGUGGGCGGCGGCAGCGGUUUCGCGUCGCCGGAGCUCGAAGUGGCCAUCGUCAAGGCCACCAAGCACGAUGAGAACUUCCCCGCCGACGAGCGCCACAUCCGCGAGAUCGUCUCGCUCACGCGCGACUCCCGCGGGUCCGCCAGCGCCUGCGUGGCCGCGCUGUCGCGCCGUCUCGGGCGCACCCGGAGUUGGGACGUGGCGCUCAAGACGCUGGUGAUCGUGCACCGCCUCCUCGCCGAAGGCGAUCCGGUGUUCGAGCAGGAGCUAUUCUACGCCACGCGGCGGGGCACGCGCAUGCUCAACAUGUCCGACUUCUGCGGCCGCGCUAGCGACGACGACGCGUGGGACUACUCCGCGUUCGUCCGCACCUACGCCGCUUACCUCGACGACCGCCUCGAGCACCGGAUACAGGCCAGGCAGGGCGGCCCCAACCGCUGCAAGCUGCUCCGCGACGAGCUCUACGUGUCCCCCGGAGACCGCCUCAGCCGCGAGGGUGUUGACGGGAGUAAACGGGAGGAUGCGGCGGCGGACGCCGACGCCGCCAAGGCGGGGGCGAUCGCGCCGAGGGAGACGCCGACGAGCGAGAUGACGCUGGAGCAGCUCCUCGCCAAGGUCCAGCAACUGCAGCAUCUCCUCGACCGAUUCAUCGCCUGCCGACCCGCAGGUGAGUCCAUCCGUGCGUGCACGCAACUGUUUGCUCACCUUACAUUCUCGUGUGGGAUUCGGAUCAUGCCAUUGCCGAGGUGCACUGACAUGGAACGACACGUCUCAGGCGCGGCGAAGACGAACCGGGUGGUGUCGGUGUCUCUGUACCCGCUGGUGAAGGAGAGCGUGCAGCUGUACUGCGAGCUCACGGAGGUCAUGGCCGCGCUCAUGGAGCGGUUCCCGGACAUGGAGAGCGCGGACUGCGAGCGCGUGACCGGAGUCUUCUGCGGCCUCGCCAAGCAGAUCGAGGAUCUCGACUCUUUCUACGCGUGGUGCAAGGACGCCUACGUCUGCCGCCAGUCCGACGUGCCGGAAGUGGAGGUCAUCACGCAGGAGAGGCUAGAGCUCAUGGACGAGUUCAUCUGCGACAGGCGCGGCGCCGAGUAUCUGCGGAGGCUGCCGCCGCCGUCGCCGGAGCCGUCCAGCCCGGAGCCAGAGGUCGAGGAGUACGACAUGAGCGCCGCCAGGGCCCUUCCGGCGCCCGCGGAGCCGCCGGCUGCCGUGGAGAAGGAGCCCGAUGCCAGCGAGACGGCGCAUGCUGAGCCGGAGGCUCCGCUGAUCACAACCGACGUGGUCGACGAGGAGGCGGACUUCUUGAACUUGAAGGCGGACGCCAUGUCCGGGGAAGAGCACGGGCGGCAGCUGGCGCUGGCCCUGUUCGACGGCAACCCGGCCGGAUCGGCGCCGACAUGCGACGUGUUCGACCCGUCAUCGGCGGACUGGGAGACGGCAUUGGUCGAGUCGGCGAGCGCGCUCGCGAACCAGCGCGCGAUGCUAGGGGGCGGGCUCGACAUGAUGGCCCUCGAAGGCAUGUACAACCACGCAACGGCGGCGAACGCGCAGGCGUUCUCCGGCAGCGCGAGCAGCGUGGCCUUGCGGCCGCCCGGAGCGCCCAUGCUGGCCCUGCCUGCGCCGCCGGGGAUGUGCAGCGCCGCGCCAGGUGGGGACCCCUUCGCGGCGUCGAUGGUGGUGCCGCCGCCGACGUACGUGCAGAUGUCCGACAUGCAGACGAAGCAGCAGCUUCUGACGGAGGAGCAGAUGGCGUGGCAACAAUAUGGCAAGAAUGGCAUGCAAGGGCAGGGGGGCCUGGCAAUGCGAGAGCAGAGACCGCAGCAGCUCAUGCCUCCUGGCGUUUACCAUCGUGCUUCUUAGAUUUCAUGAAAUGUCAUUCGAUCUAUUUACUUUCAUUAUUGGCGAUGAAUUGGAGAUCAGGUAGUCUAAUGUACAGUGAGGUUUAAAUGAAAACAAAUGUAAAGGUUGCAGUAAACAGCGCGUGUUUGACCUCUCUUAUCUGACCAAAAGUUUACGAAGGCACAAUAUUUUUCACUCUAGCGUCUAGCCUACUGGUAGCAUUGGAAAAGCUUGGACAGUGACUUUUAUUACUCCCUCCUUCUCAAAAUAUAAGGCGCUGAUUGACUUUUCUAGUCUUCGUUGCAUAACUUUGACUAUAAUUUUCACAUAUUGUAUGUCCAUAAAAUUAGUAUACGGAAAUAUGAAAUAAAAUUAUUUUGCAAGACAAAUACGACUAUGCCUUUUAUACAUGUUCAGUUCAUGUACUUUGAUACUCCUAUAUAUAUUUGUGGUCAAAGUCAUGCAUCAAAGACCAUACAAAGUCAAACGCGCCUUAUAUUUUGGGAAGGAGGAAGUAUAUCACAAAGAGGUUCCUUAACAACUAAAAUUUCAUAUGUGCGGGUUGAUAGUGGAUGAUUGGGCCGUGUUUCUCUUUGUUGUGCGUGGUGUGGACGAACCACGGCUGUGCGGCUUCGAUGGCAAGGUGUUGUGGUGUGAGGCUACAAGGACGCCCCAAACCUGAGCGGAGAUGUACGGCGAUACAGAUGAACAUCCUGCCUGGUUUUUGCCGGGGCGGCGGCGAUGGCACCCGCGGCUGUCAUUUCUCUCCUUGGAGGUGUCGCCGAGCCGUGUCGCUUUGUUGUCUCCAGGUGAAAGCUUUGAUUGGGUGCAGGAUAGGCACAAUUGCGGCGUUCUUAAUGUCGUCCCUCUGUUGGGAGCAUCGUGUCUGAAGACAUGGUUUGGAGGUCCUUCGUUGCGCUCCUUCGGUGUUCGCCGUUAUCCAUCAUGGAUCUUCUGCGGCGCAAUGUACGGCCGUCGCCGGUGACUUCAAAAUUGUGCUUUUCUCCGGUCUGAUUAAGCCCCGCCAUACACUUGCCACCUCCUUUAGGCAUAUAUAAAGGGUGGAUGAUGCGUCGACGAGGGAAGCUUGACAGGAGCUAGCUCUUUUGCGUUGUAGUUGUUUCGUCUUGGUGUUGGACUAGCCGGAUGUGCAGUGUAUGCUACGCUCGUUGUUCGCAACUAUUUGUAGUUAUCUUGUACUCCCUCCAUUCACUUUUAUAAGUCGUUUCAGACAAGUGAAAUUGUGCUGUUUUGCACACUAUCUGAAACAUCUACAAAGCCUUAUAAAAGUGAACAGAGGGAGUACUUGAAUUAUCUUUCUAAAACUAUAUAUGGUGCGCAAUUUGUGUACUUUCCAGGAAAAAAAUUCACAUAUGUAUAUACACAAUACUUCAAACUGUGACUUGUAUCUCUGCUAAUCUCCCAUGGAAAGAAGCCAAAACCUGACAACAGAAAGCAUGUGGAAAUAGCUGAGACCAAGAUCUGUUUGUGAUAUUAUUACACGCACGUCUUGAAGGAAAACAUGGAGUAAUGAUAUUGCUAGAAGGAUCAGAGAGACUGUUAGGAGCUAGGGUUCUGUUGGUUCUAGGGCGGAGAUUGUAGGGGAAAGAUGGAGGAAGACGAGGUCAAGGGCGCGGCGGCCGGCGGCUGGGCGCGUCCUUGCGUGGUGGAGAAGAGGCGGCGGCGGCGCAAGAGGCGGCUAGGGUUAGGUCUCCCGGCUCCCUAAGGGAAGCCGAGCAAAUACUGAUUGCUUCUUGCUUGAUUAGAUUGAUACAUCUCCUCUCCUUAUGUAGAGAGGUUUACUUGACUCCUAAGAAAACGAUCCUAAUACCGAUAAGAUAACUGGGCUAAGCCCCUAAUAACGAUAAGAUAACUUGGGCCACAGCCCACCUAAUAUGUCGGUCAUAACACUUCUCCCCUCCUGCACAAACAGCUCGUCCUCGAGCUAUAAGGCGGGGAAGCGCUUACUGAACUCCUCGAGGUGAUCAACCAGCAUCAAACACCUCCGCAACAGCUGGGGCGGCCAGGUCGCCGAGCCCGGCGGCGACGGCGUCCUCCUCAAUGUAAUCUGCAGCCUCCAGGUAGAAGAGUCGGGGGCAGACGUGGCCGGGCAUGUAGGUCUCGUCGCAGUUGAAGCACAACCCUUGGCGGCGACGCUCGAGUAGCUCGGCCGAGGUGAACCGGCGGAACGGGCGCGCCGCGGUCGCGGCAAGGUGUGCUGCGGAAGCCUGAGCAGGCUGACCCUGCUCGGAAACAUCCGGCCAGGGUGGCGGCCCAGCGGCCCGGGACGAUGAUGCCUGCUGGAUGGCCACCGCGCGGCGUUCGAACGCACGGGCGUAGUACAUGGCCGUCUGGAGGUCCCGGGGUCCCUGCAGCUCGACGUCCACGCGGAUAUGAUCUGGCAGACCACCGACGAAGAGUUCGGCCCGCUGGUGAGCCGUCACGGCGGACGCGUGGCACGCCAGGGCCUGAAAGCGAUCGAUGUAGUCCUGCACCGUAGAGGUGAAGGGAAGGCGGCCCAACUCCGCCAGCCGGCUCCCACGUAUCGGUAGUCCGAAGCGAAGGAGGCAGAACUCGCGAAAACGCUCCCAUGGGGGCAUGCCGCCCUCGUCCUGCUCGAGGGCGUAGUACCACGUCUGUGCGUCGCCGCGGAGGUGAUAAGAGGCGAGCCAGGUGCGGUCCGACGCGAGCAUCCAUUGCCCCCGGAAGAACUGCUCGCACUGGUUGAGCCAGUUGAGGGGGUCCUCGGCGCCGUCGUAGGUGGCGAAGGCGAGCUUGGCGAAGCGCUGCGGUGUCUGAGCAUGACCGCCAUGAGUGUACGGCUCGGCGGUACGGAGCAGCGAAGAGGAUGGCAUUGGUCCGAUGUGCACAGGUGGUCCGCAGGAAAGCGGUGGCCCGUCGAAGCCAGCGUGGAAAUCCGCGGAGUCGGAGGGCCCGUCGUACGACAGGGAGGACGCCGGCUGGUCGACGGCCAUGGUGUAGACUGGCGGUGGUGACGUCCCGGGCAACCAGGCCGGAAGCUGGGAUGGCGAGGGCGGGAACUGCACUUGCUGAAUCGGCACGCCCGCCGGCGCGGUUGUAGUCAGCCCGGUGCUGGGCGGUGGAGGCGCCGGCAGCGGCAGCUGCUGCUGCCUGGAAACGGCGGAGGUGGCGGGUGCGGCGAUGGCCGCGGCCGGCCAGUGUGGCCAGAUCGGGGCGGUGGCGGGGGCUGGCUGUAGCUGCAGCGGCCCGACCAGCGUCACGGUGGCCCCGGGGUGCGGCGGCUGCCAGGGCUGCCAGGGCGGUGGCGGCGACGACCCNNNNNNNNNNNNNNNNNNNNNNNNNNNNNNNNNNNNNNNNNNNNNNNNNNNNNNNNNNNNNNNNNNNNNNNNNNNNNNNNNNNNNNNNNNNNNNNNNNNNNNNNNNNNNNNNNNNNNNNNNNNNNNNNNNNNNNNNNNNNNNNNNNNNNNNNNNNNNNNNNNNNNNNNNNNNNNNNNNNNNNNNNNNNNNNNNNNNNNNNNNNNNNNNNNNNNNNNNNNNNNNNNNNNNNNNNNNNNNNNNNNNNNNNNNNNNNNNNNNNNNNNNNNNNNNNNNNNNNNNNNNNNNNNNNNNNNNNNNNNNNNNNNNNNNNNNNNNNNNNNNNNNNNNNNNNNNNNNNNNNNNNNNNNNNNNNNNNNNNNNNNNNNNNNNNNNNNNNNNNNNNNNNNNNNNNNNNNNNNNNNNNNNNNNNNNNNNNNNNNNNNNNNNNNNNNNNNNNNNNNNNNNNNNNNNNNNNNNNNNNNNNNNNNNNNNNNNNNNNNNNNNNNNNNNNGGCGGCUGAAGCGGCCAGUGGUGGUGUAGAGGCCCCGUCGGCGCCGCGGGUGCCGAAUACCACGGCAGGGCGGCCGGCCCGGUCACGGCGGCCGGCGACCCGUAGGGGCCGGCUAGGUAUAGUUGUAUCCCCUGGACGGCGGUGACGAGAUCGUUGAGGACCCCGGUGAUCUCCACCGGGGAGUAGACGGCGGCCGAUGGUGCGGUGGAGGGCGCCGUCAUCUGGGCGGUGGCGGCGCCGAAGAAUGCGACCAGCGGCACGGACGGGGAGGGCAGCGGCGCGGUGGAGAAGGCCAGCGGCGUGGUGGUGACGGUCGGCACCGGAAGCGACAGGAUGGGCGGCGGCGAAGACAUGAUCGGAACUGAGCUACCUGAUACCAAGGUGUUAGGAGCUAGGGUUCUGUUGGUUCUAGGGCGGAGAUUGUAGGGGAAAGAUGGAGGAAGAUGAGGUCAAGGGCGCGGCGGCCGGCGGCUGGGCGCCGUCCUUGCGUGGUGGAGAAGAGGCGGCGGCGGCGCAAGAGGCGGCUAGGGUUAGGUCUCCCGGCUCCCUAAGGGAAGCCGAGCAAAUACGGAUGGCUUCUUGCUUGAUUAGAUUAAUACAUCUCCUCUCCUUAUAUAAAGAGGUUUACUUGACUCCUAAGCAAACGAUCCUAAUACCGAUAAGAUAACUGGGCUAAGCCCCUAAUAAUGAUAAGAUAACUUGGGCCACAGCCCACCUAAUAUGUCGGUCAUAACAGAGACUACAUUAUGCCUUUCUCAAUGACUGCACUCUAGGAUCCAAACCUUCAUUUGACUUCAGCAGCAUUAUAUUUAUAUUAGGAAAACACCUGCACUUCAGGACCACCAUUAUUUUCGAUCUUUCAGCAGACAUAUAUUGGGAUUGGUUGAUUUACCUCUGAAGUAAAUACUAAUUUGUCAACAAACCAAACAUCAUUAUUUAUUCUAAAUGUUUAGAUAGGGGACCGCUUGACAUACGCAAACAACUUCACAAGCAAUACAUUUAUCAAAUUCAAAGUGGAUUCGCAAUAGGAAACACUCUGGUGUUCUUUUUCAAAGCCAUAGAAUGAGUGGGUCUGCGAUCAAUCAACAAAUCAACACACACGAACAGCACAAAUUCACACAAAACAAAAAUCGGGAGAAAGAAUCCAGGCAAUACAACUGUAAUCACCUGGCACCUGGAAGACAUCAAGCAUUGUGGCGACAAAAACAUAAUGAUGGUUUACAAUAAUAAUAAUAAUAAUAUUAAUGACGAUGGUUCAAAUACAGUAGUACUACUUUGACAGAAAAUAGAUAGAAGAUGCGACUUAAGCUAUUAAGUUGUCACUAGGUUUAUGGACAACGCAUCAAACAUGGCAGUUAUUACAGAAAGAACAAGAUGGACUGCAGCAUCUCCACCCAGACAAGACAUCUUCCAAACCAGCAGAAAACAGUUUCUCCGCGGUAUAGCAGUAAGCUAAGCUCGGUCUGUGCUCGUGAUUGAGACACAACCAAGUUCCGGCUUCUUCAAUAGAGCAGCAGCCAUGCCAUGAUACAAACACCAUUGUUGGGUCAUCUCGAGCAGGGACCAACAUCCAAGAUCCAUCAAGAGUCACAUCAGACAAUGAUGGACAACCAAAACCAGAAUCAGCAGCAACUUCCAACAUCAAUGACCACAAAGGUAACAGACUUGGUACCUCAAAAGUUGCUAUCUAUGAGAAUGGGUCUUUCAUGGCUGGGUUCAAGCAGUAGGAGCUUGCAGGCUUAUUGGAAACAGAAGGCAUGUCAUCAAAAGUGCUAGGCAUUGGUUCCAAUGGUGGAAGCGGUCCACUUGCUAAGAAAGUUGAUUGAGUGGCACCAUCACCGUAGUGAAGGCCAUUAGAUGAUUGAUCCAGUGGGUACUGCGAAAACUGAUUGUUUGGCACAGACAAAUAGGAGAAGGUUCCACCAGGCAAAUCAUAGGAGAAUGUUUCACCAGAAAAAUCAUAGGAGAAAGUUUCCCCAGGAGCAAACAGAUCAUCCAACCCUAUAUAAUCAUCAUCCAUAGCAAGCCCAGAGUUUGUUUGCUGCAAAUUGUUUUCAAUAACAUCCCCGUUGCUAGCAGGGAAAUUUGCAGCAGGCAUAUCUCCUGACUGGGCAAGUACUGCCAAUUGGUCAUAGAGCUCAGCAGUAUUUAUCUCAAAAGCUUGAGCCUCACGCUCAGACAUUGGAGGCAGACCAGAAUUCUACAACAAAAGAUGUAAAAAGGUUAUUAAAAAAAUAUAAUUCCUUCGGUACAAACAUACAGAAUAUGAUAAGCAAGAAGUCAGCAAGCUAAUACCUCCGGCGAACGUACGUCAUGGUUGGGAGAAUCAUUCAAAAACUUUGUCAGUUCGUCCAACAAUAUCCCAUCAAUUUCAGGAGGCGCAUCAUUGACCUGAUCAGAACAGAUAUUAACAUGUUCGGAAAAUUGAACAGAUUGCUGAGGAGCGGAUGGUUCGUGAAUAACUAUUGCAGUAGCCAAGGCAGAACUUUCGACCUGUGGAUCCUCUACACCUGAGGACGGUGCAAAAGAGAAGAUAGAAGAUCCAACAUCUAAAUUCUCCCAUUCGUUUUCAUCAAAAGGAGCCCCAUAUUGCUCACCAAUCCUUGGGCCAAGCCCACUCUUUUUAAAUAUCUUGCAGAGUACAUAAGCAUCCUGAAACAAACAGACAGCAAAUAUAUUUAAUUAAGCUUGCAGAGAAUUUGAAAGAAAUACUAGGAUCACAGCUUUCUAACUAAAUAUAAAGGCAACUAAUCACGCUCAGUUUCAGCCAUAAGCAAAAGAGCAUGCCUCAAAACAUAUUCCAGCAUGGUAGAAUCUUUCAUAUACAGUGAACAUACUUCAAAAAAGUGAAACAAACAAAAACAUUAGAUAAGAGUUUAAAGUACCUUCGAGAAACCAGCAGACACCAAAGUUUCAUCUUCCAUUUUGUAUUCAUACAUCACCCAAUCAGUCCUGUUGCCUUUCGGUGCCUUGCCUUCAUGAAAAAUCAAUGUUUUCUUCAACCCAACAAUGCGAGAGUUCAGCUCAAUUGUUCUGUCUUUUCCACUUGUUUUCCAAUAACCAUUUGGUGUGGCACGGUUCGUCCUAGACCCUUUAGGAUACUUCUUGUCACGGGGGCAAAAGAAGAACCACUCAAGAUCUUUGCUCUGAAGACAUGAUUUAUCUGCACAGAAAAACAGAAGGUCACAACAAAGUUGAGAACUAAAUUCAACCAAAGUGAGAGCAUUAUGAGAAAUAUAGAUUAAUUUCCAACCAAUUUGGGUGAAAUUAUUACAUAUAAAAAAUAAAACAAUAGAUGAAAAUUACCAGGAAGGUCCCAAGGAGCAAAUUUGUACAGCUCAACCUCUGAGAUAGCUUCAACAAAAAGUUUCUUCCCCAUAAUCUUCCUUUUCAAGUAGUAAGAAACAAGCUCAACAUCAGUUGGAUGGAAACGAAAGCCAGGUGGCAGGCAAGUUUGAGCCAUCACUGCAGUGGGUGUCUUGCGCUCAGUAUCAGCAGAAGAACACAAGAGGUGAAACACAACCAGAAUUGCUUCACCAGAUUAUGCAAUUAACAAUACCAGUAAAUCAGGGAAAUAUCAAGUUUGGCAAGAAAGCUUCAGUCCUCGAAAGACAGAAUUCAAGGCCGCAGAUCAACCAAACUUAAGGAGAGGAGCUCUCAAGAGAACAAACAAGAACCAGAGAAGAGAGCUUCAGAAGAUUGCCGUGUGAGCAGAGGACAGCUCACGUUAUGACAACUAUUCUGAAGGGAGGAUCAAAGGAUGGAUGAGAUUAGACCAGAGGAGAGAAUGGUCCAACCAAAAGCUGGAGGAGAAACAACUUAUGGAAAACCAGGCUUGGCAAGACUCAAGGAAAGCAGUACACCAAGGACUCAAGCGACAAAUGUUUCUGAACUCAGAUGAGAGAAGUUUGAGUCUUGCCAAUUAAACCAACUACCACUGAUUCACAUGAUAGGAAGUACUCGCACAAAACUCCAGAUGAUCCACUUGUAUCAAGUGAAUUCUCGGAAUUUUAUGCAAUAUAUGAACCAGAAGUAGCACGAGUGGAAAUAAGGGGAUCCCUCGCUGACUUCAAAAGACAUGAGUGACUGAGAUCAAAAACCUGCAUGAGAUUAGAAAACAUCGUCAGAAAGGAAAAACAUAAACAGCAGAAAAAUACAGAAUACAUGUGUUCUAUGUUUUAUCCUUCGAUCCAAAUAACUAAAGUCCCAGGAAGCAAAGAAAAGACUGCAUAUAGCAAGUGAAUUUUACAUUGUACGCAAUUCAAAGUGAAAUAGCGCAUUAACAACAUGAAUCUAACCUACACCAUCGCUUCACCAGAUUUUACUAGUAUAUUUCAUAUUGGCUCGGAUGUAACUCAUGAAAAAACUAGUUGACAAAAAGAAAACUGUGAAAAGGAUCAUACAGGACUUUCAGCGCUGCACUUAGAUAACCAAAGAUCAAACCAUUGUGAGCACCUAAUAUAUUUUCACCAAGUUCAGGUACCCCAAAAUAUUGAGCUUAAUCACAAACCACAUCAGUGCAGCAGAAAUAAAAAUAUAUAAUAAGCACAUUAGCAUCCAACCUACGAUCUAACCAAAACUUACACGCUAUGAUACUUCAUAGGCACAGAUGAUAUUAUUAACAAAACAAAAGUAAUUUUUCCCACAAACGGAAAAAAAAAACUAACGGAUGUUUCCUAGAAUAAACUGCCUUGGAUCAGUUCCGGACCAUUAGUUCAACCAUCUAAUAGAAUCCACCGAUCCAUCACAAGGCACCCAAAGGAAUCGAGCCUAAAUAGACGCUGAACAAUCCAAUUCCCGACCAAAUCUCAAACUUUCGCGACGCUACUACAACAUCUGGAUCGCAUAACCCCAAAUCAACGCGUAGAUCGACCGAUCGAUCGACCACAAACCCUAAUCGGCCGUAAACUUCGACGGACGGAAGACCAGACCAAUCCGUGCGGCGAUUGCUUAACCACCACCUCAGAAUCGACGGAUCGGACGCAGAUCGCCCGAAUUGGCCAUCGGAUCGACACGAACCAUGACUCGCAACAAUCGGCCCCGAUCUACCCAGAUCGAUCGAAGGAAGGGAUUGGGGGAGAUCGGGAGGGGCGCUUACGAGGGAGAACCGGGGAAGCCAGCAGGACGAUGGGGGAUGCCGAGGGGGAGGAGGUGAGCGCCGCCGUCUGGUCAAUUGUGGAGGAGAUGAGAUGAGGUGAGGUUUUGGGGGAAGCAAUCUCGCGUCGCUGGGUGCGGGGCUCUUUUAUACCGGAAAAACGCCGGGGGCGUGGUGCUGGGCCGGGACACUGACUGCCUGGGCCCGCCGGUCCGGGAGUAUAGUAGUAUUUUUUAAUCCCCUUGUGCGCUUCCCGGAAACUUCCGCUCCACGCGACGAUUGCCCAAUGAAAAAAAUUAUAUGAGACCAGGUCUCAUAUAAAUCAGGUGAGACCCGCCCUGAUGAAUGACAUGUAGCAUUCACAAAUCACAAAGCAUCUAAUUUCUCCCCCUGAUUUUAGGUGGGGGGUAGGGUGGAUGCUUUGUGAUUUGUGAAUGCCACGUGUCAUCCAUCAGGAUAGGUCUCACCUGCUAAUCCGUGAGACCUGUUCUCAUAGAAUUUUUUCCCAAUCUUUCCUGGCCCAAAAGUCCAGCCCGGGCGUUUGACCUGCGUCUCCUAUUGGCUGCGGGUUUUUUUUUAAGAGGGAAAGAGUGAGAAUUUUGGGGCUGGGGGGUUAAAUGCGUAAUUGUUUCCAUGUUUCGGUAGUUACGAUGCGAUUUCUGUUCUUUGGUUUCUCUGUCCUACUACGGGUGUCGUGGGGCCGCACGUCGCUGAUGGGUGGGGCAGCGGUUGUGUGGGCCACACCGCUCGGGAUGUGGGUCCGCGGGCUCUUGGAGAGAAAAGUCAGCAGCACGACGCGAGUUUGAGAUGUUCCGGUGUCAUUAUCGUGUCAGACGGUGCAUCAUCCGACGCGACACAAGCAGGGUGCUCGCCCUUUUCGUUCAGGAACAUUCGUCUUUUCUCGAUUUGUUGAGGGUCUCUUUUCUGGUUAAUUCCUUUUGAGGAUCGGCGGUCGGUCCACCAUGAUUCUCCACGGACAAACAUAUUCACACGGCCGUAUGAGAACAUGUCCUUUUUGGGUACCACUCGUUCUUCGGCAAGAUUACAUUCUGCAUUGUACGAAGUUUGACCACGAUUGGUGUCUUUCUUUUUUUUUCUUCUUUCUCCUACAAAUAGUGGUACUCCUCUAGUCUGAAAUUGUCCCACUUUCCAUUUGGAUAGUCUCGUUUCACCUUUUUCUCUUGCCCUUUGACACCAGUUGAUAAAAGAUGAGAGCCAUGUAAGAUAUAUCGAGGUGACAUUCUCAGAAAGAAAAAGAUAUAUUGAGGUGACACAAUCGCACUGGGUGAAUGUCCGACCUUCACAUAGAACGAUGCACACAACCAGCAAAUGUCCGACCUCCAUGUAGCACGAUGCACACAACCAAUGAUGGAGCUACAGAAAAAGGUUGAGUCGGCCAGAGAGCACGCCUUUUCCAUUAUGUGUUGUGUUGUGCUAUGCUGAGGCGCCCGGUGUCUGCUUCUGAGCUCCUUUGCUACAUGCAUGUUUUGUUGAGGAACGUAGCAAAUAAUUUUAAAAAAAAAUCUACGUGUCAUCAAGAUCAAUCUAGGAGAUACUAGCAACGAGAGAGAGGGAGUGCAUCUUCAUACCCUUGAAGAUCGCUAAGCGUAAUCGUUGCAAGAACGCGGUUGGUGGAGUCGUACACGCAACGAUUUAGAUCGCGGUCAAUUCCGAUCUGAGCGACGAACAACGACGCCUCCGUGUUCAACACACGUACAAGCCGGGGACGUCUCCUCCUUCUUGAUCCAACAAGGGGAGAGGAGAAGUUGAGGGAGAACUCCGACAACACGACGGCGUGGUGGUGAUGGAGCUCGUGGUUCUCCGGCAGAGCUUCGCCAAGCGCUACGGAGGAGGAGGAGGAGGUGUUGGAGAGGGGGAGGGCUGUGCCAGGGGAAGGGUGCGGCUGCCCUCCCACCCCCCACUAUAUAUAGGGGCAAGGGAGAGGGGGCGGCCCCCCUUAGAUGCAUCUAGAGGGGGCAACGGCCAAGGAGGAGGCUUGCCCCCCAAGCUAGGUGGGGGCGCCCCCUCUAAGGUUUUCCCCAACCCUAGGCGCAUGGGCUCUAAGGGGGAGUUGGCGCCCAGCCCACCUAGAGGCUGGUUCCCCUCUAUAUUCAGCCCAUAGGGCCCUCCGGGGCAGGUGGACCCUCCCGGUGGACCCCCGGAACCCCUUCGGUGGUCCCGGUAUAAUACUGGUAACCUCCCGAACACUUCCGGUGACCGAAUAAGGAUUUCUCAUAUAUAGAUCUUCAUCUACGGACCAUUCUGAAACUCCUAGUGAUGUCCGGGAUCUCAUCCGGGACCCCGAACAACCUUCGAUAACCACAUACUAUUUUCCAUAACAACUCUAGUGUCGCUGAACCUUAAGUGUGUAGAACCUACGGGUUCGGGAACCAUGCAGACAUGACCGAGACAUCUCUCCGGCCAAUAACCAACAACAAGAUCUGGAUACCCAUGUUGACUCCCACAUGUUCCCCGAUGAUCUCAUCGGAUGAACCACGAUGUCGGGGAUUCAAUCAAUCCCGUAUACAAUUUCCUUUGUCCAUCGGUAUGUUACUUGCACGAGAUUCAAUCGUGGGUAUCCCCAUACCUCGUUCAAUCUCGUUACCGACAAGUAUCUUUACUCGUUCUGUAACGCAUGAUCCUGAUGUCUACUACACAACCUUCUUCUUGUAGACGUUGUUGGGCCUCCAAGUGCAGAGGUUUGUAGGACAGUAGCAAAUUUCCCUCAAGUGGAUGACCUAAAGUUUAUCAAUCCGUAGGAGGUGUAGGAUGAAGAUGGUCUCUCUCAAGCAACCCUGCAACCAAAUAACAAAGAGUCUCUUAUGUCAUGAAAUGCAUCACACAAUCAACCCUAAUGUCACCUAGAUACUCCAAUGUCACCUCAAGUAUCCGUGGGUAUGAUUAUACGAUAUGCAUCACACAAUCUCAGAUUCAUCUAUUCAACCAACACAAAGUACUUCAAAGAGUGCCCCAAAGAUUCUACCGGAGAGUCAAGACGAAAACGUGUGCCAACCCCUAUGCAUAGGUUCAUGGGCGGAACCCGCAAGUUGAUCACCAAAACAUACAUCAAGUGGAUCAAUAGAAUACCCCAUUGUCACCACGGGUAUCCCACGCAAGACAUACAUCAAGUGUUCUCAAAUCCUUAAAGACUCAAUCCGAUAAGAUAACUUCAAAGGGAAAUCUCAAUCUAUUACAAGAGAGUAGAGGGGGAGAAACAUCAUAAGAUCCAACUAUAAUAGCAAAGCUCGCGAUACAUCAAGAUCGUACCACCUCAAGAACAUGAGAGAGAGAGAGAUCAAACACAUAGCUACUGGUACAUACCCUCAGCCCCGAGGGAGAACUACUCCCCCUCGCCAUGGAGAGCACCGGGAUGAUGAAAAUGGCCACCAGAGAGGGAUUCCCCCUCUGGCAGGGUGCCGGAAUGGGUCUAGAUUGGUUUUCGGUGGCUACGGAGGCUUCUGGCGGUGGAACUCCCGAUCUAUUGUGUUCCUCGAAGUUUUUAGGGUAUAUGGGUAUAUAUAGGAGGAAGAAGUACGUCGGUGGAUCUCCGGGCUGUCCACGAGGCAGGGGCGCGCCCCCCACCCUCGUGGGCACCCCGAGACUCUCCUGGUCCAUCUCCGAUACUCCGUGGGCUUCUUCUGGUCCAAAAAUAAGUUCCGUGAAGUUUCGGGUCAAUUGGACUCCGUUUGAUUUUCCUUUUCUGCGAUACUCUAAAACAAGGAAAAAAUAGAAACUGGCACUGGGCUUUGGGUUAAUAGGUUAGUCCCAAAAAUAAUAUAAAAGUGUAUAAUAAAGCCCAUAAACAUCCAAAACAGAUAAUAUAAUAGCAUGGAACAAUCAAAAAUUAUAGAUACAUUGGAGACGUAUCAGAUCCCGUGGCUAACUCCUUAGUCACAUUGAGCUCGUUAUGAUGAUGCAUUACCAAGUGGGCCCAGAGAUACCUCUCCGUCAUACGGAGUGACAAAUCCCAGUCUUGAUUCGUGCCAACCCAACAGAUACUUUCGGAGACACCUAUACUCAUGUAGUGCACCUUUAUAGCCACCCAGUUACGUUGUGACGUUUGGUACACCCAAAGCAUUCCUACGGUACCCGGGAGUUGCACAAUCUCAUGUUCUAAGGAAAUUAUACUUGACAUUAGAAAAGCUUUAGCAAACGAACUACACGAUCUUGUGCUACACUUAGGAUUGGGUCUUGUCCAUCACAUCAUUCUCCCAAUGAUGUGAUCCCGUUAUCAAUGGCAUCCAAUGUCCAUGGUCAGGAAACCAUGACCAUCUAUUGAUCAAUGAGCUAGUCAACUACUCCCUCCGUCCUUUAAAGAGUGUACUUCCAAUUUUGUUGGAGGGUCAAACUAUUUCAAAGUUUGACCGAGUUUGUGCAAAAAUAUAUCAAUGUUUGUGAAAUCAAAUAGGUAUAUGAUGAAAGUAUAUUUUAUCACGAAUCUAAUGCUACUAAUUUGAUGGCAUAAAUGUUGAUGUAUUAUUAUAUAAACACAGUCAAAUAUAAAAAAGUUUGACUUUCCAAGAAAGUUGAAAGUACACUCUUUAAAGGACGGAGGGAGUAGAGGCUUACUAGGGACAUAUUACGAUCUAUGUAUUCACACAUGUAUUAGGUUUUCGGUUAAUACAAUUAUAGCAUGAACAAUAGACAAUUAUCAUGAACACGGAAAUAUAAUAAUAACCACUUUAUUAUUGCCUCUAGGGCAUAUUUCCAACAUUUUUCUCAUGGAGUGCUAUGUGUGUGAGGCAAAUGGGUGCAUUAUAGCUCUAUAUCAGUGUCGAUCAUGGGCGUGCUAGGCUGACUAGGUUGUGAAUGCUACGGGCUUAGUCUAUUUUCUGGCUCCAGCCUUAGGUUGGAGAUGACUCAUAUGGCCUUGCCUUGUCGUAACUCCGUCAUUGCACAUUUUGCAGCAUGAGAUAUGGUGGGUCCUAUCUAAAGAUUACACCAUCAUCCAUGCUGGAAGAAAACCUCCCCAACAAUAUGCUCUAGUAGGGUAGAUGUCACUACAAAAAUGUGUCUAUCCUCCGACCUCUGCAUUAUAGAUCAACUAUGAAGCCAUCAUGUACAUGCAUAAAAAAUUGCACAAAUGAAACACGUUUUGUGUUAAAAAACACAUCAUUCUUGUUAAGCCCAAGAGACCAACAUAAGCUUGUCCUUCCCACACGAAUAUUUGUGUAAAAUAGUUUGUCAAUACCCUGUAGCUAAUUGAUGAACAUAUUAUGGGCACUACUACGAGAUAAAGGUUUGAAGCUACUUAAGAUAUGGCCCACACUGUGCGACCAAGUUUAGACUCAAAAUAUUGAUAUACUCAUCAUGUUAGCAAUAGACACAGGCCUUCUUGCCUUGCAAAUUAUAGCGUGUCGGGUUAUCUAGAGCCAAGAUCACACAUUUGUGUCGGCGGGUGAUCAUCGAGAUCGGAGCUAUGAUCUAGCUCCUAUAUAGUUUGGCCAUGGGUUAAAACACUUUUCCCAAAGGCAAGAAGCUGUUAGAAAAGGAUGUCGAGAGGGCAUUUGGAGUGCUCCAAGCCCGUUCCGCAGUUGCUCUCGGAUAUGCUAAACCAUGGGAUCUAUAGACAUUAUGGGGGUGAUGACAACUUAUGUGAAAAUAAAAUAAUGAAUGGGUUUUGAUAAGUAAAAAAGCGAAAAAAAGUCUUGCAUCAACGCACUUGACCAUUAGGCAAUGGAGAAGGCCCUAUGAUCGACGUUAACGCAAGGAAUAGGGAUCACCAUGCAACCAGGAUGCACGCAAAGCUAUGAAUAUGUGAAAGCUCUCCUAUGGGCUAAGUGGGUGCAUCCAACUUGCUUGCUCAUUAAGACCUCGAGCAUUUGAUGAUGCUCGUCAUUGGAAUAUACAAGCCAAGUUUUUUAAUGUAAUUUCCCCAUUAGUAUAAACACAUGAAGCUCAUGAAAUUGUCCAAUCUACAAUGCAUGAAGUGGUGAUACUUUGAAGCACAAAUGUACUAAAAAGGAUGAUUUUGUUGAUCCUUCUUCCAUCCUCACUUUUUCUUUCUCUUUUUUUGUGUCACCUCUGUGGUGCAUCUUUUAUUUGGUCUCUCUCUUUUUCUUCUCUUUUAUAGGAGCAACACCUUACAAUGAUGAACAAAACACUUUAUAAUGGCACACUUCAAACGAUGUAAUCUUUAAAUGGUGCAAGAUCUAUUUGGAACUAUAUAUGGAUGUCUUGGGUUUCCCUAAUAAAUGAAAUUUUCAUCUUGAAAGGUUGCUUCAGAGCUUUGCCUACUUAAAUGCAAAGUAUAUCGUCACCUGUCCAAACGAGGAGUGUGUCCUCUAUGUGGCAUGGAGGAGGAAGGAAUCUUUCAUGCCUCGAUCACAUGCAAUCAUGCUAGAAGUGCUUGGGUGAACAUGCAAUUUGAAUGGCCACUACCAAGUGAUGAUCAAUUGUUGAAUACCGGGAAGGAAUGGCUCAUGCAUAUCAUCAUGGGGUGUUCUGAUGAUGUUCGCGACAUGGUUCUUAUGCACGUCUUCCGUAGUUGGUAAGUAUGUACAGACCAAACUCAUGACAAGGAAGUACCUCCCAUUGAUACAACAGUGGAAUUCCCUAACAAUUACUACAUGCCCGUUAAGUUGGCAUGUCAUUUUUCUUCGAAGGAGAUUAUUAGAGAUACUAGCAAAUAUGCCCGUGCAUUGCAACGGGAGAAAAAUAAUCAAAUUAUGCAGAUGUGAUAGAGAUAAAAAUAAUCGGAAUCAAAUGCCAGGAUGAGAUAAGAAUUUUCAGUAUGUCAUUUCACAAACUAUGUCUGGGUGAUGUCAUGAUGAGAAGGGACUUUUAAAAAGUCAUUUGAAAAACUGAAAAUGUGAUGGUCUCCUCACGACUUGAUUUCCUAAGGUGCCACAACGAAAUAUUUUUUUGCUGAGCAAACUACAUUGAUGGACCCCCUGCCUGAGCUAGACUGAUGCAUGAUGUGUCUCGUCUUAACCUAGCAGAGUGGUGUUUUCCAUAGCCAGUAGAAUCAUGGUACCGAAAUAGUUGUGUAUGGAGGCAAAAAAUACAUUUAGUCAUUUUCAUAUAGAUUACAAAAAAACUAACCCAUAGCAAGAUGUGUCAAUUUUUGGGGGGCUCGGCGAACACGCAAAUCUUUUUUUACCCGUGAAAGUGCGUUAUAUCGACUAGAGGGCGGUGAAUAGGCAAUUUUUACAAAUUCAUCACUGAGGAAAUUCAAGGUGAGGAAUUUCGUAAGUCACGAACAACUAACAACGGAAUAAGUACUCAGAUGCAAGCGUAAUAGAGUAAACAUGUCAUCAUGGUGAAAUGAAAACAAGCACAGAGUACAAGUAGCGUGUAAACAGGAUAAGCAGGCUCAAGACAAAGUGACUGAAGAAUUAGGAUUGAGCAAAUUGAGAAAGUAUUUAGUCAAAGUCUUCAAAUAGUAACGAUCAAGUACUUCAACACAUGAAUGAGGAAAUGAAAGGGUUGAGGAAGUAGAACCAGUAGCUUGGUGAAGACAAUGAUUUGGUAGACCGGUUCCAACUACUGUGACAGUCAUACGUCUGGUUGGAGCGGCUAGGUAUUUAAACCUGAGGACACACAAUCCUCGCCAUAUUCUCCUUGAGCUAAGGUCACACAGACCUCGCCCAAUAACUCGUGGUAAGUCUUCAGGUGACUUCAAAACCUUCACAGACUCGAUCACUAGGCGAUCCACAAUUUUCUCUUGGAUGCUCUAGACCAUGAUGCCUAACCAUCUGGAGGAUACACAAUCCUCAAAGGUAACAAGCAUCGGUUCCACACAGGAACAAUCUCUUCAGUGAUGCUCAAUCACUUUGGGUUGGUAGGUGUUUGGGUAUGGGUUUUCCUCACUUGAUGAUUUUCGCUCAAAGUCCUCGGAGGAUGGGAUGCUCUCAAUGACAAGUGUCAGUUUCUCUCGGAGCAGCCACCCAACUAGUGGUUGUAGGGUGGCUAUUUAUAGCCUAGGAAGCAUCCCUACAUGAUAAGACAUAAAUGCCCUUCAAUGAUAUGACCAUUAGGUGGGUAGAUAUUUUGGGACGGCUGGCGCAUAGCACAGCAACGGUCGGAUAUUUGAGCUAUCAAAUUCCCCAGGGCUAUCAUGUUCCUCACUUGUAGGCAAUCCGUGAAGGAAAUAUGCCCUAGAGGCAAUAAUAAAGUUGUUAUUUAUAUUUCCUUAUAUAAUGAUAAAUGUUUAUUAUUCAUGCUAGAAUUGUAUUAACCGGAGACUUAGUACAUGUGUGAAUACAUAGACAAACAGAGUGUCUGUCGCAUGCCUCUACUAGACUAGCUCAUUAAUCAAAGAUGGUUAAGUUUCCUAGCCAUAGACAUGUGUUGUUGAUACGUCUCCAACGUAUCUAUAAUUUUUUAUUGUUCCAUGCUAUAUUAUAUUCUGUUUUGGACAUUAUUGGGCUUUAUUAUACACUUUUAUAUUAUUUUUGGGACUAACCUAUUAACCGGAGGCCCAACCCAGAAUUGCUUUUUUUUGCCUAUUUCAGAGUUUCGCAGAAAAAGAAUAUCAAACGGAGUCCAAACGGAAUGAAACCUUCGGGAACGUGAUUUUCGGAACGAACGUGAUCGAGAGGACUUGGACCCUAUGACAAGACAUCAACCAGGAGGCCACGAGGUAGGGGCGCGCGCCCUCCACCCUCGUGAGCCCCAUGUUGCUCCACCGACGUACUCCUUCCUCCUAUAUAUACCUACAUACCCCCAAACUACCAGACACGGAGCCAAAACCCUAAUUCCACCAUCGUAACUUUCUGUAUCCACGAGAUCCCAUCUUGGGGCCUGUUCCGGAGCUCCGCCGGAGGGGGCAUCGAUCACGGAGGGCUUCUACAUCAACACCAUAGCCCCUCCGAUGAAGUGUGAGUAGUUUACCUCAAACCUUCGGGUCCAUAGUUAUUAGCUAGAUGGCUUCUUCUCUCUUUUUGGAUCUCAAUACAAAGUCCCCCCUCUCUUGUGGAAAUCUAUUCGAUGUAACCUUCUUUUUGCGGUGUGUUUGUUGAGGCCGAUGAAUUGUGGGUUUAUGAUCAAGUUUAUCUAUGAGCAAUAUUUGAAUCUUCUCUGAAUUCUUUUAUGUAUGAUUGGUUAUCUUUGCAAGUCUCUUUGAAUUAUCAGUUUGGUUUGGCCUACUAGAUUGAUCUUUCUUGCAAUGGGAGAAGUGCUUAGCUUUGGGUUCAAUCUUGCGGUGUCCUUUCCCAACGACAGUAGGGGCAGCAAGGCACGUAUUGUAUUGUUGCCAUCGAGGAUAACAAGAUGGGGUUUAUAUCAUACUGCAUUAGUUUAUCCCUCUACAUCAUGUCAUCUUGCUUAAAGCGUUACUCUGUUCUCUUGAACUUAAUACUCUAGAUGCAUGCUGGAUAGCAGUUGAUGUGUGGAGUAAUAGUAGUAGAUGCAGGCAGGAGUCGGUCUACUUGUCUUGGACGUGAUGCCUGAUACAUCUCCAACGUAUCUAUAAUUUUUAAUUGUUCCAUGCUAUAUUAUAUUCUGUUUUGGACAUUAUUGGGCUUUAUUAUACACUUUUAUAUUAUUUUUGGGACUAACCUAUUAACCGGAGGCCCAGCCCAGAAUUGCUGCUUUUUUUGCCUAUUUUAGGGUUUCGCAGAAAAAGAAUAUCAAACGGAGUCCAAAUGGAAUGAAACCUUCGGGAACGUGAUUUUCGGAACGAACAUGAUCCAGAGGACUUGGACCCCACGUCAAGACAUCAACCAGGAGGCCACGAGGUAGGGGCGCACCUACCCCCCUGGGCGCGCCCUCCACCCUCGUGGGCCCCCUGUUGCUCCACCGACGUACUCCUUCCUCCUAUAUAUACCUACGUACCCCCAAACUACCAGAUACGGAGCCAAAACCCUAAUUCCACCGCUGUAACUUUCUGUAUCCACGAGAUCCCAUCUUGGGGCCUAUUCCGGAGCUCCGCCGGAGGGGGCAUCGAUCACGGAGGGCUUCUACAUCAACACCAUAGCCCUUCCGAUGAAGUGUGAGUAGUUUACCUCAGACCUAUGGGUCCAUAGUUAUUAGCUAGAUGGCUACUUCUCUAUUUUUGGAUCUCAAUACAAAGUUCUCCCCCUCUCUUGUGGAUAUCUAUUCGAUGUAAUCUUCUUUUGCGGUGUGUUUGUUGAGACCGAUGAAUUGUGGGUUUAUGAUCAAAUUUAUCUAUGAACAAUAUUUGAAUCUUCUCUGAAUUCUUUUAUGUAUGAUUGGUUAUCUUUGCAAGUCUCUUCGAAUUAUCAGUUUGGUUUGGCCUACUAGAUUGAUCUUUCUUGCAAUGGGAGAAGUGCUUAGCUUUGGGUUCAAUCUUGCGGUGUCCUUUCCCAGUGAUAGUAGGGGCAGCAAGGCAUGUAUUGUAUUGUUGCCAUCGAGGAUAACAAGAUGGGGUUUAUUUCAUAUUGCAUGAGUUUAUCCCUCUACAUCAUGUCAUCUUGCUUAAAGCGUUACUCUGUUCUCUUGAACUUAAUACUCUAGAUGCAUGUAGGAUAGCGGUCGAUGUGUGGAGUAAUAGUAGUAGAUGUAGGCAGGAGUCAGUCUACUUGUCUCAGACGUGAUGCCUAUAUACAUGAUCAUACCUAGAUAUUCUCAUAACUAUGCUCAAUUCUGUCAAUUGCUCAACAGUAAUUCGUUUACCCGCUGUGAAUACUUAUGCUCUCGAGAGAAGCCACUAGUGAAACCUAUGGCCCCCGGGUCUAUCUUCCAUCAUAUUAAUCUUCCAAUACUUAGUUAUUUUUAUUGCCUUUUAUUUUACUUUGCAUCUUUAUCAUAAAAAUACCAAAAAUAUUAUCUUAUCAUAUUUAUCAGAUCUCACUCUCGUAAGUGACCGUGUAGGGAUUGACAACCCCUUAUCGCGUUGGUUGCGAGGAUUUAUUUGUUUGUGUAGGUACGAGGGACUCGUGCGUGGCCUCCUACUGGAUUGAUACCUUGGUUCUCAAAAACUAAGGGAAAUACUUACGCUACUCUGCUGCAUCACCCUUUUCUCUUCAAGGGAAAACCAACGCAAGUGCUCAAGAGGUAGCAAGAAGGAUUUCUGGCGCCAUUGCCGGGGAGGUCUACGCAAAAGUCAACAUACCAAGUACCCAUCACAACCCUUAUCUCCGGCAUUACAUUAUUUGCCAUUUGCCUCUCGUUUUCCUCUCCCCCACUUCACCCUUGCCGUUUUAUUCGCCCUCUCUCUGUGUCCUCCCUCUCUUUCUCUAUUUGCCUCUUUUCGCCUGUUCCUCGUUUGCUUGUGUGUUGGAUUGCUUGCUUGUCACGAUGGCUCAAGAUAACACUAAAUUGUGUGACUUUACCAAUACCAGCAACAAUGAUUUUAUUAGCACUCUGAUUGCUCCUCUUACCGAUGCUGAAUCUUGUGAAAUUAAUGCUGCCUUGCUUAAUCUUGUCAUGAAAGAUCCGUUUUCCGGCCUUCCUAGUGAAGAUGCCGCUACCCAUCUAAAUAGCUUCGUUGAUUUGUGUGAGAUGCAAAAUAAUAAAGAUGUGUAUAAUGAUAUUGUUAAAUUGAAGCUAUUUCCUUUUUCGCUUAGAGAUCGUGCUAAAGCUUGGUUUUCGUCUUUGCCUAAAAAUAGUAUUGAUUCGUGGAAUAAGUGCAAAGAUGAUUUUAUCUCUAAGUAUUUUCCUCCUGCUAAGAUCAUCUCUAUUAGAAACGAUAUUAUGAAUUUUAAGCAACUUGAUCAUGAACAUGUUGCACAAGCUUGGGAGAGGAUGAAAUUAAUGAUACGUAAUUGCCCUACGCAUGGUUUGAAUAUGUGGAUGAUUAUACAAUUUUUUUAUGCCGGAUUGUGAAUUUUGCUUCUAGAAAUCUUCUAGAUUCGGCCGUGGGAGGCACUUUUAUGGAAAUCACUUUAGGAGAAGCUACUAAACUCCUAGAUAAUAUUAUGGUUAAUUAUUCUCAAUGGCACACUGAAAGAUCUACUAAUAAGAAAGUGCAUGUGAUAGAAGAAAUUAAUGUUUUGAGUGGAAAGAUGGAUGAACUUAUGAAAUUAUUUGCUAAUAGAAGUGUUUCUUCUGAUCCUAAUGAUAUGCCUUUGUCUACUUUGAUUGAGAAUAAUAAUGAAUCUAUGGAUGUAAAUUUUGUUGGUAGGAACAAUUUUGGUAACAACGCAUAUAUAGGAAACUUCAACCCUAGGCCGUAUCCUAGUAAUUCAUCUAAUAAUUAUGGUAAUUCCUACAACAAUUCUUAUGGAAAUUAUAAUAAGAUGCCCUCGGAUUUUGAAUCUAAUAUUAAAGAAUUUAUUACUUCGCAAAAGAAUUUCAAUGCUUUGAUUGAAGAAAAAUUGCUUAAGAUUGAUGAGUUGGCUAGGAACGUUGAUAGAAUUUCUCUUGAUGUUGAUUCUUUGAAAAUUAGAUCUAUUCCACCUAAGCAUGAUAUCAAUGAGUCUCUCAAAGCCAUGAGAAUUUCCAUUGAUGACUGCAAAGAAAGAACCGCUAGGAUGCGUGCUAAGAAAGAUUGCUUUAUAAAAGUGUGUUCUUCUAGUUUCCAUGAUAAUAAAGAUGAAGAUGUAGAAGUUAUUGAUGUGUCCCCUAUUAAAUAUUUGUUUUGCAAUAUGAAUCUUGAUAAUAAUGGGACUGAAUAUGAUCCACCUUUACCUAGACGGCAUUCCAAAAAUUCGGAGUCUUUAGAUCUUGAUGCUAAAAUUGUUAAAAGUGGGAUUGAAGAAGUAAAAACUUUAAAUAUUGAUGAACCCACUAUUUUGGAUUUCAAGGAAUUUAAUUAUGACAAUUGCUCUUUAAUAGAUUGUAUUUCCUUGUUGCAAUCCGUGCUAAAUUCUCCUCAUGCUUAUAGUCAAAAUAAAGCUUUUACUAAACAUAUCGUUGAUGCUUUGAUGCAAUCUUAUGAAGAAAAACUUGAGUUGGAAGUUUCUAUCCCUAGAAAACUUUAUGAUGAGUGUGAACCUACUAUUAAAAUUAAAAUUAAAGAUCAUGAAUGCUAUGCUUUGUGUGAUUUGGGUGCUAGUGUUUCCACGAUUCCAAAGACUUUAUGUGAUUUGUUAGGUUUCCGUGAUUUUGAUGAUUGCUCUUUAAACUUGCACCUUGCGGAUUCCACUAUUAAGAAACCUAUGGGAAGAAUUAAUGAUGUUCUUAUUGUUGGAAAUAGGAAUUAUGUGCCCGUGGAUUUUAUUAUUCUUGACAUAGAUUGCAAUCCUUCCUAUUAUUCUUGGUAGACCAUUGCUUAGAACGAUUGGUGCAAUUAUUGAUAUGAAGGAAGGGAAUAUUAGAUUCCAAUUUCUGUUAAGGAAAGGCAUGGAACACUUCCCUAGAAAGAAAAUUAAAUUACCUUAUGAAUCUAUUAUUAGAGCCACUUAUGGAUUGCCUACCAAAGAUGGCAAUACCUAGAUCUAUCCUUGCUUUUUAUGCCUAGCUAGGGGCGUUAAACGAUAGCGCUUGUUGGGAGGCAACCCAAUUUUAUUUUUUGCUUUUUGCUCCUGUUUAGUAAUAAAUAAUUUAUCCAGCCACUGUUUUGGUUGUGUUUGUGUUUAAUUAGUGUUUGUGCCAAGUAGAACCGUUGGGAAGACUUGGGGAAAGUCUUGUUAAUUUUACUGUAAAAAACAGAAACUUUAGCGCUCACGAGAACUGCUGCCAUUUUUAUUUGGAAAGUGCUAUUUAGUUAAUUAUUUUGCAUAUGAUUAAUAGAUAAAUUCCUCACGUCCAGCAAUUUAUUUUAGAAUUUUUGGGGUUCCAGAUCUUGCGUUAGCUACAGAUUACUACAGACUGUUCUGUUUUUGACAGAUUCUGUUUUUCGUGUGUUGUUUGCUUAUUUUGAUGAAUCUAUGGCUAGUAAAAUAGUUUAUAAACCAUAGAGAAGUUGUAAUACAGUAGGUUUAACAUCAAUAUAAAUAAAGAAUGAGUUCAUUACAGUACCUUGAAGUUGUGUUUUGUUUUCUUUCGCUAACGGAGCUCACGAAAUUUUCUACUUUAAGUUUUGUGUUGUGAAGUUUUCAAGUUUUGGGUAAAGAUUUGAUGGAUUAUGGAACAAGGAGUGGCAAGAGCAUAAGCUUGGGGAUACCCAUGGCACCCCCAAGAUAAUCUAAGGACACCUAAAAGCCAAAGCUUGGGGAUGCCCCGGAAGGCAUCCCCUCUUUCGUCUACUUCUAUCGGUAACUUUACUUGGAGCUAUAUUUUUAUUUACCACAUGAUAUGUGUUUUGCUUGGAGCAUCUUGUAUUAUUUGAGUCUUUAUUUGUUAGUUUUUCACAAUCAUCCUUGCUGCACACACCUUUUUGAGAGAGACACACAUGAUUCAGAAAUUAUUAGAAUACUCUAUGUGCUUCACUUAUAUCUUUUGAGUUAUAUAGUUUUUGCUCUAGUGCUUCACUUAUAUCUUUUAGAGCAUGUUGGUGGAUUUGUUUUAUAGAAACCAUUGUUCUCUCAUGCUUCAAUUAGAUUAUUUUGAGAGUCCUACAAAACAGCAUGGUAAUUUGCUUUAAUUAUUUGAGGCAUUCAAGAUUAAUAAAUAAAAUUUAUUAUGAGUGUGUUGAAUACUAUGAGAAGUUUGAAACUUGAUAAUUGUUUUGAGAUAUGGAGAUGGUGAUAUUAGAGUCGUGCUAGUUGAGUAGUUGUGAAUUUGAGAAAUGCUUGUGUUGAAGUUUGUGAUUCCCGUAGCAUGCAUGUAUGGUGACCCGUUAUGCUAAGAAGUCAGAGCAUGAUGUAUGUAUUGAUUGUCCUCCUUAUGAGUGGCGGUCGGGGACAAGCGAUGGUGUUUUCCUACCAAUCUAUCCCCCUAGGAGGAUGCACGUAGUACUUUGCUUUGAUAAUUAAUAGAUUUUUGCAAUAAAUAUGUGAGUUCUUUGUGACUAAUGUUGAGUCCAUGGAUUAUACUCACUCUCACCCUUCCACUAUUGCUAGCCUCUCUAAUACCGCGCACCUUUCGCCGGUAUCAUACACCCACCAUAUACCUUCCUCAAAACAGCCACCAUACCUACCUAUCAUGGCAUUUCCAUAGCCAUUCCGAGAUAUAUUUCCAUGCAUCCUUCCACCGUUUCAUUUACUAUGACACGCUCCAUCAUUGUCAUAUUGCUUUGCAUGAUCAUGUAGUUGACAUUGUAUUCGUGGCAAAGCCACCGUUCAUAAUUCUUUCAUACAUGUCACUCUUGAUUCAUUGCAUAUCCCGGUACACCGCCGGAGGCAUUCACAUAGAGUCAUAUUUUGUUCUAAGUAUUGAGUUGUAAUUGUUGAGUUGUAAGUAAAUAAAAGUCUAAUGAUCAUCAUUUUUAGAGCAUUGUCCCAAGUAAGGAAAUGAUGAUGGAGACUAUGAUUCCCCCACAAGUCAGGAUGAGACUUCGGACGAAAAAUAAAUAAAAAUAAAAACAGGCCAAAGAAGCCAAAUAAAAAAAAAGAGGCCAUAAAAAAGGCCCAAAUAAAAAAAUAUGAGAGAAAAAGAGAGAAGGGACAAUGCUACUAUCCUUUUACCACACUUGUGCUUCAAAGUAGCACCAUGAUCUUCAUAAUAGAGAGUCUCCUUUGUUAUCACUUUCAUAUACUAGUGGGAAUUUUUCAUUAUAGAACUUGGCUUGUAUAUUCCAACGAUGGGCUUUCUCAAAAUGCCCUAGGUCUUCGUGAGCAAGCAAGUUGGAUGCACACCCACUUAGUUUCUUUUUGUUGAGCUUUCAUAUAUUUAUAGCUCUAGUGCAUCCGUUGCAUGGCAAUCCCUACUCACUCACAUUGAUAUCUAUUGAUGGGCAUCUCCAUAGCCCGUUGAUACGCCUAGUUGAUGUGAGACUAUCUUUCCCUUUUUUUGUCUCCUCCACAACCACCAUUCUAUUCCACCUAUAGUGCUAUGUCCAUGGCUCAUGCUCAUGUAUUGCACGAAAAUUGAAAAAGUCUGAGAACAUUAAAAGUAUGAAACAAUUGCUUGGCUUGUCAUCGGGGUUGUGCAUGAUUUGAAUACUUUGUGCGGUGAAGAUGGAGCAUAGCCAGACUAUAUGAUUUUGUAGGGAUAACUUUCUUUGGCCAUGUUAUUUUGAAGAGACAUAAUUUCUUAGUUAGUAUGUGAGAGAGUCCUGGAUUAGGGGGUCUCCGGACAGCCGGAUUAUAUCCUUUGGCCAGACUAUUGGACUAUGAAGGUACAAGAUUGAAGACUUCGUCCCGUGUCUGGAUGGGACUCUACUUGGCAUGGAAGGCAAGCUUGGCAAUACGGAUAUGUAUAUCUCCUCCUUUGUAACCGACCUUGUGUAACCCUAGCCCUCUCCGGUGUCUAUAUAAACCGGAGGGUUUUAGUCCGUAGGACAACGUACAAUCAUACCAUAGGCUAGCUUCUAGGGUUUAGCCUCUCCGAUCUCGUGGUAGAUCAACUCUUGUAAUACCCAUAUCAUCAAGAAUAAAUCAAGCAUGACGUAGGGUUUUACCUCCAUCAAGAGGGCCCGAACCUGGGUCAAACAUCGUGUUCCCUGCCUCCUGUUACCAUCCUUCUUAGAUGCACAGUUCGGGACCCCCUACCCGAGAGCCGCCGGUUUUGACACCGACAUUGGUGCUUUCAUUGAGAGUUCCUUUGUGUCGUCGUCGUUAGGCCUGAUGGCUCCUGCAAUCAUCGAUAGCGAUGCAGUCCAGGGUGAGACUUUUCUCCCCGGACAGAUUUUUGUAUUCGGCAGCUUUGCACUGCGGGCCAAUUCGCUUGGCCAUCUGGAGCAGAUCGAAAGUUAAGCCCCUGGCCACCAGGUCAGAUUUGGAAGCUUAAACUACACGGCCGAUAUCCGCGGAGACUUGAUCUUCGACGGAUUCGAGCCUCUGCCUUGUGCGUCACGCGGUCACAAUGAGUACGAUUUAGCUCUGCCAUCGGACAGUGUUCAAGAAAUCGCACCGCAGCCGCUCCGACCUUUAAUUUGGAGCCAGUUGCGCCAUCCAUGGACGGGUGGAUGGACCCUGCCACGGAGGCCUUACCCUCAGCGGCGAUCGAGCCGAACAUCAACCUUACCCUGCACGAGAGCCGUGUUGUCAAACUGCCGGAUCCUUCUCCGGCCAGGGACUCCAAACCGCCGACGCCCGUUCCUAGCGAAUCCGAUUGGGCGCCGAUCAUGGAGUUUACCUCCACGGAUAUUUUUCAGCACUCGCCCUUUGGCGACAUACUGAAUUCAUUCAGGUCUCUCUCCUUGUCAGGAGGAUCCGGGCCGAACUAUGUCCGACAGGAUUGGGAUGCGGACGACGAAGAAAUUCGCGGCCCACCCCCCACCCACUUAGUAGCCACUGUCGAUGACUUAACCGACAUGCUCGACUUCGACUCCAAAGACGUCGACGGUAUGGACGACAAUGCAGGAGACGAAGAGGAACCACUGCCCACAGGGCACUGGACAACCACCUCAUCAUACGAUAUAUACAUGGUGGACACACCCAAAGAAGGCAAUGGCGACGAGACAGCGGAGGAUGACCCCUCCAAAAAGCAACCUAAGCGCCAACGUCAGCGGCGCCGCUCUAAGUCCCGCCAAAGAAAAAGUGGUGAUACCGGCACAUGAGAUAAUAACACUCCGGAUAGUGCCGAAGACAAUAACAACAACCCCCUCCAGCAAGAUUUAGAGCAGGAGGAUGGAGGAGCCAGCCCUCCUAAGAGAGCGGCAGAUGGAGAGGCGGAGGAUGAUAAUUACAUGCCCCCUCCAAAGAUGAGGCAAGCCUCGGCGAUGACGAAUUCACCGUGCCAGAGGAUCCCGUCGAACAAGAGCGCUUCAAGCGCCGGCUUAUGGCCACGGAAAAUAGCCUUAAGAAAAAGCAGCAGGAGCUUCAAGCUAAUCAAGAUCUGCUAGCCGACAAAUGGACUAAAGUCCUUGCGGCCGAGGAAUAUAAACUCGAACGCCCUUCCAAGAGUUACCCAAAAUGCAGGUUGCUACCCCAACUGGAGGAAGAAGCAUAUGACGCGGCUGAUCGGCCACCUCGUUGCCACGAUAGAGAGGCAUUCCAGCCAAAAACUCAGCCCGCACCCCGACAUCAUUCAAAUAAAAAGGCAUGGGGAAAUACGCCAGACCUGCGAGACAUAUUGGAGGACAAAGCAAAGCAUGCAAGAUCAAUUCAAAGUAAAUCCGGCCGAGCCGAACACAGUGGGCAAGACCCAUUCGAGCUGCGUCGUGAUAUAGCCUAAUACAGAGGCGCCGCACACCCCCUAUGCUUCACAGACGAAGUAAUGGAUCAUCAAAUCCCAGAGGGUUUCAAACCCGUAAAUAUUGAAUCAUACGACGGCACAAAAGAUCCUGCGGUAUGGAUCGAGGAUUUCCUCCUCCACAUCCACAUGGCCCGCGGUGAUGACUUACACGCUAUCAAAUACCUCCCACUAAAGCUCAAAGGACCAGCGCGACAUUGGCUUAACAACUUGCCAGCAAAGUCCAUUAGCUAUUGGGAAGAUCUGGAAGCCGCAUUCCUCGACAACUUUCAGAGCACUUAUGUGCGACCACCAGAUGCCGAUGACUUGAGCCACAUAGUUCAGCAGCCAGAAGAAUCGGCCAGACAAUUCUGGAAUCGGUUCCUAACAAAGAAAAAUCAAAUCAUCGACUGUCCGGAUGCAGAGGCCCUAGUAGCUUUCAAACACAACAUCCGCGGCGAGUGGCUAGCCCGACACCUUGGUCAGGAAAAGCCGAAAUCUAUGGCAGCCCUCACGACACUCAUGACCCGCUUUUGUGCGGGAGAAGACAGCUGGCUGGCUCGCAGUAAUAACAUAUCAAAGAACCAUGGUACUUCUGACACCAAGGACGGCAAUAGUAGGUCACGUCGCAACAAACAUAAGCGCCACAUUAAUAGCGACAAUACCGAGGACAUGUCAGUCAAUGCCAGAUUCAAAGGCUCUAAACCCGGUCAGCGAAAAAAGCCAUUUAAAAGAAGCACUCCGGGUCCGUCCAGUUUGGACCGCAUACUCGAUUGCUCGUGUCAAAUACACGACACCCCCGACAAGCCAGCCAACCACACCACUAGGGAUUGUUGGGUAUUCAAGCAGGCCGGCAAGUUAAUUGCCGAAAACAAAGAUAAGGGGCCACAUAGCAAUGACGAGGAAGAGCCCCGGCAGCCGAACACCGGAGGACAGAAGAGGUUCCUCCCACAAGUGUGGACGGUGAACAUGAUAUACGCAACCCACAUCCCCAAGAGGGAGCGGAAGCGUACGCUCAGGGACGUAUAUGCGUUGGAGCCAAUCGCCCCAAAGUUCAACCCAUGGUCCUCCUGUCCGAUCACCUUCGAUCACAAGGACCACCCCACUAGUAUCCGUCAUGGUGGAUUCGCCGCACUGGUCCUAGACCCAAUCAUCGACGGAUUUCACCUCACUCGAGUCCUUAUGGAUGGAGGCAGCAUCCUGAACCUACUUUAUCAGGACACAGUGCGCAAAAUGGGUAUAGACCCCUCAAGGAUCAAACCCACAAAAACGACCUUUAAAGGCGUCAUUCCAGGUGUAGAGGCCCAUUGCACAGGCUCAAUUACACUAGAAGUGGUCUUCAGAUCACCGGAUAACUUCCGAAGCGAAGAAUUAAUCUUCGAUAUAGUCCCGUUCCGCAGUGGCUAUCAUGCACUGCUCGGGCGAACCGCAUUUGCAAGAUUCAAUGCAGUACCGCAUUAUGCAUACCUCAAGCUCAAGAUGCCAGGACCUCGGGGGGUCAUCAAAGUUAAUGGAAACACAGAGCGCUCCCUCCGCAUGGAGGAGCACACUACGCCCCUCGCAGCAGAAGCGCAAAGCAGCCUCUCAAGGCAAUCCACCAGUUUGGCGUUUCAAGACCCGGACACCUUCAAGCAUGCUCGGAGUAAUCGGCAACUAGACCGCCUAGCACGAUCUGAGCUCGCGUAGCAAUGCGGCCCCCACCCCAGUCCUAGCCAAACGGCGAAAUUCGUGCCACGCGUACAUAGUUACGCAUUAAAAAUACCAUGGGCACAUGUGGGGAGGGGGGCACAACUACGGCACGCCCCAAGACGCGGCUUAAACCGCACUAGGGGCUUCCCGCUCUGUUAUUUUUCUCUUUUAGGACUUCAAUAUCUGGAAACCCUGUCCGGCAGCAUGAUUGCCGAACACAUGAUGCAUCAACCAAGGAGGCAGAAAGCUACGUCACACCACGGAACUCCCAGGUGGAUUACGAUAACGAGUGAAAUAUUUGCUUUAAUACUAUUCCUCAGCUUGCCCUUGGAAGGGACAUAGUCCUACUUUUUUCUUAUCACACUAUCUGUAUCAUCCUGCUUUAACACACCUUUUUGAAUAAACAAUGCACAACAUUACGACUAUCAUUGCAUUCUUGUUUUAUAUAUGUGUGUUCAUUAAUGACGCCUUGCAACCGUACACUUUGGUACGACCAAUACACCAGGGGCUUAAGUACCCCACAAUAUGGUGUGAGAAGUCCGAACACUUUCACAAGUGCGGCACCCCGAACUUAUAACAUUAUAUGCAUCAGCUCCGAAUCAUGUCUUUGGUCAAAUGUUGGGUUUGCUCGGCUCCUAUGUUUUGGUACCUUACGUUCCGCUCUAUCGGCUAAGGUAGCACUAGGAGAACUACUGCGAUUGUGCCCCGAUUCUGCUGGGCUAAGCACCUCAGUAGAGAAAGCUAAAACUGACUGACAUGAGAAGGCGAGAGACUGGUCGCUGUUCGGCGAGGUUUCGAGUCCCUAAAGACUUAUGCCGCUUAGAGCGAGGAGCCGGUCCUGUCUGGCUUAAAGGCGUGUAUCACGCCCCGAAUUCGGCCUUCCGGAUACUAGGGGCUUCGCCGAAAUUUAAAAUUAUAGAAUUCUAUAGCUAAGUGAGAGUGAUAAAGCAUUAUUAGUCCGGUUGCCUUGUUCGCUGUGCUGAGCACCUCCCUCGAAGGACCCAAAAAUGGGAACAAGAGUGCUCAGGUUUAUCCCGAACACCCCAGCACUCGUGGCAUGGGGGUAGAAGCCGAGGACUAGACAUCUCUUAGAUUGGAUAAAUAGCCAAACAUAAGGUAAUAUUUUAAAUUCAAACAAGCGUUGCAUAGCGCAUAUGAAACAAGUUUUCAUCAUACAGGAUCACACGAGCAAGUUUACUCAAAUAUUACAUCCUUUGAACAUUCGUCCGCUACAAGACGGGCACCCUUCAAGACACCCUCAUAAUAAAUUUUGGGGGUGCGAUGCUCCUUGCCCUGCGGCGGUCCUUCCUUGAUCAGCUUCACGGCGUCUAGCUUGGCCCAUUGCACCUUCACGCGGGCGAAAGCCCGGCGUGCACCUUCGAUGCAGACGGACCGCUUGACGACUUCCAGUCGUGGGCAGGCAUCCACAAGCCGCCUCACCAGGCCGAAGUAGCUGCUCGGAAGGGCGUCGCCCGGCCACAGCCGGACUAUAAAGCCCUUCAUGGCCUAUUCGGCCGCCUUGUGUAGCUCGACCAGCUGCUUCAGCUGGUCGCUCAUAGGCACCGGGUGUUCGGUCCCAGUAUACUGAGACCAGAACAGCUUCUCCGUUGAGCUUCCCUUCUCGGCCUGGUAAAACUGUGCGGCAUCCGACACGCUGCGGGGCAAAUCUACGAAUGCUCCUGGAGAGCUCUAGAUUCGGGUAAGUAAUAGGUAGUUUACUUUCACAUGCUUGCUUUGCAUAUAGAUGCCUUACCCGCCGCUAUUUUCUUCAUCGCGUCAAUCUCCUGGAGGGCCUUUUGGGCUUCGGCCUUGGCACUCUUUGUGCUCUCGAUGGCCGCGGCAAGCUCAGACUCUCACGUCUUUGAGUCAAGCUCCAACGCCUCGUGCUUCGUCACGAGAGCCUGGAGCUCUUGCUGCACCUCGCCCACCCGAGCCUCUUGCCUUUCCCGCUCGGUGCGCUCCUUGGCCGCUUUAUCUUCGGCCUCGGAUAGUGCUUGCCUCAGGGUCGCCACUUCGGUCAUGGCCCCUGGCAAAUUCAUGAUGAUCCUGUCAUUUUGCAAUCGCAUUCUUUUUAUACAUAUCCAUAGACUAGGUAUUACUUACCUUUGUUCUCCUCGAGCUGCCUCUUGGCAAGGCCGAGCUCGUCCUUGGACCCUUUAAGGUCCUGCUUCAGUGCGGCGACCUCCGCAGUCAGUGCGACAGAUGCCAGCAACGAAGCCUGCAUAUGCAUAUUGACAUACUUAUAUUAGACUCCUGCGAUAUUGUUUGAUCCUCUGUUCGGCUUUUCUUUAUGAACACCGAACAGAGCAGCAGGGGCUACUGUCUAUGCGGUAAUAUUUUCCCUAUAUUUUAAACACUUACCUCAAAGCCUGUUAGAAGGCUGGCACAGGCUUCAGUCAGUCCGCUUUUGGCGGACUGAACCUUCUGGACCACCGCACUCAUAAUAGUACGGUGCUCCUCGUCGAUGGAAGCGCUGUGAAGCGCUCCCAACAGAUUUUCCGGCGCCUCUAGAUGGAUAGAGGUCACUGGCAUAGGUGUCUUGCCCCUCUUGGAAGGAGGCCGCCUGCCCGAGUCCGGAACCACUGGAGGUUCCGGUGCGGUGUUCGGCCGAGGGCCGAACUCGGAGCCCUCAGGGGCCUUGUUCCUUCUUCUCCCGGAGUCCGGAAGGUCGCUUUGAGGCGCCUCCGGGACUGUCUCCCAUCGACCCAGUGCCUCUUGAGACAAUACCUCGGCGUCGUCCGCAGGGCAAGGGGAGGUGGUGGUCGGAAGUGGAUCACUAUCCAUAUCCGACGAGCCCAAGGAGCCGUCCGAUGAUACAUCGAUACGGGCUCGUGGCGGCCUACAUAAUCAUAUUUGGCAUUAGGGGAAGCAGUGCGACAAAAGGAUACUAUGAGUUACUCUGGUAUCCAAAUACUUACAACCUCCCCAGGGGCUUGGCCCUGGGCAACCACUCGUCUUCGCCUUCGGCGGCGGUGGUGGAACUGUCCGGAAGGAGAUCCUUCCCUUCUUGGACCCCCCGGCCUCCCUAGUUGGGGCGGCCUUCCUUUUCUUGUCUGCCCCAACUGAAGGGGGAGCAUCUUCUUCUUCCUCCUCGUCUUCGGGGGAGGAGUGUGCCGCAGAGUCAUCAGAUGGUGAGUCCGAUGACGCCUGGCAUCGGGAACUCUUUCGGGUUCCCUUGACCUUCUUGGUCUUCUCUGGCACCGUGUAAGGAGCCGGAGUCAGCAUCUUCGUCAGAGAGCGUCUGCUGGGCCUUUGGGCAAAGGAGCCGGACAGUCGAUCUGUCCGGCCGUCUCCUGCCAAUCCUGUCAAAGGUACGGGAGCUUAGAUCCCAUGUAGAGUCAAACUAUGAAAAACAAGUAUCAUGUGAGAGGUAAAAUAGCUUACCGCGCUGGCUUGGCGCUUCGCGCAGAAUCCGCGGUCCUUGGUAGUGGGAGGGGGAACCUUGGCACUCUUGAAUAGCACCUUCCAGGCAUCUUCUUGAGUUGUGUCGAAGAGCCUGUUCAGAGUUCGAUGCUGGGCCGGGUCGAACUCCCACAAGUUGAAAGCCCAUUGUUGGCACGGGAGGAUCCGGCGGAUGAGCAUGACCUGGACUACGUUGACAAGUUUGAGCUUCUUGUUCACCAUGUUUGAAUACAUGUUUGGAGUCCGGUCAGCUCCCCGGAACUACCCCAGGACAGGCCCUUCUCUUGCCAGGAGGUGAGCCACGUGGGGAAGCCAGAUCGGAACUCGGGGGCCGCUGUCCAUUUAGGGUCACGCGGCUCGGUGAUGUAGAACCACCCCGAUUGCCACCCCUUUAUGGUCUCCACGAAGGAGCCCUUGAGCCAUGUGACGUUGGGCAUCUUGCCCACCAUGGCGCCUCCGCACUCCGCCUGGCGGCAGCUCACUACCUUCGGCUUGACAUUGAAGGUCUUCAGCCAUAAGCCGAAGUGGGGCUUGAUGCGGAGGAAGGCCUCGCACAUGAUGAUAAACGCCGAGAUGUUGAGGAUGAAGUUCGGGGCCAGAUCAUGGAAAUCCAGGCCUUAGUAGAACAUGAGCCCCCGGACGAAUGGGUGGAGAGGGAAUCCCAGUCCGUGGAGGAAGUGGGUAAGGAACACUACCCUCUCAUGGGGCCUGGGGGUGGGGAUGAGCCGCCCCUCAUCUGGGAGCCGGUGCGCGAUGUUGUUGGGCAGGUAUCUGGCUCUCCUCAGCUUCUUGAUGUGUCCCUCCAUGAUAGAGGAGAUCAUCCACCUGCCUCCCGCUCCGGACAUGGUUGGAGAAGGUCGAGGUGGGAAAUGCGGACUUGGGCGCUGGAGCUCGAGUGUGCGAAAAUGGAUGAGCAAAGGAGGAAGAAGGCAUGGAUGAAAAGGUGAAUCCUUAUCCCUUUAUUUGGGCAGACGAAACUAGGCGUCCCCAUUAGCCUAGUAAAACUCGCUUAUCCCCCAAGUGCCAUAAUCGAUGGCGCGGUUGGGUUACCCACGCCCAUAUUGAUGAGAAUCCCGUGAUGUGUCAAAAAACCGCCUCGCGUUAUGUGCAGGGCUAGUUAAAGGAAACGGUUCGAAUAAUCACCGGGCCAUGACAUAAUGUCGUGUUGCCAAAACGUGUCAGCAGAUUAGAUUUGUGGAAAUAUUAUUCUCUCUAUGGUGGUAUGUGAAACUUAUUUUGCAGGGUCGGACACUAUCCUUGUAUUCAAAUUCUUCCAUUGUGUAUUCGGAGGAGGAACCCGCCUUGCAACGCCGAAGACAAUACUGCGCGCCGGACUCAUCAUCAUUGAAAGCCUGGUUCAGGGGCUACUGAGGGAGUCCUGGAUUAGGGGGUCUCCGGACAGCCGGAUUAUAUCCUUUGGCCGGACUAUUGGACUAUGAAUGUACAAGAUUGAAGACUUCGUCCCGUGUCUGGAUGGGACUCUACUUGGCGUGGAAGGCAAGCUAGGCAAUACGGAUAUGUAUAUCUCCUCCUUUGUAACCGACCUUGUGUAACCCUAGCCCUCUCCGGUGUCUAUAUAAACCGGAGGGUUUUAGUCCGUAGGACAACGUACAAUCAUACCAUAGGCUAGCUUCUAGGGUUUAGCCUCUCCGAUCUCGUGGUAGAUCAACUCUUGUAAUACCCAUAUCAUCAAGAAUAAAUCAAGCAGGACGUAGGGUUUUACCUCCAUCAAGAGGGCCUGAACCUGGGUAAAACAUCGUGUUCCCUGCCUCCUGUUACCAUCCGCCUUAGAUGCACAACUCGGGACCCCCUACCCGAGAUCCGCCGGUUUUGACACCGACAGUAUGCUUGAAGUAUUAUUAUUUCUAUGUCAAUAUUAAACUUUUGUCUUGAAUCUUUCAAAUAUGAAUAUUCAUACCACAAUGAAGAGAAUUACAUUGGAAUUAUGCCAAGUAGCAUUCCACAUCAAAAAUUCUGUUUUUAUCAUUUACCUACUCGAGGACGAGCAGGAAUUAAGCUUGGGGAUGCUUGAUACGUCUCCAACGUAUCUAUAAUUUUUGAUUGUUCCAUGCUAUAAUAUAGUCUGUUUUGGACAUUAUUGGGCUUUAUUAUACACUUUUAUAUUAUUUUUGGGACUAACCUAUUAACCGGAGGCCCAGCCCCGAAUUGCUGCUUUUUUUGCCUAUUUUAGGGUUUCAUAGAAAAAGAAUAUCAAACGGAGUCCAAACGGAAUGAAACCUUUGUGAACGUGAUUUUCAGAAUGAACAUGAUCUAGAGGACUUGGACCCUACGUCAAGACAUCAACCAGGAGGCCACGAGGUAGGGGGCACGCACUCCACCCUCAUGGCCCCCCUGUUGCUCCACCAACGUACUCCUUCCUCCUAUAUAUACCUACGUACCCCCAAACUACCAGACACGGAGCCAAAACCCUAAUUCCACCGUCGUAACUUUCUAUAUCCACGAGAUCCCAUCUUGGGGCCUGUUCCGGAGCUCCGUCGGUGGGGGCAUCGAUCACGGAGGGCUUCUACAUCAACACCAUAGCCCUUCCGAUGAAGUGUGAGUAUUUUAUCUCAGACCUACGGGUCCAUAGUUAUUAGCUAGAUGGUUUCUUCUCUAUUUUUGGAUCUCAAUGCAAAGUUCUCCCCCUCUCUUGUGGAGAUCUAUUCAAUGUAAUCCUCUUUUGCGGUGUGUUUGUUGAGACCGAUGAAUUGUGGGUUUAUGAUCAAGUUUAUCUAUGAACGAUAUUUGAAUCUUCUCUGAGUUCUUUUAUGUAUGAUUGGUUAUCUUUGCAAGUCUCUUCGAAUUAUCAGUUUGGUUUGGCCUACUAGAUUGAUCUUUCUUGCAAUGGGAGAAUUGCUUAGCUUUGGGUUCAAUCUUGCGGUGUCCUUUCCCAGUGAUAGUAGGGGCAGCAAGGCACGUAUUGUAUUGUUGCCAUCGAGGAUAACAAGAUGGUGUUUAUUUCAUAUUGCAUGAGUUUAUCCCUCUACAUCAUGUCAUGUUGCUUAAAGCGUUACUCUGUUCUCUUGAACUUAAUAAUCUAGAUGCAUGCUGGAUAGCGGUCGAUGUGUGGAGUAAUAGUAGUAGAUGCAGGCAGGAGUCGGUCUACUUGUCUCGGACGUGAUGCCUAUAUACAUGAUCAUACCUAGAUAUUCUCAUAACUAUGCUCAAUUAUGUCAAUUGCUCAACAAUAAUUUGUUUACCCGCCGUGAAUACUUAUGCUCUUGAGAGAAGCCACUAGUGAAACCUAUGGCCCCCGGGUCUAUCUUUCAUCAUAUCAAUCUUCCAAUACUUAGUUAUUUUUAUUGCCUUUUAUUUUACUUUGCAUCUUUAUCAUAAAAAUACCAAAAAUAUUAUCUUAUCAUAUCUAUCAGAUCUCACUCUCGUAAGUGACCGUGUAGGGAUUGACAACCCCUUAUCGCGUUGGUUGCAAGGAUUUAUUUGUUUGUGUAGGUACGAGGGACUUGUGCGUGGCCUCCUACUGGAUUGAUACCUUGGUUCUCAAAAACUGAGGGAAAUACUUACGCUACUCUGCUGCAUCACCCUUUCCUCUUCAAGGGAAAACCAAUGCAAGUGCUUAAGAGGUAGCAAUGCCUAUAUACACACUACAAAAAAAAGACACAUCCAUGACAUUUUGGGCCGAACGAUUUUUUUUUCUGUCAUACAUAUGACACUUCUAUGACGAUAAUUGUGACAAAACCCGGUAUCAUCAUAGAUGUGGUGGGCUCCUACUUCUAUGACAAAAAAUCAUGACAGAAAAUGGGCUUUUCGUCCUGGGCGGGCCGGAUACGUAACCGCAUGACAUUCUUUGGGACAUCCAUGACGGAAAAAACCGUGGUAGAAGCGAGGGCGAGGAAAAUUUCGGUGAGUUCCCGGUUACGGUGGAAGGUCGGGGGCCGAGCAAUGCGCGUUUCUCUCGUACACGUACGCACAUGUGUGCGAGGCGUUGGCUCUAACUGAACCCGAGCGAGGCGUUGGGCUCUAACUGAACCCGAGCGAUUGCACUGCAGGCUACGCGUUACUGAACCCGAGCGAUCGAUCGAUGGCUGUUAACUGAACCCAAUCGAGCGAUUCCUUCGCUACUGCUGCUAACUAAAGNNNNNNNNNNNNNNNNNNNNNNNNNNNNNNNNNNNNNNNNNNNNNNNNNNNNNNNNNNNNNNNNNNNNNNNNNNNNNNNNNNNNNNNNNNNNNNNNNNNNNNNNNNNNNNNNNNNNNNNNNNNNNNNNNNNNNNNNNNNNNNNNNNNNNNNNNNNNNNNNNNNNNNNNNNNNNNNNNNNNNNNNNNNNNNNNNNNNNNNNNNNNNNNNNNNNNNNNNNNNNNNNNNNNNNNNNNNNNNNNNNNNNNNNNNNNNNNNNNNNNNNNNNNNNNNNNNNNNNNNNNNNNNNNNNNNNNNNNNNNNNNNNNNNNNNNNNNNNNNNNNNNNNNNNNNNNNNNNNNNNNNNNNNNNNNNNNNNNNNNNNNNNNNNNNNNNNNNNNNNUAGAUGAACAGGACCCCGAUCGAUCGAGCCGAUUGGGGCUGGAUGAACAGGACCCCGUGGAGGGCUGGAUGAACAGGACCACCCCGUGGAGGGCUGGAUGAAUAGGAGACGGUGGAGGGCAGGAUGAACAGUAGCCCGUGGAGGGGUGGUUGAACAGGAGCCCGUGGAGAGGGCUGGUUGAACAGUAGCCGGUGGAGUAGCGCGCGGUGGAGGCUGGAUGAACAGGAGCCCGUGGAUGAACAAUCGCAGGUGGAGGCUGGAGGAGGUUGACGGUGGAUGAACAGUAGCUCAUGGAGGCUGGAGGGGGUCGACGGUGGAGAUGAACAGUAUCUCGUGGAGUCCCGUUUUGCGGUACGCCACACCCCUCCCGAUGAACAAGACCCCCUACGGACCGUUUCUUCUGUUUUGCGGUACGCCACACCCCUCCCGAUAACAGGACCCCCGUUUCGACUGUAGGAGGUCCGUUUCCUCCGUUUUGCGGUACGCCAGACCCCUCCCGAUCAACAGGACCCCGUUCCGAACGUAGGAGGUCCGUUUCCUCUGUUGUGCGGUACACCAGGCCUCAUUUCCAUCGCCUGUUCCGUCCAGGCCCUCCCGAUGAACACGACCACGCAUUCCGUUCCGACCCAGCCGGUUGGCUCCCAUGCGUUCCAUUGCCUCCCGAUGAACACGAGUCUUCCGUUGCCUCCCCAUGAACACAAUGCAUUUUGUUGCCUCCCCAUGAACACGAUGCAUUCCGUUGCCUCCCCAUGAACACGACGACGAUGUUGUUUCUCCGUUCCACCCAGCCAUGUCAAUGAGCCCUCGCCGUACAUGUGCGCGAGUAGGCGUUCGAGACCCCGCCCGUAUGUACACAUACGUGGCCAUAUUUUCUUUCUUGCUCCCUGGCCGCCUCUACUACGACACGUGCGCGCCUCUACAUCCACCAGUAUAUAUGUACGUAAAACAUUCACGACCAGAAUGACAACGCUAGAUAUGCUUCGACCAGGUGGGUCCCGACUAUCAAGCACUUCCUUGCGUGCGAAGAUGUAGCUGGUGGGUCCCAACAGUCAGGGGGGCGAAAUACGGUGGCCCGUCCGGUGGGUCCCCGCUGUCAGGUGGAGGAAUAAUUAUUUUGCAUGUAAUAAGGAGGCACUUCCUUGUUGCGGCCGUGGACCCAGCUGUCAGCCUCUCCAUGUACAGUCCACGUCCGAUGGAAGCCGUUCCUUGACCACGUUGACCACGCCGCGCUGAGAGCACCAGGGCGGUGGACGACGGCGAGGCCUAGGAAGGGGACGACGCAGAGCUGGGGAAGACGCAGAAGUGGAUGCCCAUGCGUAGAGGAGUACGAGGGCACUAGUUUGCUGCGGUGUGAGGCUGCCGUCGCCGCAGAGUAACAGGGGGUGUGGGUGAGUAGAGGGAUGGCCUGGCCAGUGGUGGGAGUAGUAGGGGCGGUGAGGCCUCUGCCGCAUCGUAGCCGGCCACGGGAGGCAGGAGCACGAGGCACGACCGGCGCUAGUUUGGGUGGCUGGAGCAAGAAGACGAGAGGUUGAAGAAGCACUACAGACGUUGGAUGGACAUCGUACGGUCACUGGAGCUAGAAUCAUGCAUUUUGACUAAGUUGACAAAGCCCUCCGUCCCCGUCAACUUAGUAGGCCCACAAGUUAGCCUGCCACUAUACUGGGUCCCAGCUAAUAGGGGGAGUAUUCAUUUUUUUUGUGCGUAAUAAGGAGGCACUUCCUUGCGUGCGAAGAUAUAUCUGGUGGGUCCGAGCUGUCAGCGGCGGUAACGUUUUUUUUUCCGCGAAAUAUAGAGGCCCUUUCGGUGGGUCCCUGAUGUCAGGUGGAGGAAUCAUUAUUUUGCGCGUAAUAAGGACGCAUUUCCUUGCGUGCGGCCGUGGACCCAGCUGUCGGCCUCUCCACGUAUAGUCCACUUCGGAUGCAUGUCGGUCGUUGACCAUGUUGACCAGGCCGCGCCGAGAGCACCAGGGCGGUGGACGACGGCGAGGCCUAGGAAUGGAACGACACGGAGGCAGGGAAGACUCGGCAGUUGUUUCCCACACGGAGGGGAGUACGACUGUACGAGGGUUUACUGGUUCGUCUGCCGUCGCUGGAGAAUAACAACAGGUGUGGGUGAGUAGAGGGAUGGCUAGGCCAGCGAUGGGAGUACGGUGGGGCGAUGGGGCGAUGAGGCCUGUGCGGCAGCACAACCGGCCGCGGGGAGGAGGGAGCAGGCAGUCCCGCCGGUGCUUGUUUGAGCGGCUGGAGCAGGAAGAGCAGAGAUUGAAGAAGCACAAUGGCCGUUGGAUGGACAUCCAACAGUCACUGCUUGUGCGUCAACCUUUUUUUAGGAAAGCCUCAAAUCCGUGGAAAACAGCAUACAACCCAUCUGCCAUUAUUUCUAAUAAUUUCCAGCCCAUUUGCUAAUUCUUAAGGUUUUUUUGGAGCCCAUAUUCUUUUUGUUAGCAUUAGAGCCCAAAUUGUGGCCACGGUUAAAAAAUUAUACGAAAUUUUGCAUAUUCCGGUGCGGUCCGAACUGUUUUUAAUCCCGAAAUUUCGACUCACAUUCAAACUGAUUUUAAAAAUAAAUGUAUAUCAAUAUAAAAUCCAAAAAAUUCUCCACGCAUAAAAAUUAAUGUAAUUUAAAAUCUUGAAAUGAAAAAAAAGAUAUUUGAAACUAAUUGCCGGUUUGAUGUGUUUUAAAAAUGUACAACCCAUUUCUCAUUAUUGAUGGGCCAUUUUCUCGGCCAGCCGAAUAAAAGCUCUCCUCGUCUUGAAAGAUUUGCAGCCCAACAGGCCUGACAAAGUGACUUACUUGGCAAAUCACAAAAAAACUGGGCUGUGGCUGUGGACCCAGCUGUCAGCCUCUCCACGUACAGUACUCUUCCGAUGGAAGUCGUUCCUUGACCACGUUGACCACGUCGCGCGGAGAGCACCACGGCGGUGGACGAUGGUGAGGCCUAGGAAGGGGAUGACGCGGAGCCAGGGAAGACACGGCAGUGGAAGCCCGCGCGGAGAGGAGUACGAGGGUUCACUAGUUCGGCUGCGGUGUGAGGCCGCCGCCGCCGCAGGGCCUGGCCAGUGGUGGGAAUAGUAGGGGGCGGUGAGGCCUCCACGGCAGCACAGCCAGCCACGGGAGGCAGGAGCAUGCGGCACGACCGGUGUUGCUUUGGGCGGCUGGAGCAAGAAGACCAGAGGUUGAAGAAGCACUACGGCCGUUGGAUGGACAUCGUAUGGUCACUGGAGCUAGAAUCGUUCAUAUUGACUAAGUUGACAAAGCCCUCCGUCCCCGUCAACUUUGUUGGCCCACAAGUCAUCCUCCCACUAUGCUGGGUCCCAGCUAGCAGGGGGGUAUUCAUUUUUUUGUGCAUAAUAAGGAGGCACUUCCUUGCAUGCGAAGAUAUAGCUGGUGGGUCUGACAUGUUAGCGGGGGGAACGUUUUUUUGCGAAAUACAGAGGCCCUUCCGGUGGGUCCCAGCUGUCAGGUGGACGAAUCAUUAUUUUGCACGUACAGUCCACGCCGAUGGAUGUCGUUUGUUGACCAAGUUGACCAGGCCGCACCGAGAGCACCAUGGCGGUGGAUGACGGCGAGGCCUAGGAAGGGAACGACACGGAGCUAGGGAAGACUCGACAAUGGUUGCCCACACGGUGGGGAGUACGAGGGUUUACUGGUUCGGCUGCUGUCGCCGGAAAAUAACAGGAGGCGUGGGUGAGUAGAGGAAUGGCCUGGCUAGGAAUGAAGUAGGGUGGGGCGGUGCGGCCUGUGCGGCAGCACUGCCGGCCACGGGAGGCGGGAGCAGGGAGUCCCACCGGAGCUGGUUUGGGCGGCUGGAGCAAGAAGAUCAGAUAUUGAAGAAGCAGCACGGCCGUUGGACUAACAUCCAACGGUCACUACUGCUAGAAUCGUUUGUGGACUAAGUUGACAAAGCCAAAGUACACGUCAACCUAGUAGACCCACAAGUCAGCCUCCAAAUCUGUCCCAAACAGCAUACAUCCCGAAAUUUCUAGCCAGAUUCAAAUUAAUUUUAAAUCUAAAUAUACCUUAAUUUAAAUUCAGUGAAAUUUUACCCGCACAAAAACAAUGAAAUUUAAAAUAUCAAAAUCCGAAAGAAAACAGUAUUUUGGAACUAAUUGUCUGUUUGCUAUAUUUUUUCAUUUUACAGCCCAUUUAUUAUUACUUAUAGCCCAUUUCUUAUUACUUAUAGCCCAUUUUCUGGGCAAAAUGCAUCCCUCCUCGUCUUGAAAGAUUUCCAGCCCAGCAGGGCGUAGAAAAGCAAGUAGGCCUACGUUGGUUAUUCUAUAAAAACAAAAUAGCUGGCUAGCAAUUUUCAGAAAGGAAAAAAACAAACUGGGCUGGUCAUGUGCUAAAAUAUGAAAUAAAAGCCUGGGCUAGACGGGCCACGGGUCCCGCACAACCCAGUUGAUACCCUUCUCCAUCCCGAAAAAACAAAAUUACCGCGUGCGCUGCUGGGUCCCUACUGUCAUCCUCACCAUGUACAGUCAUCUCCUUAUUCCUCUCAGUUGUUGACCAUGUUGACAACACCGGAGGGCGGCGCCGCAGCGAGCAAACCAAGGCAGAGGACGAUGGUGAGGCCUCGGACGGGAACGAACAGGAGCCGGGGCAGAUCAUAGCCAGCCGUGGGAGGCGGGAGCAGGCGGUCCCGCCGGCGCUGGUUUGGCUUUGGCGGCUCGAGGAAGAAGAUACUGAAGAAACGCGACAGACAUUGAAUGUCAAUCCAACGGUCAAGGUUGGCACAAUCGUUUGUUGACUAAGCGGACACCAAGUAGCAUACUUUUUUAUAUAUAGGAAGAAAACUGCGAGGAAAAUGCGUUCGUCUGCCGUCCUCCUCACAGGGAAUGUUCACCACAUAAGUGACUAGCACCCUUGGUUUUAAACCGAGAGGUCUUGGGCUCGAGUCCCAGGAACUCUCAAUUUUGUCCUCCUUCCUUCCUCGCAAAAAAGGGAAAGAAAAUCAAAGACUUGGGAAGGUGUACAAAACAAGCUAGUGUACCAGUAAAGAGACGUUGCCAAGUUUUAGAAAAAAGAAUGACGUGCUCCUGUAGCUGGUUCGAACUCAAACCUAGACUAUGACUAUAUAUGGUGCUAUGCUACUCUUUAAGUAAUGAAACUGACAUAUCCAACAUUCGUUUCUCCUCUUCUCUACUUACUCUACCUAGCAUCAGAAGCUCUGGCCGCAGCAACCAUGUUCGCUGGCUGCUCGUCCACCUGCUCUUCAGCAGGCAAUAACCAGAUAUGCGCCAAGUCGCAACCCGUACCAUCGCCUGUGGGUCUCAUCACACCCUCGCCGGCACGCACACCGCAGCCGAUUGCUCAUCGCAACCCGCUGCCGUUGGUGUGGUGCCACUGCUGCAAAUCACGCAGAGUCAUCCAUCGUGUCUCAACCACAAUCCGCAACCCUGGCCGAGUCUUCUACAAAUGCCUAAAUCAUGGGGUAAUAAUAUGUUUAAGUGUUGUUCUGCUGCUUUCAGUUGCUGAUUUUUUUAAUAGUUUGGUUGAUGAUCUACCAAUUUGAUUCGUGCAGAAAAGGGAAGAUUCGUGUGAUUUGUAUUUCUGGGAAGUUGUUGAUGUGGGGGAAUGCAACUAUGCUGAUUAUUUGGUUAGCCGAGGAAUCCCAAUACCAGCAGGUUGGGGUGUUGGACAAGUAACUGAAGGAACGGCAGAAGAGGAAGAUGCAAAGCAGAAGGUUAAAGAUGCAGUUCCUCUGAUCAUGGCCAAGCAACAGCUGCUAAAUGGUCUUGACAGCAAUGAGGAGAUGAAAGAGCUUGUGAAGAUAAUGGGCAAAAUCGAUGUGCUCUGUAGGAUGAUUGUCUCUUUAUUUGCAGUGUAUGUAGCACUCAUGAUGUAUUCAGUGGCUACGACAUGAGCACUUUGCUGAAACUAGUAAUGAAUGAAACAUAUGUAGCAGGCUGGGCAUAGUGUUGUGAACAUCUAAUGAUUUCUAUUAACGGAAAUCAGGGGGUAUCCCCUUUUGCUCAUAUAAAUAAAUAGCAGAGGCCCUGUCGGGUCAACUUUGUACUCAUUCGAAGAUGUCGAGCAAAUUGCAGUCCAACAUCAAACUAUGUCAUCAAAUUCAAGUUUCACAACCAAAUAUAAGUACAACUAAACAACAAUGUCAUCAUGUUUUAGUUGUCAUACAAUCACCAAACACAAAUCAGCAUACAUAACAAGUGAUGUUCUCACAGCAAAAUACUAAACAACAUGUUCAUCAGGUUUCAGUUGUCAUAGCAAACACAAUUUCACAUAGUAGAUAAAAAACGUCUUCUGACAGGCAAAUACGACAAAAGCAAUGUAAUCAUCAUCCGCAGCAGCAGCGUCAACAUCUUCGCCAUGUGUAUCAGUCUGAAUCGUAGUUCCCCACGGUGUCAUCUUCUUCUUCAUCCUCAACGUCCCCGAACGUUGGCUUCUUCUUGAUCAACUCUUGUAUGUCCACAGCACGACAGACAAUCUUUUCGCCUGCGUCAUUGACGUGAUGGUUCUCAAAGAUAUUAGGAGCAUCUGUGUUAUCUUGUACAUCAGGAGCAGUGUAAGCAUCAUCUUGUUGUGCAACUUCAUUAAACGAAUUCCUCUGCUCAAACCUUUGCAAUACUCUCCAGUCAUCACUACAUGCAAAUGUGUCUUCCAAGAAAAAUGUCUGUGUUGCUUGAUUUGCCAAAAUAAAAGGCUCGUUGGUCUAGUACGCCGCCUUGACAUUGAUGGAUUUGAAAUAAUCAUCAGCUCUGGGUUUUGUGAUCCUGGAAAACAGGUUAUACGAACGAUAGCACAAUAGAACCACACACCGAUGAUCCUCGAAACUGGAGAUAUACUGCAAUUGAAUAAUGUCUGUUAUGUUAGCAUACAUUUCAGUUGUCUCUUUGUCAUAUGCAUCCGUGCUCAUGAUGGCACUAUUUUGUGUCUUCCUGCCUUCGUCUCGUGCAAGGGUGUUGUAGUGCACAUCUCCAACAACGCAAGAUUCAUAAUGUCUUACCCUAGUAUGAGGGCCCAUUGCUAGUGAGUAAAGGGCAUCAUCAACUGCCUGCCCAUCCUCCCGCAUCUUCUUAACCUAUGGUUAGAAAAUAGACAAGCUGGUCAUCUUAUGUACUUAAUAUAUUAAAAAAACUGAUAGUGCACUUCAAAAGCUUACAUGGUUCUUGAACCAUUUCGCAAAUCCUGCCAUAACUAGUUUGUCAAUGUUUCUUGGAUUUUGCGGCAGUAACUCCUCUUUGUAGAUGCUGCACAACAUAGUGAUCGCGUCAAACAUAUAAAUAUAUAAGAAUGUGCUGCAAGUUUAGUAGAUUACGAUGUAUAAGCUGUAGUACUGCACUUACUUGAUAUAAGGUAGUAUCUCAAGAUAGUUAUUCAACACAUACCAAACCAUUUUGUCCAAAUCUGUAGGUUUGUCCUCUUGUCGAAUCUUCCCUGUAACUCGAACAGAAUAAUCGAAAACAUUAAGCCCGGGAUUGUCUUCACCCACCUCUUUGCUAAGCUUGUCGGAUUUCAGGUUUCGGCAGACCCUUGAGGUUCGAACACUGGGGUGCGCGCGGAGAUCUCUCCCCUACAGAUCUACGUCUGAUCCUCUCGUGCGAACUAAGAUGAAAAAUGAUGAACAACACAAGAGACACAAGGUUUAUACUGGUUCGGGCCACCAUUGUGGUGUAAUACCCUACUCCAGUGUGUGGUGUGGUGGAUUGCCUCUGGGGCUGAUGAUGGACAGUACAAGGGAAGAACAACCUCGCGAGGGAUGUUCUUGAGCUGGUGCAGUGUGUUCUACUUAGUCUCUACUGGGUUUUCUCUCUCUCUGCUAGAGUUCUACCAGAUCCCCCUCUCCCUUUGUGGAGGCUAGCUCUAUUUAUAGAGGCCCUGGGCCUCUCCCCGAAUAAUUGAGCGGGAAGGGCGCCAACAAUUGGCCAUUUUGAAGGGGAACAUCUAGUACAAGUUAUCCUGACCAAAGGUGGUCUUCGGCUGCCAAAAGCACUUGUGAUGACACCGUCUUGGGCUCCACGGUGACGUCCGUCCGGCUGGUCUUGGUCUCGUUGCACCGGAAUGGUAACCUUUGCCUGAUACCUUGGCCUGUGCUUGCCGCCUUUGCACCAAAGGGGAAACAAGGACCCUGUGCAGGCCGGCGCCCGCCUAGUCUCGAUCGUCAUGGCUUGCGUCACGGGUUCCUUGCGAGGUACCCCUGCCUUGAUCUCUCCGCCUCCUCGCGAGCCUGCCUGAUGAGGCUGCCUCUGAGGAAGCUUCCUGUCGUCCGCCCUGCGAGGCUUGGCCCCUCGCGAGGGUCUUGAGCUUCCGUUGAUGAAGAUGGGCCGCGCUGGGCCCCCACUUGAGCCAUGCCGCAGGCAGGCAAGUCUGGGGACCCCCAUUCCCAGAAUGCCGAUAGUAGCCCCCGGGCCCAAGGCGCGCCCAGGCUUGGCCUGGCGGGGGAGCGAAGGGGUAAGCGCGAAGCGCCAUGGGCCCCAACAGCCUGCGGCCUUGGGUGCCGCGUGGCGGUUGACUAGACAUGGUCGUAUGCGCUUCCCAUGACGCCCCGGCGACCGCACGACUUGACAAGUACCUGUAUGCAGAGAAACCGGUCAUGAUUACCUGUGAUCGUGGUGCUCGGCGGUUGGCCUCCUCUGGCUAUAAGUAUGGGGCUGGGCGAGCCCCUUCAGUCCAUCCCUUCUUGCUGCUCCUUUUCUUCUUCUUGGCUAAUCGCCGUCCCCAUGGACCCAAAGAGAUUCUCGGCCGCGGAGAAAGGAAAGGCCCCCCCGGGCAGGGCCUGACCCUCCCCGACCAAGCGCGGCCGAGGCCGCCCUCGCAAGUACACCACGGUCCCCGUGGUAGCCUCCCGCGGUCAUGGAGGCGGUUCCCUGCGUGGUGGUGAGCGCCCGGUUGCCAACGGGGGGCACGCCGUGGGUGUGCGCCCCCUAGACCACGCUUCCGCUCUGUGGAGGUGCUGCCGGAGUUCGUCGUGUGGUCGGCGGACCCAUCCAGCACCCGGCUCCAGCUCCCACGUUUCUUCAUAGAUGAACUGUCGGCCAGCACUCGGUGCAGCUUCUGGCUCCAGGCAGACGGCUGCUGCAGUAGGGCCUCCUAGGCAUCGCUGGAGGUCUCCGUCUCUGGGAACGGGGCCCUGACGCGCGGCUGGCAAAUGUUUGCCCGCGCGCGCGGCCUGGGCCGGUGGUGUACCCUGUACUUCAAGUUCGAUGACGAUGCCACCCUCUACGUGAGGGUGUUUGGGGAAGAUGGUCGCCAUGCCGGGUGCUGCCCUGAAGACGACGACCGCGGCCGCCUGCCCAGCCCCGACACUGACCAGGAUGAAGAUGGCGAUUGGCGUACAGGAGGCGGGGCUUGGGGUUCGCCAAGUUUCGUCGACUCUCCCUCAGGCAACAGCUCCUCUAGUGGUGGCCGCGACCAGCCCCCGUGCCGUCGCGCUCGCCUGGGUGAAGGCAGCGGGUCCACCCGCCAUCGCGCCCUCGUGAAGCGAGAGGAGGCGUCCGCUUGAUCCCUAGGAGCAGCUCGAGCUUUUGCUGUAGGUUGGUGUUGGACAGGUCGUGUCCAUUUUGUUUCCUUCCUUUCCUACGUAAGAAGAAGGUAGUACAGGGCCCCGUGGGGGAGUGUUAGAACUGUUGCUGUCAAGUGUCGCGUUGCUUUUGCCAUUUCUGCGCUAUGUUCCGUGCUGUGUGUCCAUGUGCGGGAGUCAUUUGAGCUUGGUGGAGCUUGACGCGGCCCUCGCCUCCGGAGGCUGAGGCCUCGCCGUGCACUUCAUGCCCUGCAAUAUUUAGUUAGAGGGGUAGCUUACGGUCUUGGUUGUGGGGGCGAUCAGCCUAGGUCAUACGCUCCUGUCGCGAUGCCCGUGGGGCACGGACUGGGAGGGGUGCUCCCGCAGAGGACUCAGAUAGGGAAGCUCCAAACGAUCGGGGUAGAAAACACUCGCGAGGGCGCCCGCGACUCCCUCGCGAGACUUGUGCGAGAGAAAACGAGGCAAGCGAGCGAGAAAGACAAAGAGUCACAAGCCAGGAACGCCAACAACUCCAAUAAGACUUCAAACGGGAAUAAACACGCCAACUGCAGAAAGCAAAUGAAAAAGCCGCGUCCGGCACCUAUUCUAGUCUUCGACGUCUUCUCACCAGCGCAGAGCUAAGUGCUGCCACUGGGCGUGGGCGGGAACCCCCGAGGCCCAAGGGCGGCAGUCCGGAGACUCCGGGGCGUGUACAUCCCCACUCAUUAUUACGUGAGAGUGUCACGGGCGGCGAGCUUCACAGGCGUUUGCCUUCUUCACAGGCACCGAGCCUUUCCCAAAACGCGAUAGCUUCACAGGCAUUGGCCUUCUUCACAGGCACCGGGCCUUUUCCAAAACGCAGCGGCUUCACAUGCAUUCACCUUCUUCAUAGGCACCGGGCCUUUUCCAAAAUGCAGCGGCUUCACAGGCAUUCACCUUCUUCACAGGCACCGGGCCUUUUCCAAAACGCAGCGGCUUCACAGGCAUUUGCCUUCUUCACAAGCACCGGGCCUUUCCUAGGCGUUAGGCCUCGCUCAGGGAUAGAACCUCCGGAGAUGUUGAAUGUUCCACGCGUUCUGGAUAGGUACCCCCUCCGUGGUCUCCAAGCGCGCGGAGCCAGGCCUGGAGACAUGAACAACCUUGAACAGGCCCUCCCACAUGGGAGAGAGCUUGUGCAGCCCCUCCCUGGAGAGAACCCGUCUGAGCACGAGAUCCCCUACCUCAAGAGUUCUGGGGCGUAUGUUGCGGCAGUGGUAUCGUCGCAGCGCCUGUUGAUACCUUGCCGCUCGCAGUGCGGAUUCUCGACGGUGUUCCUCCCCCAGUACGAGAUCCGUCCCCCGCAUGGCGUCCUGAUGCGUCUCGUCGAACGCCAGAACCCGCGCAGAGCGACGCCUGACCUCAUGAGGGAGGACAGCCUCUGCUCCAUAGACGAGGAAGAAUGGGGUCUCGCCAGUCAGUUUGGUCGCAAUUGUGCGGAUUGACCACAACACGGACUGGAGCUUGUCGUACCAACCCCUGCCGCAGGCCUCCAGCUUCUUCUUGAAGGUCCUGGCUUUGAGGCCCCUCAGGACCUCCGCGUUGGCCCGCUCGGCCUGGCCGUUGCUCCGGGGGUGUGCUACCGAAGCGUAGCAUAUCCGCGUUCCAAGGUUAGCACAUUAUGUUUUGAAGAGAUUACAGGUGAAUUGUGAAUCAUUGUCGGUGAUGAUGCGGUUGGGCACCCCAAAUCGGCUCACGAGGCCCUUGAUGAAUUUGACCGCUGAGCCUGCCGGGAUUAUGCGGACGGCUUCCACCUCAGCCCACUUGGUGAAUUUGUCCAUGGCGACGUAGAGGUAGCGAUAGCCCCCUGGCGCCCGAGGAAACGGGCCUAGAAUGUCGAGCCCCCAAACUGCGAACGGCUAUGAGAGGGGUAUAGUCUGUAGACCCCCUGCAGGCUGAUGGAUCUGCUUAGCAUGAAACUGGCAGGCCUCGCAAGCCUUCACAAGCUCAACGGCAUCGUUGAGUGCUGUGGGCCAAUAGAAUCCACUACGGAAUGCCUUGCCGACGAGGGUCCGUGACGACGAGUGGUGCCCGCAGUCUCCGCCGUGUAUGUUCGCUAGUAGAUCCUUCCCUUGCUCUCGGGAGAUGCAGCGUAGGGACAUGUCAUUUGGUCGCUUCCUGUAGAGCUCGCCAUCCUGGAUGCAAUAAGCCGUGGCCUGCCGCGCCACAUGCUCCGCCUCCUCCUCAUUCUCCGGCAGAGUCCCUUGCAUCAGGUAGUUCUUGAGCUCCGGGAUCCAACACCCUUCCCGAGGCUCUAACGCCAGGAGCAGGCGUGCCCCUGAGGCUGGACCGCAGACCGGGCUCCUGAGGUAGGCGGCUGAGGGAGCUCCUCCCUUGGUUGUGCCAUGCUCGACAGCUACGACACCGUCGAGGGUUUGAAGAGCUGCUCCUGAAAGACGCCAGGCUCCUGAGGCAGCUGCCUAGAUGCCCUCUUGGCAAUGUCGUCAGCCUCCUGAUUGGUGCCAUGAGGCACAUGCUGCAACUCCAGUCCCCAGAACUGUUUCUCCAUCUUGCGGACCUCAGCGAGGUAGGCUUCCAUGUGCUCGUCCUUUGGCUCGUAUAUCUUGUUGGAGAAGUUGAUGAGGAGCUGCGAAUCGCCCUUGAUGAUGAGGCGCUUCACCCCUAAGGCAGUUGCGGCCUUCAAGCCUGCUAUUAGGCCUUCAUACUCCGCUAUGUUGUUGGAGACCUUUUCCCCGUGCUGGAAGCAAAGUUGCACGCCGUAGUAGAGUUUGUCCUGGGUAGGGGAUAUGAGCACUGCGCCAGUUCCUGCACCGUGUCGGGAGAACGCCCCAUCAAAGUACAUGACCCAGCCAUCCGGUGCUUCACUUACCGGGGAAGUGAUCGGUCUUCGCCUGCCUCGAGACCCGGCGCUUCUGCCCAUUCUGCCACGAAAUCCGCUAGCGCGGCUCCCUUGAUGACUCUGGUCGUACUGAAUUCUAGCUGAAAUGCCUGUAGCUCGAUGUUCCAUUCAGCAACCCUUCCAGCUGAGUUGGGGCUCCUGAGUACCCUCUCCAAGGGGUAUGCCGAGACGACCUUGAUGGGGUGGCCUUGGAAGUAGUACUGCAGCUUGCGUGAGGCCACCAAUAGCGCAAGGAGGAGCUUUUGAGGCAUGGGGUACCGCGCCCUCGCGUCGCGUAGCACUGUGCUGACGAAAUACACGGGGUGCUCGACGAGGUUGAGGGUGCUGGCACUGCUUGCGUCCUCCAGAGGUCGAGGCGUCUCUUGAGACGACGGAGCUCCUAGUGCUUGGUCGCCUGAAGGGGCCUCUCCUGCUCCGGGUGCGUUCUCCUGCCGCUGCUGUUCCUUUCCAGCUGCGGUUGCGGCCUUCGUGAGGCCCUCCUGGCUCUGCUUCACUUCAGUUCGGACGGUUGAUGCGGCCUUGGCACAGCGCUCCUCCCUGACUGCUACCAGGGCUGCACUAGCGGAGUAGGGGGUGGCCGCAAGGUAGAGCACCAGGGGCUCCCGAGGACGCGGAGCUACCAUCACUUGUGGACUGGUAAGGUACCUCUUGAGGUCUUGGAAUGCCUUGCCAGCCUCUUCAGUCCAUUCGAAGGGGCCCUUUUUCUUCAUCAGCUUGAAGAAGGGCAGCGCUUGUUCCCCCAGCUUGGAGAUGAAAUGCCCCAGCGCAGUUACACGCCCGGUGAGCUUCUGCAUUUCUCUGAGGGUCCUUGGCGGGCUCAUGUCUUCCACUGCCUUGACCUUCUCCAGGUUGGCCUCGAUGCCCCUGUGGGAUACGAGGAAACCCAGGAGCUUGCCUGAGGGGACCCCAAACACGCACUUCUCCGGGUUGAGCCGUAGGUCCACUUUGUUGAGGCUCGCGAAGGUUUCUUCCAGGUCCUGUAUCAGGGUCCUUGCCUCAUGAGACUUCACCACAAUGUCAUUGACGUAAGCUUCUGCGUUCCUCCCGAGCUGCCGGCCUAAGGCGAUGUGCAUCAGCCGCUGAAAGGUCGCGCCUGCAUUGUGCAACCCAAACGGCAUGCACGUAUAGCAGUACAAUCCACACGGGGUCAGGAAGGCCGUCUUCUCCACGUCUUCUACCGCCAUCUUGAUCUGGUGAUAGCCCGAGAAGGCAUCUAUGAAGCACAAUAGGUCACACUCUAUGGUGGAGCCGACUGUCUGGUCAGUGCGGGGGAGUGGAAAUGGAUCCUGCGGGCAGGCCUUGUUGAGGUUGGUGAAGUCGACGCACAUGCGCUCCGUCCUCCCUUUUUCAGCACAAUGACCGGAUUAGCCAGCCAAUCAGGGUAGCGGACCUCGUGGAUAACUCCUGCCGCCUCUAGCUUUCGGGUCUCUUGAACGAUGAAAGCUUGUUUCUCAGUAGACUGCUGCCUUGCCUUCUGCUUCACGGGGCGCACAUUGGGGCACACGUUGAGGUGAUGCUCAAUCACUUCCCUUGGGACUCUUGCUAACUGAUCAGGUUCCCGCGCAAACACCUUCUUGAUUGCACGCAGGAAACCGAUCAGGGCUUUCUCUUGCUCGGACUUGAGGUUGGACCCUAUGGUGAAGGUGGUGCUAGGGGACCCGUCCUCAUCGACUAGUACCUGCUUGGUUUCUGCCUUGUCUUGGGUGAACAACUGCUUCUUUUUAGCCGGCGCAUCCCCCUUGGGCUCAAGGGCGUCGGUGCCAGUGGGCUGCGCCACCGCGGCCACCCUGAAAACAAGCUGGAGCACCUACAGCACAUCCCUUGUGUCUCCUGACACGAUGAGGACGCCGCUGCUCCCAGGCAUCUUCAUGAGGUUGUACGCCGGGUGAGUUGCUGCCAUGAACCAAGCUAGGGCCGGAUAGCCGAGGAUGGCGUUGUAGGGGAGGCCGAUGGGGGCGAUGUCGAAGUCGAUCAGAUCCGUGCGGAAGUUGUCGCAGGUGCCGAAGGUCACUUGGAGGCGGAUCUGCCCCAAGGAGGCGGUGGAACCGGCUCCGACGCCCGAGAAAGGCCUGCUGGGUCGGAGUUGCUCCAGCGGCAUGUGGAGGAGGCUGAAGGGCUCCACUGAGAGCACGUUAAGGCCGGCACCACCGUCGAUGAGGGUCCUGGUGACGGCCACUUGGCAGAUGGUGGGGGUGCACAGCAUCGGGAGCGCGCCCGAACCAAUGGGGUUGAAGGGGUGGUCCUCCGAUUCGAAGGUUAGAUCGGCCUCGGGCGCCACCCAGCCCAGGGGGCUUCUUGGUGCUUGGAGGCAGUGCUGAUCCGGCGGGUGAAUGGCUUGACGUGAUGGCUCAAGGGUGGUGCCUGGGAGCCACCCAGGAGAGCUGCGACGACGGGCGGCGCUGGUGCGGCGAAACGGGCAAGGAAGAGGUCGCGCAGCUCCUCCCAGGAGGUGACAGAGGCCGUCGACAGGUGGUGGAGCCACGCAGGCGGGAUGCCGGUGAGGGCCAUGGGUAACCAGUUGGCCAUCACCCGAUCGUCGCCCCCGGCUCCGAGGACGGCCUCCUCGUACGCUAGCAGGAAAAACAUCGGGUCCGUCGCGCUGUCGUAGCGCGGUGGCAUCUCGGGCCUAAACUUGCGCGGCCACUGCACCUGUCGCACGGCGGAGGCCAAGGCCCGGAGCCCCCUGGCCCCAGUGUCGGCAUCUGUUGCUGGAGCGGGCGGCGCGUUGUCCGUCAUGAGGGCGGGAUGUGAUGUUGAGGGAGAGCGGGUCGUCAGGAGGGAGGACUAUGGCGCACCCCUACCUGGCGCGCCAAAUGUCGGAUUUUGGGUUCCGGCAGACUCUUGAGGUUCGAACACUGGGGUGCGCGCGGAGAUCUCUCCCCUACCGAUCUACGUCCGAUCCUCUCGUGCGAACUAAGAUGAAAAAUGAUGAACAACACAAGAGACACGAGGUUUAUACUGGUUCAGGCCACCGUUGUGGUGAAAUACCCUACUCCAGUGUGUGGUGUGGUGGAUUGCCUCUGGGGCUGAUGAUGGACAGUACAAGGGAAGAACAGCCUCGCGAGGGGUGUUCUUGAGCUGGUGCGGUGUGUUCUACUUAGUCUCUACUGGGUUUUCUCUCUCUCUGCUAGAGUUCUACCGGAUCCCCCUCUCCCUUUGUGGAGGCUAGCUCUAUUUAUAGAGGCCCUGGGCCUCUCCCCGAAUAAUUGAGUGGGAAGGGCGCCAACAAUUGGCCAUUUUGAAGGGGAACAUCUAGUACAAGUUAUCCUGACCAAAGGUGGUCUUCGGCUGCCAAAAGCACUUGUGAUGAAGCCGUCUUGGGAUCCACGGUGACCUCCGUCCGGCCGUCCGGCUGGUCUUGGUCUCGUUGCACCGGAAUGGUAACCUUUGCCUGAUACCUUGGCCUGUGCUUGCCCCCUUUGCACCAAAGGGGAAACAAGGACCCUGUGCAGGCCGGUGCCCGCCUGGUCUUGAUCAUCAUGGCUUGCGUCACGGGUUCCUCGCGAGGUACCCCUGCCUUGAUCUCUCCGCCUCCUCACGAGCCUGCCUGAUGAGGCUGCCUCUGAGGAAGCUUCCUGUCGUCCGCCCCAUGAGGCUUGGACCCUCGCGAGGGUCUUGAGCUUGCGUUGACGAAGAUGGGCCGCGCUAGGCCCCCACUUGAGCCACGCCGCAAGCCGCAGGCAGGCAAGUCUGGGGACCCCCGUUCCCAGAACACCGACAAAGCUGAUCAACUAUUUCAAUGUAUUUUGAGCAGAAUGUCAAUGCUUCUGUAGCAAUGUAGGCCUCUGCAAUGGAACCCUCGGGUCUAGCUCUGUUCCUAACAUAGCCCUUGAAAGUGCCUAGCCACCUUUCAAUAGGGUACAUCCAGCCAUAUUGUACUGGACCUCUAAGUAGUGCCUCAUCAGGUAGAUGAACAAACAAAUGCACCAUCACAUCAAAGAAGGCUAGAGGAUAUAUCUUCUCAAGGUCGCAUAGGAUAGUUGGUAUCUUGUCUCUAAGACGCUCCAAAGCAUCUAUCCUAAUAUUCCUACUUCAGAGUUCCCUGAAGAAUUGUCCCAACUCUGCAACUGCUCUGUAUAAGUCAGGGCGGCCCAAUCAUCUAAGGAUAACAGGUAAAACCCUUUGAAGUAGGACAUGACAGUCAUGAGUUUUCAACCCUUGUACCUUGUUUCCAUCUGCACUGACUCUCCUUUCAGGGUUGGAAGCAAAUCCAUGUGGGAAUCUCACACGUGACAGGACCUCGCAAAAUUCUUUUCUUUUUACCUUGUCCAAGACGUACACAGCUGGUGCCAUAUCCCGUGGUUUACCUUCAUCUUGCACCUGCAAAUCCUUUCUGAUACCCAGGUGUGUCAAAUCAAUCCUAGAUUUUAAGGUAUCUUUCGUCUUGCCUUCAAUAUUAAGAAGUGUGCCGAUAAUGCUGUCACAUAUAUUUUUCUCGAUGUGCAUCACAUCAAGAUUAUGCCGCAGAUCCAAAUCUUUCCAAUACUCCAAGUCUCACAAAGUGGACCCGCGGGUAAACAAUAAUCUCUCUUCUACCCUGCCACGCUUCCUUUUUCCGCUACCAUUACCAGGAUGGUUUCCUGGUGUAAUAUGCCUGACCUUCUCUAAUUCCACUUGCAACUCAUCGGCGGUGAGCCUCUUUGGCGCAUCAUGGUUUUCAUGCUUUGCAUUGAACACAUGUCUUCGGUAUUUUCUAGGACGCGGCUUGUCCUUGGCAAGGAAACAGCGGUGUCCAAUGUAACAGAUCUUGCUAAGUAUUGCGUAUGACAGCGGAUUCCUGUCACAGCGAACACAUGCAUUGUAACCAUGUGUCGUUCGCCCUGACAUAGUGCCCAAAGCCGUAUAAUCAUGGAUGCACCAAAUUAUAAUAGCACGCAGAAAGAAAUCAGUUGGUGGGCUGCUAUAUAGGUCUCGAGUGAGAACACCCUUCCAUAGCUGUUGAAGUUCCUCCACAAGAGGCUCCAUGAACAAAUCAAAAUCCUUUCCAGGACUUUUUGGACCUGGGAUGACCAAGGCCAUCAUGUAGUUUGAUUCUUUGGUGCAGACAUUUGGAGGCAUGUUGUAAGGGAUAACAAGCACUGGCCACAUGCUAUAUGUGGCGCUCUGGUGGCCAAAUGGGUUAAAUCCAUCUAAAGCUAAGCCAAGUCUAAUGUUUCUCGGGUCAGUAGCAAACUCUUUGUGUUUAUCAUUGAAGCUUUUCCACUCACUACCAUGAGAUGGAUGGCUCAUUACAUUCUAAUCUCUGUACUCCUGGUUCCUAGAAUGCCACAGUAAAUCCUAUCUUAUUUCAGCAUCAUGAAACAACCUCUGCAAUCUUGGUGUAAUUGGAAAAUGUCUCAGAACAUUAUGAGGAAUCCUCUUCACAGCAUCGCCAUCUUUCCAUCUUGAUGAUUUGCAUUUCGGGCAUUCACUUAAGUUGGCAUAAUCCUUUCGGAACAGAACACAAUUAUUCUUACAAACAUGGAUCAUAUCAUAUCCAAUUCCAACUGCACGAAGGAAAUUCUUCAUUUUACUGUAGGUGUGUGGCAGCUCAGACGCAUCUGGGAAAGAUUCGUAGAAAGCAGCCACCAUCGCAUCGAAUGAUUUGUUGGUCAUCCGCUCAGAUGUCUUCACCUUAAGAAAGGUGACCAUAGCUGAGAAUACUGACAACUUAUUUCCUGGGGUGACAGUAACGUUGCAUUGUUCCAACAUGCGGGCCCACCAUUUUUCUUCUGCAGGUGAAAGUUCACAGAAUGCACGAGCAUUUCAUAGCAUUGUUUCAAUGUUGGUCAAACUCACUGGCUCCGCCACCACCACCUCCUCCUCUUCUACCUAAGCAUCAGGCAAAUCAAGAUGGUGAUCUGCUGCUUCGACGUAGUCAAUAACAUUGACGUUCACAGCUUCACCAUGAUGAACCCACCUAGUAUAUGUGACCGACAUCCCAUACAAGCGUAGAUGAUUUUGCACAGUUGACUGGGGUCUUGUAACUGAAUUCAUACAACUGCUACACGGGCAGAGCACAUCUGAUUUCGGACCAUCGUACUCAGCUCUGAUAAAGUUCAUGAAGUUUUCAACCCCCUUGACAUAUGCAGCGGAGAAUCUUCGAGCAGAAGUUAUCCAAGUCAUGUCCAUCUGUUAGACAUACAAAUUAGUUCUUCUACUAGAUAUUACAGGAAAAACAUAUAUGAUUUUUUAUGAAGUCCAGAAAAAAAUACCUAGGUCGAUGUCUAAAGCUAUGGCAAGAUAUUUGGACGAGUAGAUCUAAGUAACGAAAUAUAUGUAAAGCUAAUUCAGCAAACAGAUUUGAGUGCCAAAUUAUGGCACGCUGUUUCAGCAGUCAAUGAGGCCGAGCACACAGCCAUCGAACUAUCGAAGGCCAUCGUAGCAACAAAGAUCGAGUAUAAAAUGGUGUAGAGCUAUUUCAGCUAACAGAUUGGCUACUAGACCAUGGCAAUCUACGUCACAAUAAAUAUAUGGCGGGAUAUUUUAGCAACUAAUCGGCCUUGGCAUGCCAUCUUAGCUAAGCAGAUUGAGUGCAGAACAGGGCAAAGAAGCUUUUUAAGCAGAGCAUAUUGACAGUAAACUACUUCGGCAAACAGUGAGAUUAAUAGCGUCUAUCAGCUAACAUUCAGCGCUACACCGACAUGAACGGGGCCUCAGCCUAGAAUGCGCGUACCGUGGGAGAAGCUGACCGCCGUGCGUCUCCACACGAACGUCACCAGCGGUGGCGGCGCUGACCGCCGUGCGCCUCCACAAGAACAUAGCCAGAGGUGGCGGCGCGGCUAGAGGACGGUAGUCUACGAGAGCGUACUGUGGGAGCGAGAGGAUCGCCGAACCGCGGCGCUGACGUAUCGGCGCGGCGGGGAGGGUGGCUUUGGCAGAGCNNNNNNNNNNNNNNNNNNNNNNNNNNNNNNNNNNNNNNNNNNNNNNNNNNNNNNNNNNNNNNNNNNNNNNNNNNNNNNNNNNNNNNNNNNNNNNNNNNNNNNNNNNNNNNNNNNNNNNNNNNNNNNNNNNNNNNNNNNNNNNNNNNNNNNNNNNNNNNNNNNNNNNNNNNNNNNNNNNNNNNNNNNNNNNNNNNNNNNNNNNNNNNNNNNNNNNNNNNNNNNNNNNNNNNNNNNNNNNNNNNNNNNNNNNNNNNNNNNNNNNNNNNNNNNNNNNNNNNNNNNNNNNNNNNNNNNNNNNNNNNNNNNNNNUCUCCAAGUGCAGUCCCAUGUGUCAGUGAAAAGGCAAGCCGAAGCGCAUUCCGUUUGCGUGAGCCGUGUGCAGGACCGAACAUGUGCGGGGUGCAAUGCGACCGCGACAGGAGUAAUGUGAGUGUAUCGCAUUUUUUCCUUUUAAACUAGGUGCUUCGCCCCCUCAAAAAAAAUCUGUUGCUUCGCGCGAUCCAUCGAUACUACUACUAGUAAUCUGGUAAUCCCGACUAAAACGGCGUGGCCAGGUCUUUUCCCGCGUGAUAUGCUGGGAGGUUGGCUUAGUUGGGUUUUUUAGGACGAGUAAUGCUACACCUAUGUAAUCCCAGUUACAUAAUUAACGUAAUGUGAAACGUGUGAGCUGUUGAUUGUAGAUUGGGGGGAGGGAGGGGCCCACCACCAUGAAAAUCAGGGGAGGAGAGAGAGAGAGGCAAUUUACGUUAACCCUUUCGUAGGUUCCCGUAGAUGUAGAAAGAUGUGUCCGAUCUUGCAAUAUAGGCCGUCCAAUCUAUAUCUAACGGAUAGGAAGGAAACUAUGACAAUUUACCCGCACUCCUCUCCACAUUUGCAGAUAAGGCUUUCCCUCGUUCAUCCUUUUCUCCCACAAGAUCUUGAUCUUCCAUGCAACGCACGGGCAUCUUGCUAGUACUCCUACAAUAUGUAUAUUAUUGUGAAAGUUCAUAUACACCGGUCGAGAUUAAUGCAAACACGGCAGAUUUUCAUUACAUUUCAAACUUUUAUAGGACAAAAAAAUAAAAGAAACCCGACCCUAAACCUAUUCUAUGGCAGCGACCGACGUCCUCCAUCUGUGAUCUCCAUGUACGGGGGCGGGGUUCAAGACCCGUGAAGUGAAGGUGCGGUCUCCGGCGAGGAAAAGUAGAACACGGGAGACGGACCGGCCAGUUGGCACACCAUGCCCUACUCAUCCUCGGAGGAGUCCCCGACCUCGGCGGUGCCGGACGUUGGACGGCGGCAAGUAGGACGCGUGGUUGACGGUGCUCCCAUCAUCGGCCGCCAGCGUGGCCACCGCUUGUGCGGCGACUUGAGCGAGGGCGGCGACCUCGAGCUCCAUCCCUGAAGACAAGCUCUCCCGCAUAGCGUUCGCGCUGGCGGUCAUGGCGGAUGUGGUUCCAAGUAGGAGGACGAUGCGCUAUGGUGUGGAGGUUAGCUAGGCGUUGCCGCUUUAAGUAGCACAUUCCGGUGAGGCCAAGCGUCCGGGUGCGUCAUUAAGUCGCCGGAGUUGGUUCCGCGGGCACCGAGCCUCUUAAUGACGACAUAUGAACGGACGGCAUGAAUGCGGGCAGCUAGCGCCGGCUGGGAACGCACCGCGCGACGGCGUGAGGGACGAGGGUUUUGGUGUGCCAGGGUAGUCAGCUGCGGUCGUGGCAACGCUAGAGAUGCCCUAUGCUCACAUGCGAUCCCCGCAUGUCAUUGAAAAAGCAAGACGACCCGGCAUGGUCUCAGGUCCAGAGGAUGCAGUUGGCCGUGCUACACCACUCCGCGGAUGCGUCGCGGCUCCCCAUGCAUCCUCGAUGAGCCGGGUGUUGGGGUGUGUUUGGAUUGUGGCCAAAGUGCACCUUACCAAAAUUUUGGUCAUGACCAAAAGAUUGGUCUUUGUUUGGAUGGUUGCCAUUUUUUUGGCAUGCCAAUGAACUCUAGCCAACUCUAGUUCAUUUUUCUUGCCAAUGUCGGCCAAAUCAUGGGCAACCAAUACCUCAACCAAAAUUUUGGUCAUGACCCAAAGAUUGGUCUUUGUUUGGAUGGUUGCCAUUUCUUUGGCUUGCCAAUGAACUCUAGCCAACUCAAGUUCAUUUUUCUUGCCAAUGUCGGCCAAAUCAUGGGCAGCCAAUACCUCAACCAAAAUUUUGGCUACCCAAUGCUUUGAUGGGGCAAUCUUGGGCACAAACCAAACAUACCGUUGGUCGUGCCACAACACUAACGCCACCCUCGGCAAACUGAAACCGACCGUGUCUAGCGACGAUAUGAGCGUGUCGCUCACUGCGGUCGCCGUGUCCAGAGGCGGUGCUGGAGCUGCGCCCCAUUGUUGGCCCCAACGACCCACAUGAACGGUUGUCGGUGGCGAGGAGGUCGUGGGCCAACUCCUCCAUUGGACUAGUCUGCACUACGUCGUCCUGACGGGUGUGCCCCACAUGUCUGUUUCCCUGUUUUCCCGGCCAUAUUCGAGCGUCAGUGCUCUGCGUUGCGCAUUAGGCCUUUCACUAUGUAGGCCAAGCGAGACAACGUAUUGUUUAUUUGAGCCGUUCAAGUAUAAUCAUGUGGCGUUUGCUUAUUUCUCAUUCCUCUCCAACCCUCUUCUCCAUCGAUCAUGUCGCCCUCCAGUCGAGUCCAUCCUCCCGCAUGCCUCAUUUGAACAUUCCGCCGAGUAUCAUUCGCAUGUACCCACCCUAGUCCUCUUUCAAUAGAUCUUCGAACCCCGAGAUGAAAUCGAGAGGGAACGAGUGGGGGCACGUGAUACCUAAGGCGGAUUCAAAAUUUUGAACCGGUGAUCAUAGCAUCCGCAAAUCAUAUAUAAAGGGUAUUCAAUGUUCGUUUCGUUUUUGAACGUGCAAUAUACUCCCUCCUAUCCUUUCUAGUUUACAUAUAAGUUUUAUGUGUAGUCAAAGUAUAUCUACUUUGAUCAAAAAGGUAUCAACAUUCAACAACGCCCAAUCAAUAUUGUUAGAUUCGUACGUACUCCUAUAUUUGUACUCGAGAUGGUUUCCAAUUUGACUAAUGACAAGAUUAAUAGUACAUGAGAUGUAUAAUGUGAAAAUUAUAUCACUAGAAACUCCUUUCACAUACGAAUUUGACCGUAUGCUUUGUGUAAGUUGCAUGUCAUAUAUUAUUACUCUAACAUUUGGUCAAAGUUAGCCUCGAAAAACGCAUUAGACCCUAUAUGCUUUGUGUAAGUUGCAUGUCGUAUAUUAUUACUCUAACAUUUGUGUAAGUUGCAUGUCAUAUAUUAUUACUCUAACAUUUCGUCAAAGUAGUAUAGUGGAAGUGGAUUCUCUGACGUAGGUAUCCCUGCCUUACCCUCCCUUUCGGUCACUUACUGGCGGACCCCAUGGUUGCUAGGCCCCGCAUGUCAGUUACUCAAUGAGUUCGGCCACGUCAGGGGAUCCUCAUCCGUAGUAUACUCCCUCUAUUUUUAUUUACUCCACAUAAAACGGAGGGAGUGGUGGUAUAAUAAAUGACGCAGGCGGGGGAGGGGGAGGGACGUCGGUUUGCUCUCAACUGCGGUCCCACAAGCGAGCGAAAACGCAAGACGAAGCGCGUUCCAUUCGGUGAGCGACGUGGAAGGUCCAGCAUGCCGGGCUGCAACGCGAACGUGACAAGAGUGAUGUACAGUCAAAACCGAUUGACCGGUCAUCACCGGAACCACUAUUCACACCAGAACCUUCGCUGCUCGGCCUACGCCAGCCACUGCCCUAAAACCACACCAAAUCUCUAGCCCAAUCCCCCACCUUUCGAUCCCCUAGCCCACAUCAAGCGUCCCCUAGUUCGUCGGAAAGCCAUGGUGCGCUGCAAGAUCACUUACUACAAGAUGCUGACGCUGGAGCGCCGCGCAGAAAUCACGGCGGUCGGCACCACAGACCUCCGUUCCCAAGCUCGCUUUGCGGCGGGCCAAUCCCCGAGUUCUAUGGAGCCAAGCUACGAGGAGGAGGAAGCCGAUCCAAUGUUCAUGGCGGAGGUCGCGGCGCAGAAGGCCCCCGAUGGGUAUGAGACGAUGGACGUCGACUUCGUGCUGGCGUCCGAGUCCCCCAUGGUGCAGGCGGACCAGUGGUUCAACAUGGCGAUACUAAAGGAGGACCGGGAGGCAGAGGCUCAACUCGAUGCAGAGCGCGCGCAUGCUGCUGCCAUCGAGGCUCUCCUGCAGGCGGAACCGGAUGUCGUGGAUGUGAACCGAGCGGCGGAGGCUCAACUUGAGGCGGAGCGCGCGGAUGCCGCUGCCAUCGAGGCCCUCCUGCAGGCAGAACCGGACAUCCUGGACUUGAACUGGGUGGCAGAGGCUCGACUCGACGCAGAGCGCGCGGAUGCCGCUCUCAUCGACGCCCCCCUGCAGGCGGAACCGGACGUCCUGGACAUGAACCGGGCGGCGGAGGCUCGACUCGACGCGGAGCGCGUGGAUGCCGCUGCCAUCGAGGCCCUCCUGCAGGCGGAAUCGGACGUCCUCGACUUGAACCGGGCUGUGCUCUCGUCCGUGCAGAGCACCCGCAUGCUCUGCUUGAAUGAGUAGCUGGAGGCCGAGGACAACCACGGUGCGGAGACACACGUCGGCAGUGAUGGCUGGUUCGCGCUAGCAGCCAAAGACGACGAGGUCGUCUCUUUUCGUGAGCAGUGAUAGUUUUUCUUUAUGUUGUUGUUUUUAUGGAUCUUUUGUUGUGUAAAAACAUAUAUUUGUUAUGCAAGUCGCCUGACUUGGGUCAGUCUACCAUUUCAGGCGGUUGGAUGAAUAUCCUACGUCUCCUAACCCUUCUUUCCUUCUUACUCACCUCUUCUUCUUCCCCAACAGACCACCGCACGGGCCGUACGGAUACUCCCCAACAUGCGGUUGGAUAAACAUACUCUAUGAAACGAAAAUUAUGUGUCAGCGAUAGGAUGGCUGAGUUUGGUGUGUUCACAUGCGACAGCAUGUGUCAGUGAGGGUGCGUUCCCUUGGUUGGGUUUGCGGCAUGCAUGAGCGACUGUGUGAGGGUGCGGUGCGACCGUGGCGUGCAUGAGCGACCGUGUGAGGCUGCGGUGCGACCGCGAUAGCCAUGCGCAAGUGGACCUCCUUCUCAUUUUGAAAACUUUAGGCAAGCUUGGCAAAAAUGUGUGGCGAAGUUUGGCAAUGCAAGGCCUAGACCCAAACAGGAUAAGUACGUACGUACUAGGAGUACUAGUGUUAAAAAAGAAAGACUGAGUUUUCCUUCGCGGGAUUUAAUCAAUACAAAUCCUCGUUUCAUGUGUCAAUUAAUGCAUAUUUUUUUCUCCAAAGACCAAAGAGCUAACCAUCUCACUCCUCAUCGCUUGAUUAAUGCAGCGCCAUGCAAACCAACCUUCUCACUUCCGCAUGCAUGCAGGGGAUAUUAAUGCCCUUGGUUGCUAACCCCAUCAAUUUUGCCUCGAUUAGUGUUAGUGGCCCGUUGCAAAUUGUAAUUUUGAUAUACUGGCCUUGUGUAUGAAAAAAUGGAGGUAGUAACUAUAUUUGACUUCCUUCCCCAUUGCGGUGACGUCAAUGAUAUUUUUUUGGUGGUUUGGUGAAGUGCGUUCGACGGAGAACACCAUUGAGGGAGACCACGGUAAGUCGCUCGCAAGUGCCGCCUGCAAGCCAAGACAACCGCCUUAUUUGCAUCCAGGAAGUCCUUUACUAGUACUACUUGGAGUAACUAAUGCGGUGAGAUGGCUUCUCGAAGAAGACGAUGGAGAAGCGGAGUCACCGAAGAGUGAAAUGAUGGUUGCUUCGUCCGUGCUUUUGUGAUUUGACGCCUCACUACUUUGUGAUUUGUGAUAGAAGGGACAGGGGAGUAGACACUAUGCUCUAUACUGUACUACAUGCGUCCAAGCAUGGGAGAAAGAGGAGAGACAUUGCAAUUUUCUAUUCCUUCAAUCAAUCAAUUAAUCAAUCAGAGAGCUUCGGUUCCAUCUUUUUGGCUUUGGCAACACCGUCCACAAUGGUUCCCACGAUGCCAAAAGCUAUUUUCACAUUUGGCUACACAUUGUGGAUGCCCUUAACCGUACCACUUGGUUUUGCUCCUGUGUGCUAUCUAUACAAAUCUCAAUUAUAUUGAUCUAAAAAAUUAUAGAAUCGAGAUUAGUAAAAAGGAGGUGAUUUUGCCGCGCGGAUGGCGGGGGAGGUUUCUUAUUUGAGCAAUGCUACAUCCAUGUAAUGGUUUACGGAAAGUUACGAACUGAUGUGAUGUGGGACUAUUUGAUUGGAUUAAAGGAGAGGAUUAGGCCCACCCCACCUGAAAAUCAGGGGGCAUAUAUAGAUUAGAUGGGAAGUAUACGUAGCAGCUACGUAGCCCUUUGUAAGUCUAGGAUUAGGCUUCUUAUUUUCGGAGGACGUUGUCCUGGUGGUUUGCUAACAUGCGGUCCCACGUGUCAAUGCUUUACCAAGCCGAUCCGCGUCCCACAUGAGGCAGAACAACGGCAGAAGCAACAUGUGGUUAAGUUGAAGAAGAUGAGGGAGAAGCGGACUCAGCAACGAGUGAAAUGAUGGUUGCUUUGUCCCUCCAACUUAACUAUGGGAAAGGUGCAACUUUGUGAUUUGACGCCUCAUUGCUCAUUACUACGCCGACGCCAUGACUGGGGUGCUUCACCCCGGCUGCUCUGCACUGUAUUCCGGUAUGGCACGUGGACCUGGUAGCUUGAUGUCCCACAUGUCGGCGAAAGGGAUUAGAAGAUUUAUGAAAGCGAGCGCUCCACUCUUACGACGGAGGAGUAGACGACACGACGACCCAGUGAACUGUCACUUGUACUGUAUAGUACUAUAGUUUUGCUGUUUCGCACGAUCCAUCGAUACAAACCCGAUUAAAUAGGAAAGGGCGGGAUUUUUCCCGCGGGGUAGAUGAUACUGGCCAUACAUUUCAAAGGCAAUUUUAAUGUAUGCAAACUGAAUAAUUAUAAGUAACAAUAUGAUAUCUAGUAAAACUAAAAACACAUAUGAUUUAUUGUGUUAGAGUGUAGUAGUAGUGUUGUAUUGCAUAGUUGUUAGAUGUAACAUGCGAGAACGUGUAGAGAUGUAGUUUUGGAGGGCCUACAGAGAGAAAAGCGUAAUACGGUCACCGAACUUCAGAAUAAGCUGAUUACGGUCACUAUAUACGUUUGCGGUGAUUAUACGGUCACUUGCUCAUAGCUCAGCAUCGGAUUGCACUCUGUUGACCGGCCAAAUAGUCUGCGUGGCACCAUGUUGACUAGUUAAAUUGACCACGUUCGUUGUGGGUCCCACCUGUUAGUUCGCAUAGGUAAAAGGUCAGAUAAACACAAAUUUACGCAGGCGCGACAAGGCUCCAACCCGUGCGCGGGAAUCACCUGGUUGUGUAUGUGUCUGUCAGGGCCUGAUGUGUGCGCAUGCACGUGUAGGUUGAGCACUUGAGCGUGAGAGUGUGUGUUGGUCGUGUGGUGUACUGGUGUGUGCAUGCAUGCGUGUGUGUGUGUGUGUGUGAGUGUUGCGUGCGUGCGUGGCUGCGUGUGUACGUGUGAGUGUUGCGUGCGUGCGUGGGUGCAUGUGUUUGUGUGAGUGUUGCAUGGAUGCAGUUCGUGUGCAUGCAUGCGUGUGUGUAUAAUCACCACACCAGCUCCUGUGUGUUAAAACAGACGACUCAGCAUACCAAUACAAGGCCACCUUGUCCGCUGUGCUCGCGGUCAUGACUUCGAACCACCAUCCAAAUAUUUUUUUGUAGUUUGUUUUCAUUCUUACUAGCAAGAUGCCCGUGCGUUGCAUGUAACAUCAAGAUGCAUUUGUAUGACUUGUUUAUCUUGUGAGAGAAAAGGAUGAACGAGGGAAGACCUUAUUUGCAAAUGUGCAGAGGUGUGUGGGUACCUUUUUGCAAAAUUGCCAUAGUUUCUUUCCAAUCCAUCAGAUAUAAAUCGGACGGCCUAUAUUGCAGGAUGGCAGGCACACCAUCAUCACCAACUCUAUUUUUUUAUAAGAGUGUAUUUUAUAAGAGUGUAGAUGUAGAGUAGAUACAAGUCGAUAGGUGGGCACGAUGGUAGUGAGAUAAUGUGAUGCAACACUAGAGGUGCCACGUGGAGCGUUUAACUGGUCAGCUAGUCAUGUCAUGAGCAAAUACAGAGUUGUACGGCGAGCCCGUGACUGCAUAAUAACCACUAAAAGUAAAUGGUGACCGUAAUGAGUGGAUUCUGAAGUCCAAUGUAUGUAUCGUGCUUUUGCUUCAAAUACAAUGAUCGUCAUUGCAUAUAUCGCGAGAGAAAGAUGAAACGUGCAUGAAUUUUCUAGGGGCUUACUUUUAGAGGACCUGGAGAUAGUUUUGUGUGCAUACGUGAAAGGGNNNNNNNNNNNNNNNNNNNNNNNNNNNNNNNNNNNNNNNNNNNNNNNNNNNNNNNNNNNNNNNNNNNNNNNNNNNNNNNNNNNNNNNNNNNNNNNNNNNNNNNNNNNNNNNNNNNNNNNNNNNNNNNNNNNNNNNNNNNNNNNNNNNNNNNNNNNNNNNNNNNNNNNNNAAACAGUGACCGUAAUGAGUGGAUUAUGAAGUCCAAUGUAUGUAUCGUGCUUUCGCUUCAAAUACAAUGAUCGUCAUUGCAUAUAUCACGAGAGAAAUAUGAAACACACGUGAAUUUUCUAGGGGCUUACUUUUAGAGGACCUGGAGAUAGUUUUGUGUGCAUACGUGAAAGGGGCGUACAGGGGGGGGGGGUAUGCGAUGGAGAGAGAGAGAUGCUCUUCGUUUCUCUUUAUUAUGACUAACUUUGUAUAUAGUAUAAAAAUAUACAAAUUCAUAGUGCGGAAUAAAUAUCAUUGUGGGCACCAUGCAAUGCAAAUUAGCGUUCGUACUCCUCCAUAUAACUUUGUAAUGUUGUAUAUAUGUAGAAACUCUAAAAUAAUUUUUUGGCCACACUUUAUUCAAAAGGAAUGUUGUAUGCGAAAUANNNNNNNNNNNNNNNNNNNNNNNNNNNNNNNNNNNNNNNNNNNNNNNNNNNNNNNNNNNNNNNNNNNNNNNNNNNNNNNNNNNNNNNNNNNNNNNNNNNNNNNNNNNNNNNNNNNNNNNNNNNNNNNNNNNNNNNNNNNNNNNNNNNNGGGGGGCGUGGGAGAGAUAGCACGAGAAAUGAGAGUGGUCUAGAGAGAGAGAGACGAAUAUGACGUCACGACAAGAGAUUCCAUUCCCUUGAGUGUGUAUAUGCAAGGGGGAGGGAAUAGAGGCACCAGGAGAAAUUUUCUGUGUGUGUGGUGUUUGUGUUGGUAUGUGUGGGUGUGAGAAGAUAAUGAGACGUGGGGGCAGAGGGUGUGUCACCGUGUGAGGUCCGGUGGGUCGAGGUGAGGCCCUUCGUUCUGUUCCGUCCUGCGCCACAUUGGUCGGCCUAUGACGCAUUUAGGAAGACCCAUGGAUGACUAGUCGUACAAGACAAAGAUAGCAGAAUUGUGAAGGACUCUGUGUCCACUGACAAAGCCGGCUAGGAUUUGUAACCCUAGGUUCUCGGACUAAGGUAACCCCUUUAUCUCUGAUAUUACUAUUCAUCCAGCCUAACUUUAAGGGGCAUCCUAUAGAAUGCUCUGCUAGAAUCAUACUCGUCGAUUAGGAAGAGAGGUGUGAGACAAUGCAUGAGAGACAGGCGUAAAGAUAAUGUGCGUACAUGAGACACGUAGGCAGGUCCAUAUAUAUAGAAAGGGUCGAUGAGGAUUGUGCGUGUGUACGUUUGCGAGAGGAAGAGUGCUUGUGAUAAAGGUUAGUGAAAAAAGUUGUAAAUGGUUACGAGAGGGAGGGAGGGUUAUAUCUAGAGCAUGUGUGCGAGAAAGACACCUCGGGAGAGAGUGUGUGAGCAUGUGUGAGAGACCACCGAUGGAGAUUGAAACUACACGUGAAAGACUGCUCUACACAUUGAUUAAAGAUAUAAAUUAUAUCCAAAUAUUAGGAUGGGAUCAUGAUAUUUGCAAUUCGCGUAAGGAGCGGUCAUUGAUCCAUCAUACAUCUAGAUUCUAUCGAAUUUGAGCAUGUCUAUGUUAUUAUUCGACACAGUUGAUCCACAUAGUUAGUAUUUUGAACUCUAGACAAUGCAUCGCUUUAGCAAUCGAAUAUAAACGUGAGUAUAGUUCAUGUUGUGUGUGUAAAGCACAUUAUACAUACGAAAGUUACACAAUGGACAAACAUUAUAAAUAGCUACUACCUAUGAACUAGCAUACAUUUGAAUUCAACUUAAGCUGGUUUAAAAAAAUCGAAUUCAAUAUGAAGUCCAUUCAAUUAUUUGAAUUUGAUAUCAUGGCAUUUGUAAACCAUACCUGAAUUAUGGGGGCACCAAUCUUUGCUCUGAUUUUGUACAUAAUAGCAUAUGUAGUCGUGUACAAAAUAGAUUCAAAUUUAGCUCCUCCAUUCCAAAUUAAUCGUAGUUAUAGGAUUUUCAAGUAUCAAAAUUUCAAAAAGAAGCGGAUAAUUUAAUGAGGUUUUCAAACAUACAAGGUCAAAUAUAACGUUGUAUAUUUAGGUCAAUCUUCAUAGUUCAAGAGUACUCUAAAUGUGAAUGCUUGUGUUUCAAAAUUUCGAACGAAGCGCCAAAAGAGCCUCUACUCGCCCAAAACCGCGUGAGACCAAUGUUUGGUAGUACAAGGAAAUUACUUUUCUAAUAACUCCGACCCGUGAAACCUACCGGCCCGACGUCCAAAGGUCUAAACCGGGGUAGGUUUGUAGCUUCAUCUAGACGCCACGCAACCGCAUCCGAAAAACAUUCAUACACAAUGGCCGCCUAAGCACACAUGCGCGCUACCGAAAUCGCUCCCGCCCACUAUUUGGGACACCUAGGAUUACCAUCCUACCCCCGACCCGCAGUAGGUCCGAAAUUUAAGAGGGGGGCAAAGUUUGUACUUUCCCCAAAUUUCAAAUAAGCGCGUCCCAUCUUCUGUUCAAAAAAGCUAAAAACAAGCGCGUCCCAGACCGAAACAUGGUUCCCCCCACCCAUCCGAUUCCCCAUUCAUACUCCGUGGGUGCCAAAACUACCUCUCCACUAGCCGCGAAACCCCGACGUCCUCCAUCUGCCACCCCAUCCCACCCAUCAACCGCCGCCCUCCUCCAUCACGCUGGAGCCGAUACCCCGACGUCAUCGUCCACCGCAACCUCAACCGCAACACCCUCCACAACUAGUAGUUGAAGCCGAGGCUGAGCUGUCCGUACCCGAGCCAGUUCAACCACGCCAUCAUGCACCUCACCGUUGCCGCUCCAACUUCGCCACCCUCCACCGCACCGGAGCUGUUCCUGCUACGCCGUCCUUCGCCACCUCAGAUCUGCUUCCCCUCCGCCGACAUACGGCCACAACAACACAGUCAACAAUUUUUCCAUGGGUUCGUCCAAGCCUACACCCUCCAGAACAUCGGUUUCCCCGGUAAAAAGAAGAAAAUCGGCGCGACUUGUGGAGGUGACCACACCGGCAACCGAAAAAGGUACUCCUCUUCCCUUAUUCAUACAAAUCUUACGUCUCUGCUUGCACGGUAUUCAUCCCACAGAAGACACUAGUUGACCGCUUCUUCUUGAUACUAGAUGUUCCUAAUAACUCGUGAUGCACAAGGUUUCUCCUCAUAUACUAUUUCACCUUAGCUAGAGGUCCGUCGCCCCCCUGAAUUUCAAUUUCUGGCCACUUGAUUCCCAAUUAACGGAAGCAUUCCCCGGCAUAACAGGCGCUAGUACGCCUAUUACGCCGGGGAAGCAGUGCCUUGGUGUUUAUCUUAGGGGCGUGUGUGGCCUAUAGCUACUGGCGCCUGAUCUGGAGGUCGGCCGGGAUUAAAGGCAUGGCCUGGGGGCGCUGCCAAGAACGGCAGUGGUGUGAGGUCGAUGGGAGGGCGGGGCGGCGGAGGCAGGGGUCUGGGCCGGUGGUCACUGGCGGUUCGAGAAAGAUCAUCAAUAGUGACUGGCGGGAGGUAGACGAAGGCCAUCUGCCCGUUCCUUAUAGAUCGGACGGUUCAUUAAAAAAUUGACUGACCUAUUUAUUUUCAGUCGACUGUUAUCUUAGAUAUGACCACAUGUGGUGGUCUGCUGGAGGAGUACCUGCAUUUCCUGUGCUCGUAUAUUACAAAAUCAUACAGAGUAGAAUCUAAUUUUGUUUGCCAUGCAAUGUUGUAGAGCUAUCAUAUGUCUCCUAUCAUUUAUUUUUCAGCCACCUGCUAUCUGCUACUUUUACAGUGCACUAGUUCCGCACACACUUCACCCUUACUCUCACUGUUGUGUUUUUAUGCAAGGGUAUUUCAGCCUCUGCUGCCAUGAGAGAAUCCAAAAAGAAAAGAGAAAAGUCGCUCCAGUUUGGUGUGCGGCUAGGCAAGACAUGUUUCAACACUUUAAAGGGUGUAGUGUCAGCAGAUGGAGACGGGGAACGUAGCUCUGGAGUUGAUGACCUCACUCGCAAUGAACCACCAUCCCAGGUGCUUGCUUUAACUUCGUGGUGUCAUAUGUGGUUGCAUGUUCCAUAUGGUGUCUAGCUUGUAUUCGAAAGGCCGAAGUUGGUAAGAUAAGGAAAUAUUUUUUUUACAUGAACCACCAUCCCGUGAGCACCAGAAGACAAAUAGCUAGUUAGGGCACUGGCCGAGCCAGUGACAAGCCUAGCAAAGAUAGACAUCACCUGGAAGCCAACUAAAAAGCUGCGAUGGUGGCGAAGCAGCCCGCCUCCCACCAGGUUCUCAGGUCCUAAAUGAUCAUGCUCACCACUCCAGCCGGAUGUCUAGCUUGUAUUGCUUCCAAUUUGGUUAAAUUGCAUCUUCUUAGCUUACACAUUAUACCUUUGAAUAUGACAUGCCUUUCUGUUUUUGGUACAUACUAGUACAUCUGUGUAUUAACCAUGUUCUUACAUCAAACUAAUGUUCUUGUUUAUCCCUCAUCAAUCACUUAUGACGAGGCAGGCAGGCAAGGGGACUACUCCUCAUUUAAAGAAUGCAGCGUCAGCCUCCCGACAUGAUUCUCAAGAAACAGAAAUGCUAGAUGAAGAUAGUGAACGUAGCUCUGUAGUUGAUUACAGCAUUUCCCCUACACUAGCAUCGCAGGUGCUUGCUCUAACUUGGCAGCGUGAUAUGUGGUUGCAAGUUGCAUAUGGUGUCUAGAUUGUAAUUCUUCCAAUCUGGUUAAACCGCAUGUGCUAGUCUGCUUAGCUUAUACAUUAUACCUGUUAAUGUGACAUGCCUUCCUGUAUUUAGUACAUAGUACAUUUGUCUAUUAAGCAUGUCCUUACAUAAAACUAUUGUUUUUUUAUCCCGCAUCAAUCAACAUGACGAGACACCUUUAGUAUAUGCAGUGCAAUAUUAGUUGCAUAUUUCAUAUGAUUUAUAGCAUGCGCUGCUUCUAAUUUGUUGAAAUUCCAUUUAUGAUGGGACGCUUUUAACUUGGCAGAGUCAUAUUGGUUGCAUCUUUCAUGUGGUGUCUAGCUUGCAUUGCUUCUUAUUUGCUGGAAUGGUUUCUGCUUAGUUUACACAAACAGUUGUGAACAUGCCAUGCCGUCCUGUUUUUCGUACAUAUUCCAUCCUGGUAUCAUGUGUUUGCCUUACAUCAAAUUAGUGAUUGUCAGUAUCAUGCAUGAAUGAGUUCUGAAGAGAGAAUUUUAUUGCUUUUUCUUGUCGGUUUUACUUGACAAUUCAAAAUCAAUAAAGCGGAAGGAAGUUAGCAAGGCAGCGGAUAAAGGUGCUCCUUCCGAAUGGAGGGCCUCUACAGUUUCUACUCCUCCACACCCCCAAGAUGAUUUCCAAGACAACACAUGCAUAGACACUCAACAAAGUUGUGUUUAUGAUGAGCACGUCUCCCCUAGUGCAGCAUCAUCGGUGCUCCCUCUAACUUGGCACUGUUAUAUGUGGUUGCAUGUUAUGUGUGAUGUCUAGCUUGUAUUUCUUCUAAUUUUGUUGAAUUCCAUCUGCUUACUUUACACAUUAUACUUGAAUAAGACACGUGUUCCUGUUUCUAGAACAUACAAUAUUUGUUUAUCACACCAUGUUCUUACAUCAAAUUACUACUGUUGUGUAACCUGCAACAAUCACUUAUCAUAAGACAUGUUUGACUUUGGAGUGUGAUAUAGGUUACAUCUCACAUUCUUUUCUAGCUUGUAUUACUAAUUUGUUGAAAUGGCACUUAUGACGAGACAGUUUUAACUUGGUAGAGUGAUAUUCGUUGCAUAUUUCAUAUGGUGUCUAGCUUUCAUUGCUUCUAAUUUAUUGAAAUGCCUUCUCCUUAGUUUACACAUCAUAAGCUGUGAAUAUGCAAUGCUGUGAAUAUGUAAUGGCACUAAUGACGAGAGACCUCUAACAUGGUAGUGUGAUGUUGUUUGCAUCUUGCAUAUGAUUUAUUUCUUGUACUGCUUCACAUUUGUUUAAACGCCAUUUAUGAUGAGACACUGUUAACUUGGCAAAGCGAUAUUUGUAGCAUCUUUCAUAUGGUGUUUGCCUUCCAUUGCAUUGCUUCUAAUUUGGUGAAAUGUCUUCUUCUUAGUUUACACAUCAUAGUUCUUGUUAUCUCUUCUGUCCUAUUUUUCAUACAUAUUACAUCCUCCUAUCAUGUGGUUGUCUAACAUCAAAGUUCAGUUCAUCUGCAUCACACAUCAAUUUGUUCUGAAGAACUAAAUUGUUAUUCGUUUUUCUUAUCGGCUUGACUUAACAUGGCACAGAGAAAGAGGAAGAAACACAAAAUGGCAGGGAAUGAGAAGCGGAUGAAUCCUGCAGAUUCUGCUGGUACUGAUGGUGCAAUAGAAGGUUAAAGUCUAGUAGAAAAUUCUACAAACACGACAUCCCAUGCUACACGAGUUGCAAAAAAAGACAAACAGAAACAAAUAGCUGCCACCAAACAAGCAGAGACAACCCUAGUUCUUGCAACACCUACCACAGUACUACCAGCUGCACGACGUACUCAUGCGUCAACUGAGCUAGCAGCACGUUCCCAAGCUCCCUUACCACCUGACACUACUUCCCAAGCACACUUGACACAAGACAAGUUGGCAAUAUCAAAUGAACCUUGUGAGCUUCAACAACAAGAAGGUAGUUGCUGGAGUCAAGUUACAGUUGCAUGCUUCUUUAUAUGUAGUCUCACAGUUUGAUGUACACUAACACUUCCUAUGUUUGUUGUUGGACUAGCACCUAGGCGCAAGAGCAAACAAACAUCAGGGAUAAUGCUCGAUAGGUUAACUAAAUCUAGAGGAGGAAGAAUGGAGAUCCGUUUUGAGGCAGGUUUAAAAAGGCCACGUGAUGCUACAGAGUCAGCCAAGUUAGUAUCAGAGGCAGCAGUUGCCGUUAGGUGUCAUGUACGUAUCCUCCUAACAUGGAUUCAGUACAGGAAUGACAAAUACGAAACCCAGUUCAACAUCUUCCUCGACCAUUUAUCUGUAAGUAUGGUUAUGUAUGGAAACUAGUAAUAUCGUCUUGCUCUGUCCAAUACUUUCUAGGUUGCUGAUAAUGAGACUCCCAUAAUUUUCAACAUAUGAAGUUCAAGUUGGAUAGCCAAGAUGAUGCAACCAGACAAGCUUGCAUCCAUGUUUUCAAGUCUGCUCUGUGACAGUAUCGGUAUAACUUGAGGAAAACUCACUUUGAAGGCAAGGCUAACAGUGAACUUGCCCAAACAUCUCCAGUGGAAAAUAUAUCUGACGAAGACUGGAGAGGCCUCGUUAAGCACUGGUCUGAUUCGAAGUAUCAUGUACAUUAUAUAUAUGUCAUCAGAUCACAUGUUGAAGUCCUAUUUACGCAUGUGCCACACAAAUCUAUCUUCUUGUAGGUGAACUGUUCAAAGAACAAGGCCAACCGUACGCAAGUGAAAUUCCAAUAGACGACAGGAUCUCGUAGCUAUAUUGCACACUGCGAGGCUCUUGUAAUUAGCUGCUGUUUCACUCUUUUCGCAGUACCAUAUUAUCAGAUCUAUAUUGACUUGUUCCAAAUGCAGAGGAAAGCCCGCAAGGACCAAAAAGUACCUGAACCAAAUGCUAUGGAAAUCUUCAAGGACUGUCACACCAACAAGAAGAAGGGCAUGACUACACUAGUCAAAGCCGUUGUUGUAAGUCCUUAAUCCUCAUGCGUUUUAACUACUACUUACUCUGACUUGUGCCUUGAACUGCAUGGUUUGCAGCCAAUGUCUAUUACUCUUUUCAAUUUUAUACACAAUUGUCUUAGCGUAUCAUUGCACCUUACAAGGUUUAAAAGAGAGGAGUGAUGUUCCUUUGAUCUUGACCCGUAAUCUAGUUCCCUGCUGGACUUGCCCACACAACAUUACAAUUGCCUGUUUGUCUGUUCUCAGUUGUUUUGUGAUAUGAAUGACGUCAUACUAUGCUUACCGUAUUAUAAACUUCGUCUCUUUAUCCUUAGCCCUCAAUACAAUGUGAAUAAAUAACAAUACAUUAGCGAUGGUACAUGGUCAUAUGUUUGGAACCUGGUUUUAUUAUGUACUUUGCAAUAAAAUACAACUAAUAUUUUACAUGGGUUCACCAGAAUAAGUUUUCUAUAUAUACCAAAGCUAUUUUGUUUGGUUUUGCUGCCUCCUUAAUAUCUUCUGUUCUGGUACUACUAAUGUAAAACCUCAACUUUUCAGCGAGCUAUGGAAAAAAUGGUGGAACCGCCACCUUCUGAAGGUGGAGAGGCAACUAUAACCGCAAUGUCGGCUCUUGCUGCAGUGGGUCAGUACCUGUCCACUAACAAUGCCAAAAGCACGUUCCUGCGUAAUACUGGGUUGGUUGUUAAGGCAAUAUCGUCCAAACUGCCUCAUGAUCAAGAUAUGCAAGCUCAAAGCAAUGUUGUAUCUGCGCUCCAGACACAAGUCCAUACCCUAACAGAUACCCUUUGUGAAACAAGGAGAAACAUUGCUCAAUGUCGUCAAGAUAUGCAUGGUUUUGAAACCAGACUAUCAGACAUUUGCUAUGUUGUUCAGGAGCCUAGGGGAAAUGAAGGCGAGGGUUAUGGUGCUCCAUCGGAUAAUACAACAUGAAAAUGUAACAGUUAGGUCAAAUGAACUGAGCUUCUGAACUUCUGGUGGUGCAUUUAUCUGCUAGACUGUUAAGUUUUAUGCCAACCUUCCUUUUGUUAUAUAGUUGUAAUUUGUUUUGGUGCGAUACAAAAUUUAUUCUUAACAUGCAGCCACCGCCUGAAGAAAACAUCAAGCCAUUUUUGUAUAGUGUAGGGUGUUCCCUAUAUUUGCACUGGUGGCGAUCUUUGAUGCCGAGUGGAUGUAAUUUGUGCAAUCACCUUAAUAGCCCAGCGUUAGUUUCGGCCUUAUUUAUUUCCUAGUCUUCUUUUUCCCUGGUUUGCUAGUGGCUGCAACUACCAUGGGCCAUAUACGGGCCGUAGGAUCCAUGGGUCUCCUACGGGACGUCGAUAAAUGGGCCCGGGCCGUAGGAUAAAUGGGUCUACAUGGGCCAUAAUCGAGCGUAAUUGGUAUCGGCCCAACACGAUAACAGGCCAUUAACAGGCCGUAGGACAGCAAAGGCUUAAUUCUGUCACAGGCAUAAUGGGUCGUUAAUGGACCAGAAUGUAGGACGGUCUGGAAACGGCGCAACGGGUUAACAUGCCAGAAACGGGCCGACUCUUGCCAUGGGCCAAAUUUGGCCCAUUAGGGUAACAGGCCAGUAACGGGCCGACUCUUGCCAUGGGCCGAAUUUGGCCCAUUAGUGGAACAUGCCAGUAACGGGCCGACUCUUGCCAUGGGCUGAAUUUGGCCCAUUAGGGGAACAGGCCAGUAACGGGCCGGAAGUAAUCGAGGGCUGAAAAGGAGCCCAAGAACGUAUGGGCCGUCAAUAGGCCGAAAGCUAACACGGGCUAGAAACGGCCCAUGUAAAUCAUGGGCCGUUAAUGGGUAUAAAGAAAAUUACUGUUCAUUAUGGGCUAGAGUCAACGUGUGCCUGUAAUGGGCCGAAAGAUACGAAGGCCCCAUAUGGGCCGAAAGACGUCAUGGGCCAUACAUGGGCCGAAAGUGAAAUGGGCUGGUAUUAUAUUCGACGGCCCACAUGACGUUGUUGGGCCGAUUUCCUUUAGAGCCUAAUGGGCCGUGAGUUAACGUGUCGUAAAAUGGGAUAUUUGUGAAGAGACCAUUAACAGGCUUUUCAUGGGCCAGCCCGUUAACUUUUGACCAAGUCAAACGGGCCGGCUUUGUAAGCUAAAUGGGCCACUGUUGGGCUGUGCCACGUGUCAACAUAUCAUAAGCGUCUAUCUGACCCAGUAACGAGCUGGCACGUGUUUCGUCCGGCCAAUAAGAAUUUUACACGUGGAAAUUUCCCAUUGGUCGGGGCUGUUAACAGGUUAUCGGAUCCAAAACCCGACCCGAUAGCUUAACGGUGUUCCGUUAUGGUGGAUGCCACAUGUCGGUCACCCUUGACGAAAGCACUUCUGUGACGCGCGAUUUAUCGUCAUGGAAGUGGACACUUCCGUGAUGAUAAUUUUGGUAAUGUCAUGGAACACUUCUACGACAGCACAGGUAUGACUAUCUUGAUUCUGUCAUAAAUCUGUCAUGGAUGUACAUGCAUGACAAAAAACGCAACCUACUGUGACAAACACGUAUCAUCACAGAAGUGUAUUUUUUUGUAGUGACAUGAUCAUACCUAGAUAUUCUCAUAACUAUGCUCAAUUCUGUUAAUUGCUCAACAAUAAUUUGUUUACCCACCGUGAAUAGUUAUGCUCUUGAGAGAAUCCACUAGUGAAACCUAUGGCCCCCGGGUCUAUUUUCCAUCAUAUUAAUCUUCCAACACUUAGUUAUUUUUAUUGCCUUUUAUUUUACUAUGCAUAUUUAUCAUAAAAAACAAAAAAUAUUAUCUUAUCAUAUCUAUCAGAUCUCACUCUCGUAAGUGACCGUGUAGGGAUUGACAACCCCUUAUCGUGUUGGUUGCGAGGAUUUAUUUAUUUGCGUAGGUGCGAGGGACUCGUGCGUGGCCUCCUACUGGAUUGAUACCUUGGUUCUCAAAAACUAAGGGAAAUACUUACGCUACUUUGCUGCAUCACCCUUUCCUCUUCAAGGGAAAACCAACGCAGUGCUCAAGAGGUAGCAAGAAGGAUUUCUGGCGCCAUUGCCGGGGAGGUCUACGCAAAAGUCAACACACCAAGUACCCAUCACAAACCCUUAUCUCCCGCAUUACAUUAUUUGCCAUUUGCCUCUCGUUUUCCUCACCCCACUUCACCCUUGCCGUUUUAUUCGCCCUCUCUCUCCAUCCUCCCUCUCUUUCUCUAUUUGCCUCUUUUUGCCCGUGUAUUGUUUGCUCGUGUGUUGGAAUGCUUGCUUGUCACGAUGGCUCAAGAUAAUACUAAAUUGUGUGACUUUACCAAUACCAACAACAAUGAUUUCCUUAGCACUCUGAUUGCUCCUCUUACCGAUACUGAAUCUUGUGAAAUCAAUGCUGCUAUGUUGAAUCUUGUCAUGAAAGAUCAAUUCACCGGCCUUCCUAGUGAAGAUGCCGCUACCCAUCUAAAUAGCUUCGUUGAUUUGCGUGAUAUGCAAAAGAAGAAAGAUGUGGAUAAUGAUAUUAUUAAAUUGAAGCUAUUUCCUUUUUCGCUUAGAGAACAUGCUAAAGCUUGGUUUUCGUCUUUGCCUAAAAAUAAUAUUGAUUCUUGGAAUAAGUGCAAAGAUGCUUUUAUCUCUAAGUAUUUUCCUCCCGCUAAUAUUAUCUCUCUUAGAAACGAUAUUAUGAAUUUUAAGCAACUUGAUCAUGAAUAUGUUGCACAAGCUUGGGAGAGGAUGAAAUUAAUGAUACGUAAUUGCCCUACGCAUGGUUUGAAUUUGUGGAUGAUUAUACAAAAUUUUUAUGCCGGAUUGAAUUUUGCUUCUAGAAAUCUUUUAGAUUCGGCCACGAGAGGCACUUUUAUGGAAAUCACUUUAGGAGAAGCUAUUAAACUCCUAGAUAAUAUUAUGGUUAAUUAUUCUCAAUGGCACACUGAAAGAUCUACUAAUAAGAAAGUGCAUGCGAUAGAAGAAAUUAAUGUUUUGAGUGGAAAGAUGGAUGAAAUUAUGAAAUUAUUUGCUAAUAAAAGUGUUUCUUCUAAUCCUAAUGAUAUGACUCGUCUACUUUGAUUGAGAAUAAUAAUGAAUCUAUGGAUGUGAAUUUUGUUGGUAGGAAUAAUUUUGGUAACAACGCAUAUAGAGGAAACUUUAAUCCUAGGCCGUAUCCUAGUAAUUCCUCUAAUAAUUAUGGUAAUUCCUACAACAAUUCUUAUGGAAAUUAUAAUAAGAUGCCUCUGAUUUUGAAUCUAAUAUUAAAGAAUUUAUUACUUUGCAAAAGAAUUUCAAUGCUUUGAUUGAAGAAAAAUUGCUUAAGAUUGAUGAAUUGGCUAGGAACGUUGAUAGAUUUUCUCUUGAUGUUGAUUCUUUGAAACUUAGAUCUAUUCCACCUAAGCAUGAUAUCAAUGAGUCUCUCAAAGCCAUGAGAAUUUCCAUUGAUGAGUGCAAAGAAAGAACCGCUAGGAUGUGUGCUAAGAAAGAUUGCUUUAUAAAAGCGUGUUCUUCUAGUUUCCAUGAAAAUAAAGAUGAAGAUCUAAAAGCUAUUGAUGUGUCCCCUAUUAAAUCUUUGUUUUGCAAUAUGAAUCUUGAUAAUGAUGGGACUGAUUAUGAUCCACCUUUACCUGAAAGGCGUUCCAAAAAUUCGGAGUCUUUAGAUCUUGAUGCUAAAAUUGUUAAAAGUGGGAUUAAAGAAGUCAAAACUUUAAAUAGUAAUGAACCCACUAUUUUGGAUUUCAAGGAAUUUAAUUAUGAUAAUUGCUCUUUGAUAGAUUUUAUUUCCUUGUUGCAAUCCGUGCUAAAUUCUCCUCAUGCUUAUAGUCAAAAUAAAGCUUUUACUAAACAUAUCGUUCAUGCUUUGAUGCAAUCUUAUGAAGAAAAACUUGAGUUGGCAGUUUGUAUCCCUAGAAAACUUUAUGAUGAGUGGGAACCUACUAUUAAAAUUAAAAUUAAAGAUCAUGAAUGCUAUGCUUUGUAUGAUUUGGGUGCUAGUGUUUCCACGAUUCCAAAGACUUUGUGUGAUUUGCUAGGUUUCCGUGAUUUUGAUGAUUGCUCUUUAAACUUGCACCUUGCGGAUUCCACUAUUAGGAAACCUAUGGGAAGAAUUAAUGAUGUUCUUAUUGUUGAAAAUAGGAAUUAUGUGCCCAUAGAUUUUAUUGUUCUUGACAGAGAUUGCAAUCCUUCAUGUCCUAUUAUUCUCGGUAGACCUUUGCUUAGAACGAUUGGUGCAAUUAUUGAUAUGAAGGAAGGGAAUAUUAGAUUCCAAUUUCUGUUAAGGAAAGGCAUGGAACACUUCCCUAGAAAGAAAAUUAAAUUACCUUAUGAAUCUAUUAUGAGAGCCACUUAUGUAUUGCCUACCAAAGAUGGCAAUACCUAGAUCUAUCCUUGCUUUUUAUGCCUAGCUAGGGAUGUUAAACGAUAGCGCUUGUUGGGAGGCAAUCCAAUUUUAUUUUUUGCCUUUUGCUCCUGUUUAGUAAUAAAUAAUUUAUCCAGACUCUGUUUUGGUUGUGUUUUUUGUGUUUAAUUAGUGUUUGUGCCAAGUAGAACCGUUGGGAAGACUUGGGGAAAGUCUUUUUAAUCUUGCUGUAAAACACAGAAACUUUAGCGCUCACGAGAAUUGCUUCCAUUUUUUAUUGGAGAGUGCUAUUUAGUUAAUUAGUUUUUCAGAUGAUUAAUAGAUAAAUUCCUCACGUCUAGAAAUUUAUCUUAGAAUUUUUGGGGUUCCAGAAGUUUGCGUUAGUUACAGAUUACUACAGACUGUUCUGUUUUUGACAGAUUCUGUUUUUCGUGUGUUGUUUGCUUAUUUUAAUGAAUCUAUGGCUAGUAAAAGAGUUUAUAAACCAUAGAGAAAUUGGAAUACAGUAGGUUUAACACCAAUAUAAAUAAAUAAUGAGUUCAUUACAGUACCUUGAAGUGGUGUUUUGUUUUCUUUCGCUAACGGAGCUCACGAGAUUUUCUACUUUAAGUUUUGUGUUGUGAAGUUUUCAAGUUUUGGGUGAAAGAUUUGAUGGAUUAUGGAACAAGGAGUGGCAAGAGCCUAAGCUUGGGGAUGCCCAUGGCACCCCAAGAUAAUCUAAGGACACCUAAAAGCCAAAGUUUGGGGAUGCCCCGGAAGGCAUCCCCUCUUUCGUCUACUUCCAUCGGCAACUUUACUUGGAGCUAUAUUUUUAUUCACCACAUGAUAUGUGCUUUGCUUGGAGCGUCUUGUAUGAUUUGAGUCUUUGCUUUUCAGUUUACCACAAUCAUCCUUGCAGUACACACCUUUUGAGAGAGACACGCAUGAUUUAGAAAUUAUUAGAAUACUCUAUGUGCUUCACUUAUAUCUUUUGAGUUAUAUAGUUUUUGCUCUAGUACUUCACUUAUAUCUUUUAGAGCACGGUGGUGGUUUUGUUUUAUAGAAACUAUUAUUCUCUCAUGCUUCACUUAGAUUAUUUUGAGAGUCUUAAAUAGCAUGGUAAUUUACUUAAAUAAUCCUAAUAUGCUAGGUAUUCAAGACUAGUAAAAACUUUUUUAUGAGUGUGUUGAAUACUAAGAGAAGUUUGAUGCUUGAUGAUUGUUUUGAGACAUGGAGAUAGUGAUAUCAAAGUUGUGCUAGUUGAGUAGUUGUGAAUUUGAAAAAUACUUGUGUUGAACUUUGCAAGUCCCGUAGUAUGCACGUAUGGUAUAUGUUAUGUAACAAAUUUGAAACAUGAGGUGUUCUUUGAUUGUCCUCCUUAUGAGUGGCGGUCGGGGACGAGCGAUGGUCUUUUCCUACCAUUCUAUCCCCCUAGGAGCAUGCACGUAGUGCUAGGUUUUUCAUGACUUGUAGAUUUUUGCAAUAAGUAUGUGAGUUCUUUAUGACUAAUAUUGAGUCCAUGGAUUAUACGCACUCUCACCUUUCCAUCAUUGCAAGCCUCUUCGGUACCGUGCAUUGCCCUUUCUCACAUUGAGAGAUGGUGCAAACUUCGCCGGUGCAUCCAAACCCCGUGAUAUGAUACGCUCUUUCACACAUAAACCUCCUUAUAUCUUCCUCAAAACAGCCACCAUACCUACCUAUUAUGGCAUUCCCAUAGGCAUUCCGAGAUAUAUUGCCAUGCAACUUUCCACCGUUCCGUUUAUCAUGACACAUUCAACAUUGUCAUAUUGCUUUGCAUGAUCAUGUAGCUGACAUAGUAUUUGUGGCAAAGCCACCAUUCAUAAUCCUUUCAUACCUGCCACUCUUGGUUCAUUGCAUAUCCCGGUACAUCGCCAGAGGCAUUCAUAUAGAGUCAUACUUUGUUCUAGUAUCGAGUUGUAAUCAUUGAGUUGUAAAUAAAUAGAAGUGUGAUGAUCAUCAUUUUCUAGAGCAUUGUCCCAACUGAGGAAAAAAAUAAAAAAGGAGAAAGGCCAUAAAAAAAGAGAAGGCACAAAAAAAUUGAGAGAAAAAGAGAGAAGAGAUGAUGUUACUAUCCUUUUUACCACACUUGUGCUUCAAAGUAUUACCAUAAUCUUCAUGAUAGAGAGUCUUUUGUUUUGUCACUUUCAUAUACUAGUGGAAACUUUUCAUUAUAGAACUUGGCUUGUAUAUUCCAACAAUGGGCUUCCUCAAAUGCCCUAGGUCUUGUGAGCAAGCAAGUUGGAUGCACACCCACUUAGUUUCCUUUUUUGAGCUUUCAUAUAUUUAUAGCUCUAGUGCAUCCAUUGCAUGGCAAUCCCUACUCCUUGCAUUAACAUCAAUUGAUGGGCAUCUCCAUAGCUCAUUGAUUAGCCUCGUUGAUGUGAGACUUUCUCCCUUUUUUGUCUUCUCCACAUAACCCCCAUCAUUAUAUUCUAUUCCACCCAUAGUGCUAUAUCCAUGGCUCACGCUCAUGUAUUGCGUGAAGAUUGAAAAAGUUUGAGAUUACUAAAGUAUGAAACAAUUGCUUGGCUUGUCAUCGGGGUUGUGCAUGAUGAGAGCAUUCUUGUGUGACGAAAAUGGAGCAUGACUAACUAUAUGAUUUUGUAGGGAUGAACUUUCUUUGGCCAUGUUAUUUUGAGAGGACAUAAUUGCUUAGUUAGUAUGCUUGAAGUAUUAUUAUUUUAUGUCAAUAUUGAACUUCUAUCUUGAAUCUUUCGGAUCUGAAUAUUCAUACCAUAAUUAAGAAGAAUUACAUUGAAAAUAUUCCAAGUAGCAUUCCACAUCAAAAAUUCUGUUUUUAUCAUUUACCUACUCGAGGACGAGCAUGAAUUAAGCUUGGGGAUGCUUGAUACGGCUCCAACAUAUCUAUAAUUUUUUUUUGUUCCAUGCUAUAUUAUAUUCUGUUUGGACAUUAUUGGGCUUUAUUAUACACUUUUAUAUUAUUUUUGGGACUAACCUGUUAACUGGAGGCCCAGCCUAGAAUUGCUGUUUUUUUGCCUAUUUCAGAGUUUCGCGGAAAAAGAAUAUCAAACGGAGUCCAAACGGAAUGAAACCUUCGGGAACGUGAUUUUCGGAACGAACGUGAUCUAUAGGACUUGGAUCCUACGUCAAGACAUCAACUAGGAGGCCAUGAGGUAGGGGGCGCGCUUACCCCCUGGGCACGCCCUCCACCCUCAUGGCCCCCCUGUUGCUCCACCGACAUACUCCUUCCUCCUAUAUAUACCUACGUACCCCCAAACUACCAGACACGGAGCCAAAACCCUAAUUCCACUGCUGUAACUUUCUGUAUCCACGAGAUCCCAUCUUGGGGCCUGUUCUGGAGCUCCGCCGGAGGGGGCAUCUAUCACGGAGGGCUUCUACAUCAACACCAUAGCCCCUCCAAUGAAGUGUGAGUAGUUUACCUCAGACCUUCGGCUCCAUAGUUAUUAGGUAGAUGACUUCUUCUCUCUUUUUGGAUCUCAAUACAAAGUUCUCCCCCUCUCUUGUGGAGAUCUAUUCGAUGUAACCUUCUUUUUGCGAUGUGUUUAUUGAGACCGAUGAAUUGUGGGUUUAUGAUCAAGUUUAUCUAUGAACAAUAUUUGAAUCUUCUCUGAAUUCUUUUAUGUAUGAUUGGUUAUCUUUGCAAGUCUCUUCAAAUUAUCAGUUUGGUUUGGCCUACUAGAUUGAUCUUUCUUGCAAUGGGAGAAGUGCUUAGCUUUGGGUUCAAUCUUGCAGUGUCCUUUCCCAAUGACAGUAGGGGCAGCAAGGCACGUAUUGUAUUGUUGCCAUCGAGGAUAACAAGAUGGGGUUUAUAUCAUAUUGCAUGAGUUUAUCCCUCUACAUCAUGUCAUCUUGGUUAAAGCGUUACUCUAUUCUCUUGAACUUAAUACUCUAGAUGCAUGCUGGAUAGCGGUCGAUGUGUGGAGUAAUAGUAGUAGAUGCAGGCAGGAGUCGGUCUACUUGUCUUGGACGUGAUGCCUAUAUACAUGAUCAUACCUAGAUAUUCUCAUAACUAUGCUCAAUUCUGUCAAUUGCUCAACAGUAAUUUGUUUACCCACCGUGAAUACUUGUGCUCUUGAGAGAAGCCACUAGUGAAACCUAUGGCCCCCGGGUCUAUUUUCCAUCAUAUUAAUCUUCCAACACUUAGUUAUUUUUAUUGACUUUUAUUUUACUUUGCAUCUUUAUCAUAAAAAAUACCAAAAAUAUUAUAUUAUCAUAUCUAUCAGAUCUCACUCUCGUAAGUGACCGUGUAGGGUUUGACAGCCCCUUAUCGCGUUGGUUGUGAGGAUUUAUUUGUUUGUUUAGGUGCGAGGGACUCGUGCGUGGCCUCCUACUGGAUUGAUACCUUGGUUCUCAAAAACUGAGGGAAAUACUUAUGCUACUUUGCUGCAUCACCCUUUCCUCUUCAAGGGAAAACCAACACAGUGCUCAAGAGGUAGCAGUUGUCAUUUGAUGAACGGGAUCACAUCAUUAGAGAAUGAUGUGAUGGACAAGACCCAUCCGUUAGCUUAGCCCUAUGAUCGUUUAGUUUAUUGCUAUUGCUUUCUUCAUGACUUAUACUUGUUCCUAUGACUAUGAGAUUAUGCAACUCCCGAAUACCGGAGGAACACUUAGUGUGUUAUCAAAUGUCACAACAUAACUGGGUGAUUAUAAAGAUGCUCUAUAGGUGUCUCUGAUGGUGUUUGUUGAGUUGGCAUAGAUCGAGAUUAGGAUUUGUCACUCCGAUUGUCGGACAGGUAUAUCUGGGCCCUCUCGGUAAUGCACAUCACUAUAAGCCUUGCAAGCAAUGUGACUAAUGAGUUAGUUACGGGAUGAUGCAUUAUGGAACGAGUUAGGAGACUUGCCGGUAACGUGAUUGAACUAGGUAUGAUGAUACCAACGAUCGAAUCACGGGCAAGUAACAUACCGAUGACAAAGGGAACAACAUAUGAUGUUAUGUGGUUUUACCGAUAAAGAUCUUCGUAGAAUAUGUAGGAGCCAAUAUGAGCAUCCAGGUUCCGCUAUUGGUUAUUGACCGGAGAUGAGUCUCGGUCAUGUCUACAUAGUUCUCGAACCCGUAGGGUCCGCACGCUUAACGUUCGAUGACGAUCGAUAUUAUGAGUUUAUGUGUUUUGAUGUACCGAAGGUUAUUCGGAGUCUCGGAUGUGAUCAUGGACACGACGAGGAGUCUCGAAAUGGUCGAGACAUAAAGAUUGAUAUAUUGGAUGACUAUAUUCAGACACCGGAUGAGUUCCGGGGGUCACCAGAUAUAUAUCGGAGUGCCGGAAGGGUUAUCGAAACCACCGUAGAAGUAAUGGGCCUUAUUGGGCCUAGGGGAGAGAGGGGGGCUGCCAAGGGCUGGUCGCGCCCCCCCAUGGGCCUAGUCCGAAUUGGACUAGGGGGAGGGGCGGCGCCCCCUCCUUCCUUCUCUUCGCCCCUCCUUCCUUCUUCUCCUAGUAAGACUAGGAAAGGUGGGAGUCCUACUUCUACGAGGAGGAGGAUUUCUACCCCCUUGGCGCGCCUAUGAGGGCCGGCCGGCCUCCCCCUCCCUCCUUUAUAUACGUGGGGAGGGGGCACCCUAGAAGACACAAGUUGAUCUUUAGCCGCGUGCGGUGCCCCCUCCACAGUUUUACACCUCGAUCAUAUUGCCAUAGUGCUUAGGUGAAGCCCUGCGUCGGUAACUUCAUCAUCACCGCCAACAUGCCAUCGUGCUAACGAAACUCACCCUUGGCCUCGGCUGGAUCAAGAGUACGAGGGACGUCACCGAGCUGAACGUGUGCAGAUCACGGAGGUGUCGUGCGUUCAGUACUUGAUCGGUUGGAUCGCGAAGACGUUCGACUACAUCAACCGCAUUACUAAACGCUUCCGCUUUUGGUUUAUGAGGGUACGUGGACACACUCUCCCCGCUCGUUGCUAUGCUUCUCCUAGACAGAUCUUGUGUGAUCAUAGGAAUUUUUUUAAAUACUACGUUCCCCAACAGUGGCAUCCAAGCCAGGUCUAUGCGUAGAUGUUAUAUGCACGAGUAGAACACAAAGGAGUUGUGGGCAUGGGUAUAUACAUAUUGCUUGUCGUCACUAGUUGAUUCUUGAUUCAACGGUAUUGUUGGAUGAAGCGUCUCAGACCGACAUUACACAUACGCUUACGCGAGACUGGUUCUACCGAUGUGCUUCGCACAUAGGUGGCUAGUGGGUGUCAGUUUCUCCAACUUUAGUUGAAUCGGAUCCAAUGAACUGGGUUCUUUCUGAAGAUCAAAAAGCAAUCACUAUACCGCGUUGUGGUUUUUGAUGCGUAGGUAAGAACGGUUCUUGCGAAACCCGUAGCAGCCACGUAAAACUUGCAACAACAAGUAGAGGACGUCUAACUUGUUUUUGCAGGGCAUGUUGUGAUGUGAUAUGGUCAAGACAUGAUUAUAUAAAUUGUUGUAUGAGAUGAUCAUGUUUUGUUAAAGUUAUCGGCAACUGGCAAGAGCCUUAUAGUUGUCUCCUUAUUGCAUAAGAUGCAAGCGCCAUAUAAUUGCUUUAGUUCAUCGCUAUGCGAUAGCAAUAGUUGCAAAAACAAUAGUUGGCGAGAUGACCAUGUGACGACACGUUGAUACAGAUCAAGAUGAUGGAGAUCAUGGUGUCAUGCCGGUGACGAUAGAGAUCAUGACGGUACUUUGGAGAUGGAGAUCAAAGGCACAAGAUGAUGAUGGGCAUAUCAUGUCACAUAUUUUGAUUGCAUGUGAUGUUUAUCUUUUAUGCAUCUUAUUUUUCUUAGUACGAAGGUAGCAUUAUGAGAUGAUCCCUUACUAAAAUUUCAAGGUAUAAGUGUUCUCCCUGAGUAUGCACCGUUGCGACAGUUCUUCGUGCUGAGACACCACGUGAUGAUUGGGUGUGAUAAGCUCUACGUUCACAUACAACGGGUGCAAGCCAGUUUUGCAUGUGCAGAAUACUCGGAUUAAACUUGAUGAUCCUAGCAUAUGCAGAUAUGGCCUCGGAACAUUGAGACCGAAAGGUCGAACGUGAAUCAUAUAGUAGAUAUGAUCAACAUAGUGAUGUUCACCAUUGAAAGCUACUCCAUCUCACAUGAUGAUCAGACAUGGUUUAGUUGAUAUGGAUCACGUGAUCAUUUCGAUGACUAGAGGGAUGUCUAUCUAAGUGGGAGUCCUUAAGUAAUAUGAUUAAUUGAACUUAAUUUUAUCAUGAACUUAGUCCUUAUAGUAUUUACAUAUCUAUGUUAUAGAUCAAUUGCUCGCGUAUAGCCUCCCCGUUUUAUUUAUGAUAUGUUCCUAGAGAAAACUACGUUGAGAUUUGAUAGUAGCAAUGAUGCGGACUAGGCCCGUGAUCUGAGGAUUAUCCUAAUUGCUGCACGGAAGAAUUAUGUCCUUGAUGCACCGCUAGGUGACAGAACUAUUGCAGGAGAAAAUGCAGACAUUAUGAACGUUUGACAAGCUAGGUAUGAUGACUACUUGAUAGUUUAGUGCACCAUGCUUUACGGCUUAGAACCGGGACUUCAAAAAUGUUUUGAAACGCUAUGGAGCAUAUGAGAUGUUCCAAGAGUUGAAAUUGGAAUUUCAGACUCAUGCCCGAGUCGAGAGGUAUGAGACCUCUGACAAGUAUUUUCGCCUACAAGAUGGAGGAGAAUAGCUCAACCAGUGAGCAUGUGCUCAGACUGUCUGAGUACUACAAUCGCUUGAAUCAAGUGGGAGUUAAUCUUCAAGAUAAAAUAGGGAUUGACAGAGUUCUCUAGACACUAUCACCAAGUUACUGGAACUUCGUGAUGAACUAUAAUAUGCAAAGGAUGACGAAAACGAUUCCUGAGCUCUUCGUGAUGCCGAAAUCGACGAAGGUAGAAAUCAAGAAAAGCAUCAAAUGUUGAUGGUUGAUGAGACCACUAGUUUCAAGUAAAAGGGCAAGGGAAAGAAAGGGAACUUCAAGAAGAAUGACAGGCAAGUUGCCACUCCCAUGAAGAAGCACAAAGCUAGACCCAAGCCUGAAACUGAGUGCUUCUGAUACGUCUCCAACGUAUCUAUAAUUUUUGAUUGUUCCAUGCUAUUAUAUUAUCAACCUUGGAUGUUUUAUAUGCAUUUAUAUGCUAUUUUAUAUGAUUUUUGGGACUAACCUAUUUACCUAGAGCCCACUGCCAGUUUCUAUUUUUUCCUUGUUUUAGAGUAUCGCAGAAAAGGAAAAUCAAACGGAGUCCAAUUGACCUGAAACUUCACAGAACUUAUUUUUGGACCAGAAGAAGCCCACGGAGUAUCGGAGAUGGACCAGGAGAGUCCCGGGCUGCCCACGAGGGUGGGGGGCACGCCCACCCCCUGGGCGUGCCCCCUGCCUCGUGGACAGCCCGGAGAUCCACCAACGUACUUCUUCCUCCUAUAUAUACCCAUAUACCCUAAGAACUUCGAGGAGCAGGAUAGAUCGGGAGUUCCGUCGCCAGAAGCCUUCAUAGCCACCGAAAACCAAUCUAGACCCGUUCUGGCACCCUACCGGAGGGGGAAUCCCCCUCCGGUGGCCAUCUUCGUCAUCCUGGCGCUCUCCAUGACGAGGAGGAAGUAGUUCUCCCUCGGGGCUGAGGGUAUGUACCAGUAGCUAUGUGUUUGAUCUCUCUCUCUCUCGUGUUCUUGAGGUGGUACGAUCUUGAUGUAUCGCGAGCUUUGCUAUUAUAGUUGGAUCUUAUGAUGUUUCUCCCACUGUACACUCUUGUAAUGGAUUGAGUUUUCCCUUUGAAGUUAUCUUAUCGGAUUGAGUCUUUAAGGAUUUGAGAACACUUGAUGUAUGUCUUGCGUGGGAUACCCAUGGUGACAAUGGGGUAUUCUAUUGAUCCACUUGAUGUAUGUUUUGGUGAUCAACUUGCGGGUUCCGCCAAUAAAACCUAUGCAUAGGGGUUGGCACACGUUUUCGUCUUGACUCUCCGGUAGAAACUUUGGGGCACUCUUUGAAGUACUUUGUGUUGGUUGAAUAGAUGAAUCUGAGAUUGUGUGAUGCAUAUCACAUAAUCAUACCCAUGGAUACUUGAGGUGACAUUGGAGUAUCUAGGUGACAUUAGGGUUUUGGUUGAUUUGUGCCUUAAGGUGUUAUUCUAGUGCGAACUCUAUGAUAGAUUGAACGGAAAGAAUAGCUUCAUGUUAUUUUACUACGAACUCUUGAAUAGAUCGAUCAGAAAGGAUAACUUGAGGUGGUUUCGUACCCUACCAUAAUCUUUUUGUUUGUUCUCCGCUAAUAGUGACUUUGGAGUGACUCUUUGUUGAGUGACUCUUUGUUGCAUGUUCUGGGAUAGUUAUAUGAUCCAAUUAUGUUAUUAUUGUUGAGAGAACUUGAACUAGUGAAAGUAUGAACCCUAGGCCUUGUUUCAACGCAUUGCAAUACCGUUUGUGCUCACUUUUAUCAUUAGUUACCUUGCUGUUUUUAUAUUUUCAGAUUACAAAAACCUUUAUCUACUAUCCAUAUUGCACCUGUAUCACCAUCUCUUCGCCGACCUAGUGCACCCAUACAAUUUACUAUUGUAUUGGGUGUGUUGGGGACACAAGAGACUCUUUGUUAUUUGGUUGCAGGGUUGCUUGAGAGAGACCAUCUUCAUCCUACGCCUCCUACAGAUUGAUAAACCUUAGGUCAUCCACUUGAGGGAAAUUUGCUACUGUCCUACAAACCUCUACACUUGGAGGCCCAACAACGUCUACAAGAAGAAAGUUGUUUAGUAGACAUCAAGCUCUUUUCUGGUGCCGUUGUGUAGCGACCAGACCUCAAACGGUCCAAUCUCUAUGCUUCGGUGUCAUCACUGGAUCAGUAAUGCUGACACCACACAGUACUUGAAGGAUUUAUAACAAAGUAGCAAUCACACACUUAUUACAUCGAGUCUCAAAAGAGAACUUAUUACAAUAAAUAUGGCUUAAGGCCAUCUAAUAACGAUAACAACGGAAGGCUUGGAAGAUAAGUGAGUCCAUCAACUCCAACGGCAUCACUGAUUAACUCCUUAAUCUGCUUCUUAAUCUCCACCAAAUCCUUUGCGGGCAUCCUAUAUGGUCUCUUAGAUAUUGGCCCCGUGCCUGGCAAAAGAUCAAUCAAAAGCUCAAUAUCUCUAUCCGGUGGCAUGCCUGGCAACUCCUCUGGAAAUACAUCAGGGAAAUCCUUCACUACUGGUACUUCCUCCUGCACAACUCAUGUUAAGCAAUUUACUUGAGUCCUUUUCGGCACAUGCCGGGAUACAUACUUGAUCCUUCUCCCUUCUGGGGUGGUAAGCAAAAUUGACUUACUGGCACAUUCAAUGUUCCCUUCAUACUUUGACAACCAAUCCAUGCCUAAUAUCACAUCCAAUCCUUGAGAUUCCAAUACUAUUAGGUCCGAGGGAAAUACAUAGUUACCAAUCCUUAAUGGUAACCGAUCACACCAUAGACUAGCCAUAUACUCUGCUCCAGGCAAGGUUACUAACAUGGUUGACCUAAGGGCUUGGGUUGGCAGUUUAUACUUAUCCACAAAUCCCCUUGAUAUGUAUGAAUGCGAUGCACCAGUAUCGAAAAGAACGAGUGCAGUAAAUGACUUAACCAAAAACUUACCGAUUACUGCAUCCGGCUGCUCUUCAACCACCUCCACGUUAACGUGGUUCACCUGUCCCAUGUUGAAAGGGUUCGGCUUCUUCCCAGAGCUUCCAUUGCCAUUUCCAUUCUGAGAUUCAGGACAUUCAUUGGCAUAAUGUCCGGUCUUCUGGCACUUAAAGCAAGUGACUUGGCUCAUGUCUCUCUUGGCUGGGGUUGAAGGGUUGGUAUGGUUCUGGCCAUUGCUUCCUCCAUUCCCAUUACCAUUCUUGGUGCCAUUAUGAUUGUGCGAGCUACCUCCUCCAUGGGUAUGCUGAAAAUGUCCUCCCGGUCUAGGGGUAAAACAUGGCUUCUGCUGAGCUCCUGAAUUGUACUUCCCUUGUCCAUACUUCCUCUUAUGAUUUUCAAUCUGUUGCUGCUUCCCUUCAAUCAUAAGAGCACGAUCUACCAACUCCUGGUAGUUGUUGAAUGUUGCUACCAUCAACUACAUGCUCAACUCAUCAUUCAGUCCUUCCAGAAACUUCUCCUGCUUAGUUGCAUCCGUAGCAACGUCAUCUGGGGCAUAACGUGCUAGCUUACUAAAUUCCUCCACAUAGUGGCCAACUGUCUGUCCUCCUUGGCGCAAGUUGCGAAACUCUUGCUUCUUCAUCGACAUAGCUCCUGCUGAAACAUGGGCAGUACGGAAAGCCUGCUGGAACUGGUCCCAUGUGACAGUGUUGAUAGGGAAAGUGGCUGUGAAAUUCUCCCACCAUGAUGCUACGGGUCCUUCAAGCUGAUGUGCGGCAAACUUCACCUUUUUCGCAUCUGUGCAUCCUGCCGUGGUCAACUCCCUUGCUGUCUUGCGGAGCCAGUCAUCCGCUACUAUCGGCUCGGUGCUACUGGAAAACACCGGCGGAUUCAGCCUAAGAAAGCGGGCUAAGUGAUCAACAGGUGGUGGUGGUGGUGGGUUGUUGUUGUUGUUGUUCCCCUGAUUCUGAUUCUGGACUAGAAACUACAUCAAUGUGUUCUGCUGCUGGAUCAACUGGGUGAGCUCCGGUGGGAAGGUAAAUCCGGGGUCACGUCUCGGAGGCAUCUAAGGGUUUAGAAAAGAUGAGAUUGAAGAAUAGAGAGGGGUCUAGAUAGAAAACACUACCCAUAUGCACAUGAGGCAAAAGCAAACAAUUCACUUCAUUCAAUCAAACAAGGGCAUACAAUCGAUCUAACUAUCGCAAAAGUGCUCGGACUACUAUAUUUACAUGGUGGACUACUACUACUGAUGAGGUGGUCUACUAGAAAUAUUCUUCGCUUGCAGACUCCAUGAUAUCUGCUCCAGCUUCAUCAACAUAGUCAUCAUCGCUAUCAUCUGGAUCCGAGUCGGUGUCGUCGAUGAUGAUGUAGUCUUCCGGGCGAAUCUCCUUGGGUCCUUCGUCCUCUUCUACUGGUGUAGGGCCUCCCAUAAAUAUUCCAAUCUUCUUGAUCAGAUCGCCAUUCUUCUCCACUAGUACUUCGAUUUCCUCUACAUAAUCUUCACGUGUAGCCUUGAGUUCUUCAUCCAGUUCCUUGAUUCUUGUCCUCGCCUUCUUCAGAUCUAUCAUGUCAGCGCACAUCUGGUUCUCCUGACGUCGAAUGUGCUGGUUUAACUCCUGGAUAAAAGCUGCAAUUGAUCUAUCCUUCCUGGUGCUGAUCAUCUCCCAGUGCUCAUCUCGGUGCCCACAAAUCUUGUAGAUAGUGUCCUUGAGAUCAUUGCGGUAAACUUCUCCAAUACGACCCAUGGCGAUGUGAGCUGCCAUGCUCUUUCCUAGACUCCAGGUUGGUGCAUCAAAGGAAAACUCUAUGGGCUCAGUGACUGGCAUGAACAUCCUUCCUGGAACUUGAACUUGAAUCAUCCAGCGCUCCUCUUCAGGUAAAGUGGCGUUGUAGGUUCCGGUGAAGCUUGGUACUCCUAUGUUUAGAUAUCUAGUGACUUCCUUCAAGUGACGUCCAAAGGGUGUAUCUUCAUCCGGUUGCGUGAACUUGUUCCUUGCAUCCGCCAUCCUAGAAGAGUAGAAAAGAUGAGGAGUCAGAAUGAGAAGAGUGAGUAGUGAUCUAGGGCUUUAGCUUAGUGGUCGUGUCCUACAGUCAGCGUGUGCUCUGAUACCAUCUUGUAGCGACCAGACCUCAAACGGUCCAAUCUCUGUGCUCCGGUGUCAUCCUUGGAUCAGUAAUGCUGACACCACACAAUACUUGAAGGAUUUAUGAAAGAGUAGCAAUCACACACUUAUUACAUCGAGUCUCAAAAGAGAACUUAUUACAAUAAAUAUGGCUUAAGACAUCUAAUAACGAUAACAGCAGAAUGCUUGGGAGAUAAGUGAGUCCAUCAACUCCAACGGCAUCACUGAGUAUAGAACCACGACCUAAAAGGCACCUUACUCGUCGUCUGAAAAGUCUGCAACAUGAACGUUGCAGCCCGAAACGGGUCAGCACAUGGAAUAUGCUGGCAAUGUAACACAUAGAGAGCAAUGAACGAAUUAGACUAUAGUAUAUGCAUAUUUGGCUGGUGGAAAGCUCUAUGGUUACAGUUUUGCGUAAAAGCCAAUUUUUCCCUACUGCAAAGGAAUAAAUUUUAUUUAACUAUCAUGGUGGUUGUUAAACAUUGAGAGUGUAGACACGCUCUCAAUCCCAAUUAAACAUCAUCAUUAAAAACCCAACAAAUUAAUUAAAGUAACAUGAUGAGAUUCACAUGAUAAUACAAGUACUAGUUACUCAAGAUGUCCAUAACCGGGGACACGGCUAACCAUGAUUAGUUUAUACACUCUGCAGAGGUUUGCGCACUUUUCCCCACAAGACUCGAUCUCCUCCGUUGGGAUUAUCGCACUACAUGGUGUUUGAGAAACGGAUGACCGAGACAUAGUCUUUCAGAAGUGCUAGCACCUUACAAACGGGUAGACCGUACCAACCUACAUCCCCUACAUCUGCUAGUCUACCACUGUAAGAGUUCGCACGACUUGGUCAACUAUGCUAGAGCCCAUAGUAGCUUGUGGCUGCACAUGGAAGUUUCUAGUAUGAAUAAUCUCAUGAUCCCUUUGAGCCUGGGUGGCGGUCCAUAAAGAAAAACGGGCAAUCGCCGGAAUACCCAGGUGCCUCAAUCCACCCAGAUGUGUAUUUAAGUUGCCACCUUAGAUAAGCCAUUGAUUUAACAAACUCACAUCUGUCAUGGAUAUCACUCAUCCAAUCCACGUCUACUAGCAUAGCAUGGCAAAAUAAGCAAACGUAGAAGUAAUUCCCAAAGGUUUGAAUAAAAAGAACAGGUAAUAGGUACCACCUCAUCUACUUCCCAAAACCCACAAUUUAAUUGGAUCCGAAUCAUGCAAUGUGUGAGGGUUGAUCUAAUGCAAUAAAAACUAGGUAGUAGGAGGUAUGAUCAAAGUGUUACUUUCCUUGCUGAUGAUCCGGGAAACCUACCGAUUCGAAGUAGCAAGCGGCGCACUCCGGGUACUCUAUCGCAAACAAACAAGCAUACAAUAAGUACACAACUAAUGCACAGGUAAAACUCAAAUAAGAGGUCUAACCAGAAAGUUCAACUUAAGAACUCCGGUUGGCAAAAAGAAUCAAAACGUAUGAAGCAACGAAAGACAAACGACAAAAGAAACAAGAUUCGUUUACUAUUCUGGAUCUAGGUCAAAUUUUACAGUGGCAAAAACUUGUUUGAGUUGGUUAAACGGAAAGAGGGUUUCGAGACAAAACUCCAGGCGCUUGAAUCGCCUGAUUCCGAUAAACGAGCGAAAAGUUAUACUAGAACGAAAAUCAGAUCAGGAAUCGCGAUCAGAAAAAUCGCGGAUUUAAUCCGAGAGAAAGAAAAACGACGAACAGAUUAACGAAUGAAUGUUCGUUAUCUAGAUCUAAACGAAAAAUGCGUUCGUUAAAACGAACGAAUGAGUGAACGCUCGCUAAUUAACUAAACCAGAAAAAAACCAAUUUAACGAAAAAACGGAUCUAAAAAACCAAAAAAAACCGACGAAAAAACCGAACGGUUUUCCUAAAAAAACAUUGGCGGUGGUCAACCUCAUCGGCGGCGAACUCCGGGGGCGGCAGCGGCAGCGCAGGAGGCGACGGCUAGGGUUGGGCGGCUCGGACUGGGGUCCUUGCUUUAUAAAGGUCGGCCGGGCCGGGUGUCCUGGUCGGACACGACCCGGUAGGUUGGUUCGACUUUCUUUUAAAUAAUUACGCUUAGAGAAAAAAGGAAUACUAAACGGACUCCAAAAAUCCUGAAAUAAAAUUUCCCUGGCUUCUAAAAUCAAGCCGCAUAGGAUGAACAUUUAUUUGGGGCCUAAAUGCAAUUUUGAAAAACGCACAUUUUUCCUAAAUUCAAAUAAAAUAGCAAAUAAAUCCAAAUAAAAUCUUAUUUGAUUUUUUUAUUAAAUCCUCAAUAUUUCUUUAUUUUGGGAAAGUCAUUUUAUUCCCUCUCUCAUAUUUUGAUAAUAGAAAUAAUUGAAGAUAAAAUAAAUAAAAUCAAAUGAUCCCAUUUUCAAAAUUUGAGAACACUCAAAUAUGAAAAUAAUGAAAUUCCCAACUCUCUCCGAGGGUCCUUGAGUUGCGUGAAAUUUCUAGGAUCAACCAAAAUGCAAAUAAAAUAUGAUAUGCAAUGAUGAUCUAUUGUAUAACAUUCCAAAUUGAAAAUUUGGAAUGUUACAAACCUACCCCCCUUAAGAUGAAUCUCGCCCUCGAGAUUUGGGUUGGCUAGAAAAUAGAUGAGGGUGGUCCUUCAACAGAUCUUUCUCUCAUUCCCAGGUGGCUUCAUCCUCCGUGUGGUGGCUCCACUGAACUUUGCAAAAUUUGAUAAUCUUGCUGCGGGUGACUCGGCUGGCAUACUCAAGUAUCUUGAUUGGUUUCUCCUCAUAGGUCAAAUCACUGUCCAACUGAAUCGCUUCCAGCGGCACUAUGUUUCUCAGUGGUAUAUCCGCCAUCUCUGCGUGGCACUUCUUCAAUUGGGAAACAGCGAACACGUCGUGAACUCCUGACAAUCCUUCGGGAAAUUCCAACUUAUAGGCUACUUCUCCCAUACGCUCCAAAACUUUGUAUGGUCCUACAAAACGUGGUGCUAACUUUCCCUUAACUCCAAAACGCUUAACUCCUCGAAGUGGAGAUACUCGAAGAUAAACUCGGUCUCCGACUUCGUAAACUGUCUCCUUGCAUUUUGAAUCUGCAUAGCUCUUCUGCUUGGACUGGGCUACCUUGAGCCUAUCGUGAAUCACUUUCACCUUCUGUUCAGACUCCUUAAUCAGAUCCGGUCCAAACAACUGACGGUCUCCAACUUCAUCCCACGGCAGUGGGGUCCUGCACCUCCUUCCGUACAAGGCUUCGAAAGGGGCCAUCUUCAAACUGGAUUGAUAACUGUUGUUAUAAGAGAACUCUGCGUAUGGCAAAUUCUCGUACCAACUAGAUCCGUAAUCUAGCGCACAAGCUCUCAGCAUAUCCUCCAAAAUCUGAUUGACUCUCUCGGUCUAUCCAUCUGUCUGCGGGUGGAAAGUUGUACUGAACUCUAGUGUGGUACCCAAAGUUUCAUGCAACUGAUUCCAGAACUUUGAGGUAAACUGGGUUCCUCUGUCUGAUACAAUGCUCCUUGGAACUCCAUGCAAACACACGAUCCUGGUCAUGUAUAUCUUUGCUAACUUGGCACUGGUAUAGGUAGUCUUCACUGGGAUGAAAUGAGCUACCUUUGUCAAACGAUCGACUACAACCCAAAUCGAGUCAUAGCCUGAACGAGUUCUGGGCAAUCCUGUGAUAAAAUCCAUGCCUAACUUAUCCCACUUCCAUUCGGGUAUUGGCAAUAGCUGUAGCAAUCCGGCUGGCUUCUGAUGCUUUGCCUUUACUCUCUAACAUACAUCACAAACUGCUACAUACUCCGCAAUAUCCUUCUUCAUUCUGGUCCACCAGAAAGUAUCCUUCAAAUCCAAAUACGUCUUGGUAUUUCAUGGGUGAAUCGAAUAUGGUGAAUCAUGGGCCUCUUGCAGAAUCAACUUCCCGAUCUCUGGGUCGUUAGGCACAUAAACACGGUCUUCAAACCAUAAGGUAUCGUGUUCAUCCUCACAAAAUCCUUUAGCUUUUCCUUUGCUCAUUUUCUCCUUAAUAGAAGCAAUCUCCUUGUCAGUCUUCUGGGCUUCUCUGAUCUUAUCCAUCAAAGUAGACUGAAUCUCUAAUACUGCUACAUAGACUCUCGGAACUAUCUCCAAACAUAGCUCACGAAGAUUUUCGGCUAACUCUCUUGGUAGAUCUGCCGUCAUUAAGGUGUUGACAUGGAUUUUACGGCUCAACGCGUCAGCUACUACAUUAGCCUUUCCGGGAUGAUAAUGCAAUCUCAUAUCAUAAUCCUUGAUGAGCUCCAACCAUCUCCUUUGCGUGAGAUUCAACUCCUUCUGCGUGAAAAUAUACUUCAAACUCUUGUGAUCCGUGUACACUUCGCAAUGGUUCCCAAUGAGAAAGUGUCUCCAAGUCUUCAAUGCAUGCACUACGGCUGCUAACUUCAAAUCAUGCAUGGCAUAAUUUAACUCAUGAGGCUUAAGUUGUCGUGAGGCAUAUGAAACAACUCUUCCUUCCUGCAUAAGCACUGUUCCAAGUCCUCGACGUGAAGCGUCGCAAUACACCUCAUAAUCCUUGGUCUGAUCUGGCAAAAUCAACACUGGUGAUGUAACCAAACAUUUCUUCAACUCUUGGAAACUAGCCUCACAUUCUUCGGUCCAUAUGAACUUGGUAUCCUUCUUCAACAACUCCGUCAUAGGUUUUGCAAUCUUCGAGAAAUUUUCAAUAAAUCUCCGGUAGUAUCCUGCAAGUCCAAGAAAACUCCGGAUCUCUCCAACUAUUGUUGGUGCUUCCCAGUUUGUCACAGUGUCAACCUUGGUGGGAUCUACUGCUAUACCUUCUCCGGAUAUAACGUGUCCGAGAAAUCCAACUUCCUUCAACCAAAACUCACAUUUGCUAAACUUUGCGUAUAACUGAUGUUCUCUGAGCUUACGAAGUACCAAACGCAAAUGCUCCUUAUGCUCCUCUUCAUUCUUCGAAUAAACCAGAAUAUCAUCAAUGAACACUACGACGAACUUAUCCAAAAACUCCAUAAACACCUUGUUCAUCAUGUUCAUAAAAUAUGCAGGUGCGUUAGUCAGACCAAAUGACAUAACGGUAUACUCGUACAGCCCAUACCUGGUGGUAAAAGCCGUCUUAGGUAUAUCCUGUUCUUGAAUCUUCAACUGAUGGUACCCUAACCGCAGAUCAAUCUUGGAAAAUACCUUAGCUCCUUGCAAUCGAUCAAACAGAUCAUUGAUCAUCGGUAGUGGGUACUUGUUCUUGAUGGUUACUUCAUUCAAUCCCCGAUAAUCAACAACCAUCCUUAACGAUCCAUCCUUCUUCUCUACUAGAAGUACCGGCGAUCCCCAAGGUGAAGAACUUGGGCGAAUAUAACCUUUAUCCAGUAACUCCUUAAUCUGCUUCUUAAUCUCCACCAAAUCCUUUGCGGGCAUCCUAUAUGGUCUCUUAGAUAUUGGCCCGAUGCCUGGCAAAAGCUUAAUCAAAAGCUCAAUAUCUCUAUCUGGUGGCAUGCCUAGCAACUCCUCUGGAAAUACAUCAGGGAAAUCCUUCACUACUGGUACUUCCUCCUGCACAACUCAUGUUAAGCAAUUUACUUGAGUCCUUUUCGGCACAUGCCGGGAUACAUACUUGAUCCUUCUCUCUUCUGGGGUGGUAAGCAAAAUUGACUCACUGGCACAUUCAAUGUUCCCUUCAUACUUCGACAACCAAUCCAUGCCUAAUAUCACAUCCAAUCCUUGAGAUUCCAAUACUAUUAGGUCCGAGGGAAAUACAUAGUUACCAAUCCUUAAUGGUAACCAAUCACACCAUAGACUAGCCAUAUACUCUGCUCCAGGCGAGGUUACUAACAUGGGUGACCUAAGGGCUUGGGUUGGCAGUUUAUACUUAUCCACAAAUCCCCUUGAUAUGUAUGAAUGCGAUGCACCAGUAUCGAAAAGAACGAGUGCAGUAAAUGACUUAACCAAAAACUUACCGAUUACUGCAUCCGGCUGCUCUUCAACCUCCACGUUAACGUGGUUCACCUGUCCCAUGUUGAAAGGGUUCGGCUUCUUCCCAGAGCUUCCAUUGCCAUUUCCAUUCUGAGAUUCAGGACAUUCAUUGGCAUAAUGUCCGGUCUUCUGGCACUUAAAGCAAGUGACUUGGCUCAGGUCUCUCUUGGCUGGGGUUGAAGGGUUGGUAUGGUUCUGGCCAUUGCUUCCUCCAUUCCCAUUACCAUUCUUGGUGCCAUUAUGAUUGUGCGAGCUAUCUCCUCCAUGGGUAUGCUGAAAAUGUCCUCCCAGUCUAGGGGUAAAACGUGGCUUCUGCCGAGCUCCUGAAUUGUACUUCCCUUGUCCAUACUUCCUCUUAUGAUUUUCAAUCUGUUGCUGCUUUCCUUCAAUCAAAAGAGCACGAUCUACCAACUCCUGGUAGUUGUUGAAGGUUGCUACCAUCAACUACAUGCUCAACUCAUCAUUCAGUCCUUCCAGAAACUUCUCCUGCUUAGUUGCAUCCGUAGCAACGUCAUCUGGGGCAUAACGUGCUAGCUUACCUAAGUCCUCCACAUAGUGGCCAACUGUCUGUCCUCCUUGGUGCAAGUUGCGAAACUCUUGCUUCUUCAUUGACAUAGCUCCUGCUGAAACAUGGGCAGUACGGAAAGCCUGCUGGAACUGGUCCCAUGUGACAGUGUUGAUAGGGAAAGUGGCUGUGAAAUUCUCCCACCAUGAUGCUACGGGUCCUUCAAGCUGAUGUGCGGCAAACUUCACCUUUUUCGCAUCUGUGCAUCCUGCCGUGGUCAACUCCCUUGCUGUCUUGCGGAGCCAGUCAUCCGCUACUAUCGGCUCGGUGCUACUGGAAAACACCGGCGGAUUCAGCCUAAGAAAGCGGGCUAAGUGAUCAACAGGUGGUGGUGGUGGUGGGUUGUUGUUGUUCCCCUGAUUCUGAUUCUGGACUAGCAACUACAUCAAUGUGUUCUGUUGCUGGAUCAACUGGGUGAGCUCCGGUGGGAAGGUAAAUCCGGGGUCACGUCUCGGAGGCAUCUAAGGGUUUAGAAAAGAUGAGAUUGAAGAAUAGAGAGGGGUCUAGAGAGAAAACACUACCCAUAUGCACAUGAGGCAAAAGCAAACAAUUCACUUCAUUCAAUCAAACAAGGGCAUACAAUCGAUCUAACUAUCACAAAAGUGCUCGGACUACUAUAUUUACAUGGUGGACUACUACUACUGAUGAGGUGGUCUACUAGGAAUAUUCUUCGGUUGCAGACUCCAUGAUAUCUGCUCCAGCUUCAUCAACAUAGUCAUCAUCGCUAUCAUCUGGAUCCGAGUCGGUGUCGUCGAUGAUGAUGUAGUCUUCCGGGCGAAUAUCCUUGGGUCCUUCGUCCUCUUCUACUGGUGUAGGGCCUCCCAUAAAUAUUCCAAUCUUCUUGAUCAGAUCGUCAUUCUUCUCCACUAGUACUUCGAUUUCCUCUACAUAAUCUUCACGUGUAGCCUUGAGUUCUUCAUCCAGUUCCUUGAUUCUUGUCCUUGCCUUCUUCAGAUCUAUCAUGUCGGCGCACAUCUGGUUCUCCUGACGUCGAAUGUGCUGGUUUAACUCCUGGAUAAAAGCUGCAAUUGAUCUAUCCUUCUUGGUGCUGAUCAUCUCCCAAUGCUCAUCUCGGCGCCCACAAAUCUUGUAGAUAGUGUCCUUGAGAUCAUUGCGGUAAACUUCUCCAAUACGACCCAUGGCGAUGUGAGCUGCCAUGCUCUUUCCUAGACUCUAGGUUGGUGCAUCAAAGGAAAACUCUAUGGGCUCAGUGACUGGCAUGAACAUCCUUCCUGGAACUUGAACUUGAAUCAUCCAGCGCUCCUCUUCAGGUAAAGUGGCGUUGUAGGUUCUGGUGAAGCUUGGUACUCCUAUGUUUAGAUAUCUAGUGACUUCCUUCAAGUGACGUCCAAAGGGUGUAUCUUCAUCCGGUUGCGUGAACUUGUUCCUUGCAUCUGCCAUCCUAGAAGAGUAGAAAAGAUGAGGAGUCAGAAUGAGAAGAGUGAGUAGUGAUCUAGGGCUUUAGCUUAGUGGUCGUGUCCUAUAGUCAGCGUGUGCUCUGAUACCAUCUUGUAGCGACCAGACCUCAAACGGUCCAAUCUCUGUGCUCUGGUGUCAUCCCUGGAUCAGUAAUGCUGACACCACACAGUACUUGAAGGAUUUAUGAAAGAGUAGCAAUCACACACUUAUUACAUCGAGUCCCAAAAGAGAACUUAUUACAAUAAAUAUGGCUUAAGGCCAUCUAAUAAUGAUAACAGCGGAAUGCUUGGAAGAUAAGUGAGUCCAUCAACUCCAACGACAUCACUGAGUAUAGACCACGACCUAAAAGGCACCUUACUCGUCGUUUGAAAAGUCUACAACAUGAACGUUGCAGCCCGAAAUGGGUCAGCACAUGGAAUAUGCUGGCAAUGUAACACAUAGAGAGCAAUGAAGGAAUAAGACUAUAGUAUAUGCAUAUUUGGCUGGUGGAAAGCUCUAUGGUUAUAGUUUUGCAUAAAGCCAAUUUUUCCCUACUGCAAAGGAAUAAAUUUUAUUUAACUAUCAUGGUGGUUGUUAAACAUUCAGAGUGUAGACAUGCUCUCAAUCCCAAUUAAACAUCAUCAUUAAAAACCCAACAAAUUAAUUAAAGUAACAUGAUGAGAUUCACAUGAUAAUACAAGUACUAGAUAGUCAAGAUGUCCAUAACCGGGGACCCGGCUAACCAUGAUUAGUUUAUACACUCUGCAGAGGUUUGCGCACUUUUCCCCACAAGACUCGAUCUCCUCCGUUGGGAUUCUCGCACUACAUGGUGUUUGAGAAACGGAUGACCGAGACAUAGUCUUUCAGAAGUGCUAGCACCUUACGAACGGGUAGACCGUACCAACCUACAUCCCCUACAUCUGCUAGUCUACCACUGUAAGAGUUCGCACGACUUAGUCAACUAUGCUAGAGCCCAUAGUAGCUUGUGGCUGCACACGGAAGUUUCUAGUAUGAAUAAUCUCAUGAUCCCUUUGAGCCUGGGUGGCGGUCCAUAAAGAAAAACAGGCAAUCGCCGGAAUACCCAGGUGCCUCAAUCCACCCAGAUGUGUAUUUAAGUUGCCACCUUAGAUAAGCCAUUGAUUUAACAAACUCCGGGCGCUUGAGUCGCCUGAUUCCAAUAAACGAGCGAAAAGUUAUACUAGAACAAAAAUCGGAUCAGGAAUCGCGAUCAGAAAAAUCGCGGAUUUAAUCCGAGAAAAAGAAAAAUGACGAACAAAUUAACGAAUGAACAUUCGUUAUCUGGAUCUAAAUGAAAAACGCAUUCGUUAAAACGAAUGAACGAGGGAAUGCUUGCUAAUUAACUAAAGUGGAAAAAAACCGAUCUAACGAAAAAACGGAUCUAAAAAAACCAAAAAAACCGACGGAAAAACGGAACGGUUUUCCUAAAAAACGGUGGCGGCGGUCAACCUCGUCGGCGGCUAGGGUUGGGUGGCUCGGGCUGGGGUCCUCGCCUUAUAAAGGCCGGCCGGGCCGGGUGUCCUGGUCGGACACGGCCCGGUAGGUCGGUUCGACUUAAAAAAAAAUAGUUACGCUCAGAGAAAAAAACAAAAGGAAAAUUAAACGGACUCCAAAAAUCUCAAAAUAAAUUUUCCCGGCUUCUAAAAUCAAGCCGCAUAGGAUGAACAUUUAUUUGGGGCCUAAAUGCAAUUUUGAAAAAUACGCAUUUUUCCUAAAUUCAAAUAAAAUAGCAAAUAAAUCCAAAUAAAAUCUUAUUUGAUUUUUAUUAAAUCCUCAAUAUUUAUUUAUUUUGGAAAAGUCAUUUUAUUCCCUCUCUCAUAUUUUGAUAAUAGAAAUAAUUGAAGAUAAAAUAAAUAAAAUCAGAUGAUCCCAUUUUCAAAAUUUGAGAACACUCAAAUAUGAAAAUAACAAAAUCCCCAUCUCUCUCCGAGGGUCCUUGAGUUGCGUGAAAUUUCUAGGAUCAACCAAAAUGCAAAUAAAAUAUGAUAUGCAAUGAUGAUCUAUUGUAUAACACUCCAAAUUGAAAAUUUGGGAUGUUACACGUUGCUGGGGAGGUUAGCGCUUGAAGGAAUAUCUUUAGAUCUUGCAAUCGAAUCUUUUUGUUUCUUGUUUUAGCACUAGUUUAGUUUAUAAAACAAAACUACAAAAAAGUAUGGAAUUGGUUUUGCCUCAUAUGCGUCAUCUUUAUAAUAUCUUUGGUGAGUAUUAUGGAAAGGAAAGUUGUGCCAAAGUGUUAGAAGAAGAAUGCAUUAAAAUGUUUGGCACUAAAUAUUUGAAUGAUGAGCAUGAUUGCAAUGUUGUUAGUAUGAAUUCCUUGAAUAUCCAUGAUGCUAAUGAUAUGCAAAGCCACAAGCUUGGGGAAGCUAUGUUUGAUGAAGAUGAUAUUUUUUGUCCCCCAAGUUUUGAUGAGCAAAUUUAUUAUGAUGAAAGCAUGCCUCCUAUUUAUGAUGAUUAUAUUGAUGAAAGUGGAUUUGGAGAGGUCAUGACUUUAUUUUGUGAUGAAUCCACUAUUCCAGAAGAGGUUCCAAUUGAUUAUGAGAACAAAGUUGCUAUCUA
Molecule: long non-coding RNA, 126285 nt
Filed under: Triticum aestivum (bread wheat)
Lineage: Eukaryota; Viridiplantae; Streptophyta; Magnoliopsida; Poales; Poaceae
Description: long non-coding RNA (TAES_LNC023986)
Source: RNAcentral